UCCUUUCAGUUCUUAGGGCACAGUGACUUGGAUAUUUUGUUGAUGUUUGCUUUUGGCUGUUUUGAUAUUUUAUAUUAAAGUUCUUGCACUUGUGCUGUAUAUAAUUCUCAAAUUUGUUACCACCUUGUUGGCAUAUUGAAAUACACGACUUGAAAUGUUGGGCAUCAAGCUUGUUUCCGCAGAAUUCUUUGAAAUAAAUUCAUUUUCUCUUCUUCAUUGACUUGGUUUGAAACCCACUCCCAUCCAUGCAAAUCCAAAUGCAUAUGUAUUUUCAUCUGGUUGUGCUUAUUAAUAAAAAUAAAUCAAUGAAAUGCUGAAAUAACAAGUGCACCCACACGUGGAAGCAGCCUAGUGUGGCCAAGCACCUCUCAUUCGUUUUAUGUGAUACAAUUGGUUUGUUGCACUCUUUGUGCUAAUUUUACUUUCUCGGUUUUGGAAGGUUCUGAUGAUGGUAGCGGAUAUGCUUGGAGUGUACGGAGCGGGAAAGGGGUAUGAUAAGCAAAAUUCCUUGAUUCUCAUGCCUUUUGAAUGCUUAGAAUUCAAAGGGAUGUUAUUUCCCUUACAUUGACCCCAGUCAUAGCAUUCAUUGUCUUCUAGCCAAACCAACAAUGCUUUUGAAUCUACAUUUGAGCAUUUACCUUAAGCACCAGUUUGCAUAAUGAGUUCUGUAUCCAAAUACUAUAUUCUUUUGACAUUGGUAUUGUUAUUAUAUAAACAUUGUUUGGUUUUGUUUAUUUUUCUUGUCAGGGUUGCAAGUUGGAUGAGUUUUCAUAGUGAGCCUCCUGUCAUAAAAUGGGCCCCCGGAAGUCUCAUGUUUGUUACGGGGUCAUCUGAGCUAUCAUUUUGGAAUCCUAAUGUGUCUAAACUAGGAGCUUACGUUGGGAGGAAGUAAAGUUUCUAACACUCACCACCCUUAAGUAUCUGAAUAUUGAUGUCUAUCUAUUGCCGGGAGGGGAACUUGUUUGUAUAAGAAGUUGCACCGAUUAUGUAAGGAGAUGUUCAAUUUCCUAUGGUAGUAUGUAAAUGCAUCUGACUUACCUGCUAGUAACCUUUCCUAACAAGUUCUGAAGAAACAACAGUAGAUCUGGUAUCAAUACUUUAUUCAGAAGAGCAUUUCUUCUUACAUGCACAGCUAAGAGUACAUGAAUUGAGCUACUGAAGCCCUUCCUGACCAACCUGGCUAAGGCUCCUUGCAGUUUGUCCUCUUCAUGGUUCUUUGGCAGGCAACAGCGUAAGCAAUUGCCUGGACUAUGAGGCCUUUUGUAGCGGGGUGGGCACUGCCUAGGCAGUUUUUUGAAAAAACUAGGAGCUUUAUUUGUCUUUGACAUUUGUAGCACGAUUAGUUAUUACCUGGAUUAAGUUGUAUAUAUUACAUCGUAUACCUAAUCUGACAAAUAACAGGUUGCAAUCCAAGUUUUGUUGAUCAUGAAGGGUUUGAGCAUGAUAGUCCAUUUAGGUCAUUAGGUCAGCCGAAUGGAAGACCAAUGGAUUUGGAGGGUUUGUCUACAACGCAAACUAAGCUAAUAAUGCCUGUUCAUUGUUUUAUACUUGCCAUGUAUUUUUUUCCUGUAAUUGUCAGAUUGAUGUACAAGUUAAAAUGAUUGUAAAUAAAUUAUAUAUUAUAAUUUUAAAAAUAUUAUAAGCCCAUUGGUUUCAUAUAUAUAUAUAUAUAUAUAUUAGCUUUCUCUCCUACACCCAGGCUUUAUGCCUCUCGUGCCUCAGUUUGAUGUGAAGAAAUGGUCCAUCAAGGCCAUUGGUAAUAGUCAGCAAUAGCAAUAUUGCCUUUCUUCAAUCACAGCAAUGUUUAUUGGGUACGCAGGAUCAAUUAUCUUCAGUAAUUAACAAUUUAACAUAAUAAUAUAUCAUGUUUAUAAAUAUGUAAAUAAAUUUUAUUCAAUAUUUAUAGUUUUAUAGUAAUUUAAUAAUAAAAUUUACCAAACAUAUACAACUAUUUUUAUAACUCACAGCUCCUUUAAAAAGAAGUUUUUGUAAACGUUUAAUUAAUUUUCUUUACAAUUGAUUAUUUCUAUAGCACAGCUAACAUCAAUUAUUUUAAAAGCUACAACAUUACCAAAUUGGCCCCUUACUCUUUUUAUCAAAAUUAUUAUUUAAAAGUUCUAACUAUUUUUAUAACUCACAACUCCUUUAAAAAGAAGUUUUUGUAAACGUUUAAUUAAUUUUCUUUACAAUUGAUUAUUUCUAUAGCACAGCUAACAUAAAUUAUUUUAAAAACUACAACAUUACCAAAUUGACCCCUUACUCUUUUUAUCAAAAUUAUUAUUUAAAAAUUCUAAUUGCAACACGUUACCAACUUUUAUUUCACAUCUACAAUUUUUUUUCACAACAGCUAUACCUUAAAAGUCGCAUCAUCUUAAUACCAAAUAGGGCCAUAGUAAUUUGGGACCUUUUUUUCCCCCUUUCUCCUCUUCUUCAUCAACUUAAAAAAAAACUAGAAACAAAUCAGAGAAAUUGAGUAUGAAAUUAAGCAUUAGUCGAGUAUGAAGUUGGGUGAGUCGAGUAUAAAAUUAAGUACUUUUCUAUAUGAUUUUAAAUAAAGGGUAUUUUAAUAUUUUUCUGUGUGAUUUUGGAUAUAUUUCUAUAAUACCAGUAAACUAUGUAAUAAGCAUAUAUUUGUUAUUUUGUUGUGAAUGGGACAUAUCUGGCGCCAUUUGCUCCCGUGACCGAUCUUUAUAACAGAUCCAAUUACCCUCGUUAUAUUCACUGGAUCGAAAGCUGACAUAGCACAAUUCUGAUAUGUAAUGUGAGUGAUGGGAGAGUCACAAAUUAUUGUAUAAAUUUAUUUGAUCUAAAUUAAUUAGUAUAAAUUGAUAGAAAUAUAAAAUAAUAAAAAUAUAAAUCACGUAGACCAAGGUGUAUUUAAUAAAACUAAUAAAAUUUUACUCAAUCAGUUAAUAUAAGAAUUUGUAAUUUUAUUAUUACUCAUGGUACUUGAACAGUGGCUGAUUGGUCAACUAGUGAUAUAAGUGGCAACGACUAAACUGUUGAGUCUCUACGUGGGUUUUCAAAAUGAGUCAAGAGUCAAGAAAUUAGCUGUAAACAUGUCUUUGAGAUGAUACAUUGUCAUCAUCAGCAUCAUAUCCUAAUUGACAAAGAAGGAUUGCGAGGGAAACUAAGCAUGUGCCUUCAUUUUCACUUGAAAUAAAGCGCAAGGGAAAGAUCUCAUGUUAUCACAUGAUGCCGUGUGAUCACCUAGAAGCCCUUCCACGUAUAUUUCUUCUCAAAUUGUCUUCUUCUAAUUUCUUGGGCCACCGCGGAACCACAAUGUCAAUGGAUGAGCGAGUGUUGCUCAGCUCGCAGCAUUUGGAGCCGGAGCUCAGCUUCCCUUAUUUGUUGGUCGUUUGGUAGGCGUCGCCAAAGGGCAAAGAGGAUCCUCUGGCGUUCGUGGAGCUGGUCCUCAAUGCGAUUGAUUUCUUCUCCAAGUUGAGCAAGUCUUUGUACCAUAGCCAUAGAAUUAUUUACUUUGGACCGAUGCAAUUCUCUUCUAAAAAUUUCAGGGAGCACUUUUCAUCUGCACCCAAAGAUUUCAUCAUAAUUUUAUUGUAUACACACUUGCUUCAACAGCUAUCACGGCUCACUCUUUUUUUGUUAAAUAUUGUUGUUGCCAUUAAUUUUGACAUAUUUGACGUUAAAAGACAACUUUACCUUUAUUUAUAUUUUUUAAUACAAAAUUACCAAAAAACCACAACACCAAUUUCUAAUUCCAAUUGACUUGUGGGGAUAUUAAAAUUUAAUUUUGGCAUCUUUGACCUUAAAAGAUAAUUUUACCCUUAUUUAUAUUUUUUAAUGCAAAAUUACCAGAAAAACCACAACACUAGUUUCCAAUUCUAACUCACCUAUGUGGAUAUUAAAAUUUCUUAAAGGUUAGAAAAAAAGUAAAAAUGUGUUGUUCAAAAUAUCUCCUCUGCCAUCAUCCAUAAACGUCCAUUCUUCAUAACAAUCUAGUAAACUUGCAAAAAGCAAGAUCCCAGUCAAUCAACCAGCCAAAAUUCUUCAUAAAGUUUAGCUUUUCUUAAAAAAACUUAAAUCUUGAGUUAAAAAUUUUAAUUCCUGAGACCCUAAAUUAACUGGUAUUGAAAGUCGCAUGUUUCUAUAACAAAAAUCUUCAAAAAUAACACUACAAUGAAAAUCUUCAAGUUAAAUAAAAAUUUAUAUUCAUAAUAUUUAUGAAUAAAUUAUAAAUAAUAUAGAGUGGUUUAAUUGAAUAUAGAGUAGUUUACAAUUUUAUAGUGUAUUCACUAAAUAGGAAUCGAAAUUAUUUGGAAACAUAAUGAGUUAGAAUCAGAAUAUGUAGAAUCGAAAUAAGGAAUUAGAAUCAGAAUAAUUUAUUUACUUGAACUGUAGGAAUCGUAAUUAGAAUGAGUUGUUUACGUGUUUACUUUGUCUUAGAAUCAAAAUCGGAAUUAGUUAAAUUGUAACAAAUUACUAUAAAAUCCUUAAUUAAUUUUUAUCAUAAUUAUUAUUUCUUAUUUUAACUAUUGUGAUUAUUAUUAAUAAAAAAAUUAUUUAUUAACAAUAAUUAUUGUUAAUUAUUAUUAUUAUUAAAAAGUUAACUAAAAAUUAUUAUUAAUUAUUGUUAAUAGAUUAAUUAAUUAUAAUACUUUUUAUUCUUGUUAUUAAUAAUAAUAAUAAUCCAUUUAUAAUUUAUAAUUUUAUUUAUAAUUAAGUGGAAAUUAAAGUGGUAGGGUCCCAAUCAAAAUGUGGCACGAACACAUUUAUCCAACAGCAAGAUUUUUCGAUUGCCAUCCCCACUAAUUUGGUGUAAUGACUAAGAGUUAAUUGAAAAAUAUUUAGUUUAAUUUUACAUUUAAUUUUUUUCAUUUUUGUAUUAAGAAUUAUUUGAAAAAUUAUUAUAUUCCCUUAAUUUUACCAGAAUCCCGUUGACUUAGCCCCGAGUCUCUUGAUUAAAGCGUUUUAAAAAAAAAAAAGUUCAAAAGAUUCAGAUAGCUCACUCGAUUAUAGGGCGUCUGCACCUUACGCUCGCUUUUGUUGUGCUGCCAGUAGCUGCUGCUUCCUUCAAGACCGAGCUCUCUGCCGCUGUUGCUUCCUUCAAGACCGAGCUCUCUAAGCCCCUCACUGUCGAUUUUGACCUUUGCUUCCUUUUGGCUUCACGAUCUAGAAGCCAUCGUCGCUUCAUUCAAGCCAUCACUUCACGAAAGAAAAAAUAAUAAUAAUAAUAGUGGUAAUAAUAAAUACUCUUACAGAUCUCUUCUUCAUCAAAUUUGUAAAAUUUAGAGAAAAUGCAAAACAGCAAUAAUGAUGAAGCUUCGGUGACAAAGACGACGGAGAAGCCGCCGCUGCCGAAGCGAUCGAAGACGAUCUCGACGACACUCACUUCCCAGGCCCACUUUUUCCCGCCGUUCGCCAAACCGACAAGCCGUUCGAUCUCCGCGUGUCCCUUGACUCCGAUGCUGUGGCGUCGUCUUCUUCGUCGUCGUCGUCGAGUAAUGGGUUUAACGAAAGAGACUGGAUGUACCCGUCGUUCUUGGGCCCGCAUAUGGGUCGGAGGCGGAUCAAAGUCAAACCCAAUAAGCUUGAAUUUAAAGGAAAUGAGGAGCAGAAGAAGAUUCAAGAGUUGGGUUCGAAGAAAGAAGAGAAGGAGGUGGCGAGUUUUUCAGUGACUCAGACGAGUUCAGUGAGUCAGUUGAGUGGAAAGACUCGUGGGUUAAAGAGCUCCUUGAUGACGUAUUACAUGGUUAGUAGUUUGAGUUGAGCUCAACUGCUGUAAAUUUCUUUAUAUUUUAGCUUAAAACGUUGACAAAUUAAACUUAAAAAAUCAAUGAAAUGUAAAGCUGGUAUUUUUCUUUUUCUUUUUUUCUUUCUAUCACUAAAGAAGAUAAAGAAUCGUGAUCAUAAAAUCUAAGUAUUACGAAUGCAAUCUUCAUCGCAAUUGAACAUUGUAGGACUAUUUUCUAAAGUUGAAUGAAAUCAACAUAUUCACGCAUACAGCCCAGCAAAAGAAAACUUCACUCAAUGAAAACCGACGCCAAUGCUUAAUUAAAGUCAAACACAUGACAUUAAGAAAUUUCUAAUAAUCUUAGAAAUAAGCUAGUCCAUAAUCACUUGAGAUCAUUUCCUCACCCCAUAAUCCAUCAACUAACUGAGAAAUGACAACUCACCAAUUAGUUUUUCAUCAGAACUCAUAACACAGCACUUACCCAUUCACAUAAUAAAAGUAUUGACAUUAAUGAGAGCGUAACUUAAUCAAAUAAUAAUCCAUUAAUAAAAUGAAAAUUAACAACUUAUACCUUCAUAGAUGAUUCUUGUGCACUUGACUUUCUAAGCAAAGAACGUCACUAUUCUUUUCAAGAAGGCAGCCACCACAAAGCAUAGAAGCUUCUUCAUAUAAUAGUACAACAAUCAAAACCUGAAACAUACGCAUUAGUAUUAAUUUAUUAUAAUUUAGCAGCAGUAAAUAUUUUUAUAAAAAAGUUAUCUGCAGUAAAUAUAAGAAUAACAAAGAAUAAAAUCUUAGAUCAACAACAGAGAACCUAAACUCUACAACUUGCUUGAACUACUAUCAACAUCAUACUGCAUAAUCAAAUAGACAAAAUAGUUUAAUAUAUAAUUUGUAUUGACCUGCAUACUAUCACGUAAAAAAUAUUGUAACAAAAACAAAACAUAAAAUUGUUUGGUGAUCACAAUGGAUCCUGGAAUGACAACAACUACAUUAUUAUAAUGAGUUUGACAUGUCAUUGUACAUGGAUUCGUUAUGAUGAAUCAUGAAACACCGUUGAGUAGUUAAUUCAGCCACUUUUCACCUAUAAAUUUGAUGGCAUACUUUGAAUACACAACAUGGUUAUAAAUAUAAGUUUAGAGAAUUUUUGUGGGAAAGAAUAAUUUUGUUGACAAAAGAUUAAGUACAAAAAUUAUAACAUCUCCAUUUUUAAUAUAGCUGACAUAAGUUAUUCGAGUGAAAAAAAAAAAAGAGGGAACUUAGAUACGCCAUAUUAAAUAGGGCAGUAAUAAAAAAAAUCUAAUUGACAUAAAUUAUUUGAGCAAAUGACAAAUUUUUGCUAAGAAACUCGUUUUCAUUUUUUCCCAAAUAAUAAUCAAUGUUUUUUUCCACUACGCAUCGAAAGAGCUCGCAUCGACAUCAAUCAUGAACCAGUCGUGGCCUAGCUAUAUUGCCUGCAUUAUGAAUACCACCUAUGACCUUUACAGCCUAACCGUUUAUCUCAGUCUAUUUUUAAUACUCAGUCACAGGUCCAGACCAUUCAAGUUCAGGACAUGACCCUACUGGUCCCAUUAUAUAUCUAUUUAAAUUUCUUUUUUUUUAGAAUGUCUAUUUAGAUUUCUUAAAUUUAAAAAACAAAUCAACUUCUAGCCCUUUAAAAAAAAAAAAAUCUAAAAUCAACAAAGCUAUUAAUUUGAAGAUAUUUUGAAUUCCAAUUCCCAAUUAAAAUCAUGAAUAUAUCAGCUAUAUCAUAGCUUCAGCAUAACUAGUAAGUGGUGACAUCAAAUUUUCAAAUAUUUGGAACUGGAAGCAAAUAUCUAGUUAAUGAUUAAAGUAGUUGACGAAUAAAACCUCUCGUAUUAUCAUAGAGGCUACCCCAAUAGCUUGCAAUAACUAUGUAUGGUGCAGUAAAGUUUCAGGAUAGAUGAAUAAACUAAAAAGCAAAAGAGAAAUAUCAGUUGCAGCAAGAACUACGUCAUCUCCACCUCGAUUAUUAUUCAAAUAUUAACACCAAAUGUCACUGAACAACACAAGAGAAACAUGAUCCAUAUUUUAAAUGUAUCUGAAUAGCAUAAAUAUGAAAAUCAUUGCAGAAAGUAAAAAAAAAAAAAGAAAAAAGUAAAGAGAAAUUUAUCUCACAGCAUUCCUAUUAUUAAAAAAUAUCAAAUAAAUGUGCUCCGAGAUAUAACUUCAUGCACAUUCAGAAGUUCUCAGGCCAAAGAACAUUAUAGCAACUACAAAAACUCAUGAGCCAGCAGGUCUUGUCCCAGUACAAGGUGAAGCAACUAAAAUUAUGCUUUAAGAACUUUAUAUAUAUAUAUCACGAACGCAGGAAGAAAAUUAUUUCUAUAUCAAAAUCAAGAUCACCCAACCAAACAAUGGUACCUUCCAAUAUACCUAGUGUAUGUAUAUAGGCAUCCAUUGAUUGAUACUUUGAAUUUAAUUAAUAAAUCAAUUUCAGGUGUCAUGUUUCCACAUUAAAGAGAGAUAAUAACAAUUAACUAGAUAUGACAGGACUGGAUAAAAAUUUGCUCAAAAUAUACUACAAAGAUCAAAUUUUAUUACUUUUCACCUGCUGUCAUUUCUCUCCAACGUCAGAUCAUGACCUCGAGCAACUCUUUCGGCUUUCUUCGCCCAUUUUUCUUCUUUUUACAGCAUGAAGCUAAUACGAAGCCAAAUGAAAAGUAGAUUAGUCAUUUCAAAUUCAAUUUAAUUGUCAAUUGAAAAGUUCAAUUGUUACCUUCAUCAGCUGUAGAAUCAAUAGUUAAUGAAAUAUACAAUAAGAAGAGUAAAAAAUUUCACCUGCAAAUUAGGACAGCCGAGGAAGCAUCCGUAAACAUAAGAGUAAUUAUAUCACUCUGAAAUUUCAUAAGAGAGAAUUAGGACAGCAGCGAAAGAAAUAAACAAAGCAAUUUGCAAAGGACACAGGCAUAAACAUGAUAGUAAGAAUAAAAUAUCAAACUGUAAGAAGAAGCGAGAAAAACAAAUCAAAAACAAACUGAGAAGCAGGAAGAGCUGUGAUGGUAAAUUCUUCAUCUAAAGCAGUUGAAGAACGAGCAAUGGAUACCGGUCCUUCUUCGUGCUAUCGAGAAAGGAGUCAGAGUUGAGAUCGAGAGAACAACGGAGACCGAUUCUUCGUCUCCGUAAUUUUCCCCUUUUUCUAAAAUGCUAUUUCGCAUUUCCUUUGCUUUUUGGUUUCCGUAUUUCGAUUUUGUUUUUAAUUAGGUAAGAAAAAAAGAUCGGGCCCUAUUUCAAAAGAAAAAUAAGAAGGGGCCCUAAAAGUAAUUUUUCCGAGCCCAUGCAUUCGAUUAAAAUAUUUCAUUAUCUUAGUGGACAGAUUGCCCAAGAAAAAAUAUUCGAUUAAAGCACAUAUUUUAAAAGGUAAAUAACGCGCUCAGAGAUGUUUAAUCAAUAAUACAGUUGUUUAUUAUAGUGAUAACUACUACUUAUAUAUUAAUUCUUCAAAAUAAUUCCACAUUUAUCAUAUUAUCAUUUACUUAUUUUGUAAGCGUUUUAAAGAUAUUUAAAAAUUUUUCCAUUUGACAAUGCUCAAUUAAGGGUAAAGUUUAAAUUAUGUCACAAAAAGUUUUUGAACAGCAUUACACAAAGCAUUUACUGUUUUAACAAAAGAAUGCAUAUGAGGGGACAAAAAAAAGUAAAAGUAUGAGUUUGACUAUUAUCACAGUAAUUAUUUCUAUUUCAAAAGUUGAAAUGUGAACCUUAACAUAUUUUGCGGAAUUUUUUCAAUUACUUUUUAAAAUUACAUGUACAUGGAUGAUUGCUUACUAUUGUGAAAGGCGAUAUAUUUAAUUUGAAGAAAAUUCCUUCUAGACCGGUAGCGUUGGUCGUAGUUGCCCUGUCGAAGAAGUGUUGUUAGCUCGAAACCUAUUGCAAAUGUCAAUGCAAAAUGGUUUCAAUGUUUCGUUGUAGAGCUGACGACAAGCUUCUGAAAACAACGUGCCAUAUUGAAACACAACAACAAUAAUGGCAGUGCCAAUCCAUGUCGUGUACAAAAUGAAAUGGCCAAUAUUGGAACGUGGAAUAAAUGUGGAGACCAAUGAUAUUGCCGAAUUCGAUCCUGAGACAAUAGCAACAAGGCCCCAGAAUUGGGAAGAAUUUUCUAGAUGAAGCCGAGACUUGAGGUCUGCUGAAUGUGCAUAACAAUAUAUGGCUGUGGCAAUGAGAAAAGACAAUAUAUUUAUUGAGUGUGUUUCAAGCAAGGGCUUAGUUUUGCCUUGCACAUUUGCACCCACAAUGCCAAUGAGAGCUGGAAUCAGAUAUCCAAAAAUGCUGGGAUAUGACAUCGACCAGAAGAGAUUUCGCCCACUGCAAGAUCAUUAAAAUGAUUAAAUCAUCUUUUGUAUAUCCCAUUUUUUGACAAAAAAUUAAAAUUGAAAAGCUCUUGUAUUAAUUUCCUCUCAGUUUGUCUAUCAAUUUUUUUUCUUUUGACUGAAGCAAUUCUCCUCUAAAAAUUUGAGGGAACACUUUUCAUCUGCACCCAAAUGUUUCAUCAAAAUAUUAUUGUAUACCCAAAUGUUUCAUCAAAAUUUUAUUGUAUACACACUUGUUUCAAUAGCUAUCACGGCUCACCCAUUUAUGUUAAAUAUUUUUUUUUUUGCCAUUAAUUUUGACAUCUUUGACAUUGAAAGACAGUUUUGCCCUUACUUAAAAUUUUUAAGUGUAAAAUCACCAAAAAAAACUACAACACUAGUUUCAAAUUCCAAUUGACGUGUGUGAAUAUUAAAAUUUCUUAAAAGUUAAAGAAAAAAAGUAAAAAUAUUUUGUUAUGGGAAUCAAAAUAUCCCCUGUACCAUCAUCAUCCAUAAUCGUCCAUCCAUGAUAACAAUUUAAUAAACUUGAAAAAGCUAGAAAUCCAAUCCCAGUGCAUCAAACAGCCAAUUUUCUUCAUAAAGUUUAGCUUUUGCUUUUAAAAAUUCUAACUCUUGAGACCCUAAAUAAACCCAUAUUCAAAGUUACAUGUUUCCAUAUAACGAAAAUCUUCAAUUUACCCCUUUAAAAUUUUGAAAACAUUAAUUUACUUCUAUUUAUCAGUCAAAAGAUUAAAAUAAAUGGAGACACGUUGAGGAUAAACUUUUUAACUUCAAAGUGGUAUUUGAUAAAUAUAAAUAAAUUGAAAAUUAUCAUUUUUUAGUGGGAAUAAGUUACUAAGAGAAAGAAAGAAAACAGAAAACAAAUCUCUUCUAUAGCAGUCUUAACAAAAUUUUCAGCAGGGACUUGAACCAAUUUUUUCACGGAAAUUAAUUAACAGAACAAAAACGCUUUGAAGUGGACUGCACAUAUAUAUAUAUAUACUCAAAAAUAAAUAUACAACUGGAGUCAAUAACGGUAAAUAAAAUGAACGUACACAGAAGGGUUUGGAUUUGGAUGAUGAAGAAUGCACUGACAGCUUUGCAUUUGCAUGCAUAUAUAUCUCAGCAAACCCUGGAUUGAGUUCUUUUUCUCUCGGUAAAUAAGGUAGGGAACAGCAAACCCGAUCAAUUUUCAAAAAAGAAAAAACAAAAACAAAAACUGAAAUGUAAACUCAGCAUGAAACUUGGGAGGGAAAGGGGAGGGGUGAAAAACGGUCACCUUGAGAACCGUCUCAAUUAUCUCUGCUUCAAAAAAUCAUCCCGUGGGUAUUUAUAUUUUAUUUUCAAGUCGUUGAUGCCGCGAGUCCACGGCUGGAUAAGUACGGGGUUUCGAAGAAAUAACGUGCGCGAUUCUAAACAUUGUUUAAUUACAAUUCCAAAGUGUUGAAAAUGACUGCGUUAUCCCCCGACUUUUUCAAUUCCUACCGAGUGUUGAAAAUGACUGCGUUAUCCCGUCUUUUUCAAUUCCGACCGAGUGCUGAAAAUGACAGCGUUAUCCCCUGUCUUUUUCAAUUCAAAAGUGUGUGGCAUCUCUGUAGCUCAAUUCAUGUACCCCUAGAUGUACAUGUAAGAAGAAAUGCUCUUCCAAAUAACAUAUUGAUACUAGAUCUACUGUUGUUUCUUCAGAACUUGUUAGGAAAGGUUACUAGCAGGUAAAUUAGAUGCAUAUACAUACUGCUAUAGGAAAUUGAACAGCUCCUUACAUAAUUGGUGUAACUUCUUAUACAAACAAGAUCCCUUCCCGGCAAUAGAUAGACAUCAAUAUUCAGAUACUCAAGAAAUUAUAAGGGUGUUGAAUGUUAGAAACUUUACUUCCCCCCAACAUAAGCUCCCAGUUUAGACAGAUCAGGAUUCCAAAAUGAUAGCUCAGAUGAUCCGAUACAAACAUGAGACUUCCAGGGGCCCAUUUUAUGACAGGAGGCUCUGUAUGAAAACUCAUCCAACUUGCAACCCUGACAAGAAAAAUAAACAACAACAAACAAUGUUUAUAUAAUAACAAUACCAACGUCAAAAGAGUAUAGUAUUUGGAUAUAGAACUCAUUACGCAAACUGGUGCUCAAGGUACUUGCUCAAAUGUAGAAUCAAAAGCAUUGUUGGUUUGCCCAGAAGACUGUGAAUACUAUGACUGGGUCAGUGUAGGGGAAAUAACAUCCCUUUGAAUUCUAAGCAUUCAAAAGGCACGAGAAUCAAGGAAUUUUGCUUAUCAAACCUCUUUCCCGCUCCUUGCACUCCAAGCAUAUACACUACCAUCACCAGAACCUUCCAAAACCCAAGAAAGUAAAAUUAGCACAGAGAGUGCAACUAAUGAGAGGUGCUUGGCCACACUAGGUAGGUUGCUUCCGCAUGUGUGGGUGCACUCACUAUGUCAGCAUUUCAUUGAUUUAUUUUCAUUAACAAGCAGGUCAAUGGAAAAAGAGAACAUAAAUUCAUUGCAAAGAACUCUGUGGAAACAAGCUUGAUGCCCAACAUUUCAAGUCGUGUAUUUCAAAUACCAACAAGGUGGUAACAAAAUUGAGAAUUAUAUACAGCACAAGUGCAAGAACCUUAAUAAACAGCCAAAAGCAAAUAUUAAUAAAUUAUCCAAGUCACUGUGCCCUAAGAACUGAAAGGAGAAACUCUACCUAGCUGAAAGAUGCCUCCAAUGUGGAAUUGCGAGAAACUGGCAUCGCAUUAUAAAUGGAUAAAUAAAAACAACAGCAAACAGAAGCUCAUUAACAGAGAUUCCAAUGUAUAGAGGGAUAUAUAUGUACAAUAUGUUACAUUUGGGAGAUGAAGAAAGAAAAAGUAAACUCACAAGUGUGCCUUGGAAUGAGUGGAGCACAUGAAUAUGUCCUUCCAUAGUGGUCAGAAGCAUGUCUCCCAUCAUUGCUGAGCUUUACCUCAUUAGCAUCUGAUACAUCUCCACCAUCAGAGAAGAUGUCGAAAGGACCCUAAGAGUAUUCAAAUUUAACCAAAUUAGUGCAUGAUAAAAGGACUACGACAUAUAAACUUCCAAGAUAUUCUUAAAUAUUAAUUUUAACCUCAUACUUGCGAGCAUCAAACAAUCUUAUGUAUCCUCCAAAGGCAACUGCAAAGACAUGCCCUUGAUCAUUGUAUGCUGUAGCAGGCCUUCCUUGAACAUGCAAAAGACCCUGAUUUGCCAACAGAGAUCAUAAAUACAAUUGAAAAUGGGGGAAAAAACGGUUUGGAUGUGACCAUGCAUGGCAUGAUAUCCACCUGGCAUUUCUCAGCCUGUUGAUCCCAGAGCAGAACAGUUCGAUGAAGAGAACCAUAGAUAAAGCAAUCUUUGGAGGAGCACAGGCUAAGUGAAACAACCCUAGAAGCAGUAAAACAUAUAUAAAGAUAAUAAUGAUUACAAAACAUUUACAAGAAUCAGCAAAUUACAAACCUUUCAUGAUGACCUUUGAAGCAAUGCAUGAACUUGUUGUCGUGGAAGGAAAGAAGCCUUAGAGAUUCUGAAUAAAUGAACAUAUCAAAUAAGUGCCUAGUAAAGCAAUCCACCAACAUGCAAAACACAAAUAUUCCGAUAAACAUACCAUCCCAACCAUUCUUGAGGAAUAUAUGAAAUGUAAGUUAGGGAUUGCCAAGAAAAAAACUUUGAUCAAUUUCCAGCUGAGAAUAUUUAUGCCAACUCUUGCCGCAAUCACAUCUGCAAUAGUUCCCACUGUUGGAUACACUAACUUAUAAACAGCAAUUCUGACAGAAAAAAAAACGGGGGUUAAAGUUAUAAGUACAAUCAAUUAGGUGGUAGCCAUGCAAUAUGAAUGUACUUGGUUUGCUGCCUAAUAGCUAGGCAUACAUAUAUAUAGGCAUUCAUUAAUAUCGAAUUAUUUUUAACAUUCAAAUAAGUUAGAAAAAACAUAGAAAAACUUACGGGGCACAUAUCGCCAUCCCACUGGCUAGCCCAUAAAAGAAGCCAUCGACGACCUCCGGAACACCAGCAUUUCCAGCAGCAGCUGAUGCUACAUGGCUAAUGUGUACACACACAUGUUCAUCUCUCAAUAUCAGUGUGUGCAAUAAGUGAAAAGAUAUAUAAAUUAGAUUGAAAGCACAAGUAAAUAAACAUGAAUGAAUACCUGCCAUGUCCAACAGCAUGAAAGGGCGAAAGAAAGUCCACAGAAGUGUUAAGAAUAUAUGAAAUGUAUAUUCUUGAGGAAAUUACAACAAUUUCCUCUCAAUUUCACAAUUAUUUGCGCUUGAAUGACAGAAUGAGCUUUGAUCAUUAAUUUAUCCAUGCAUGAAGUUAUAGUAGAUAUGAAAUUACGUGGACAAAAAAUUAUUAUUUUUUACCUUUUUUUACCAACACCGAUAUGCUCACACCAAACUUCUUUUACAGUUAGCACAAAACGGUUCGUUUUGUGCUAACUAUAAAAGAAGUUACUGUAGCUUCAAAACACACGCACUCGUCUUGCUCAGACGCAAGCGCAGACCACACGCACACUCGUCUUACUGAAACGCAAACGCUGAGGAGGCAGAGACUCGCCGUGGAAAGUUUGUUUGACAUAAGUUGUCUGACGAUUUUGCCCUUGAAAUGAAGAUUACGCCUCAUGACUUAAAAUCGCUUGGGUUGUGUUUCUGUUUCUGCGUUUGUUCUUCCUCUUCGCUUUCGGCAAGUGAAAUAAAUGAAUAAACAUUAGAUGGAGUUUUAUUCAAUAUUUAAAAUUUUGUUAAUUUGUAACGUGAUUGGAAUUUUAAUUAUUAUAAGAAAUAAGUUCUGGAUCGGAUUUUAAAAUACUUUAUUUGAAUACUCUAAAAAAUGCAGUAUGUUCACAAACUGUAAUUGCCGAUAUAAUUCCCCAGAACCCCAAUUCCAGAUUACUUAAAUCACGGCGGGGGCUGCGGUAUGUUCACAAGGUAAAAAAUGCAGUACGUUCACCAUUCCAAGUAUAACCCUUUUGACACAGUUCGCCUUCUAUUUCAAAGUUCAUACAUUUUCAAAAUUAUUAAACUAAAAUCAGCCAGAACCAAUUUUUUUUCCUUUUCAACUUCUAUUAAAAUUUCACUAUAAUUUAAAUAAAAUAAAUUAAAAAUCCAGCCCAAAAAACGAUUGCUGCAAUACUGAGUGGCAAAACUUAAUUGCUAUCGUUACCGCAAAAUUCAACACCCAACAACCAAAAUUUCAAUUUCAAAUCUAACCUUAAAUCCACCAACUGAAAACAAAUCCACACGAAAUGCGACAUCAAAUGAAAGGAACAAGAAGUCAAAAUCAAAACCGAUGAAACCUUUAUUAGAGAGAAGAAAGAAAGCUUCGUUGUAUAAAGAGAAUGCGCGCGAUCGAAGGCUGUGCUGUAUAGAAAUAAAACAGCGAUCGAAGAAAGCGUCUUCGCUAUCGUUGUAUAGAGAGAACAGAGCGAUCGAAGACUGUGUCUUCACGAUGGGAGGCUGUGUUGAACAGAACGAUCAAAGACAGCGUCUUCAAGAGAGAGCAUAGAGCGAUCGAAGACUGCGUAUUCACGAUCAGAGGCUGUGUUGAACAGAAGGAUUGAAUGCUGUGCUGUAUAGAGAGAUCGAGGAGUAGAGAGAAGAUACCGGCGAUGACGCAAGAGCAAAGGCUCUGAAUUUAUAGGGGAGGGAUUAGCGCAACUUGACGGCCGUUAUGACCGUAAACGCCUCUGUUAGAUUUAACGGAGAAGUCACGGGGUUACCCGAUGGUCAUCAGCAUCUGGGAAUCUCAUCAGUUUAAUUAGUUAAAAAGAAUUAACCUUUUGCUUCAGAUCAAACGAUUCACAGUUAACCUUGAACAUCAAACAUGCAGGCUAAACUAUCAACUCAUACACAUUGAUUUUUUUUUUUCCGGUGACAUUAACGUCAAUGGUUAAAUAUAUAAGUCUAAAUUCAUAAAAUAUUAAUAUAGUUUAGGGGUCUAUCAAACCAACAGCAUGGUUGAUGUGUUUACUGAAUAAACAUUUAACACCAAAACAAGCUAGACCUACCCCAAACUAUAUGGCGGAUUGGAAGUUUUUGAAUUACCAGUUUCACUGAAAAAAAAGAUGGUGAUAAGUUAGGAUUCUAACGCUCUUUUAUACUAAUGCUGCGUUUACUUUUUGGAUUGGAGUGGAAAUCCUGAGGAGUGGGAAUCCUUGGAUUAGGAGUGUGGAGUGGGAGUGGGAGUAGGGUGUUUACUUAGACUAAAUGAAAGUAUGGAUUGUCAAUCAGAAUCCUAAUUAUUUGUUUACUUUGUCUUGGAUUGGGAGUAAAUUGUUUUAAAUUACCAUUUUAUCCUUAUGUACAGAAUUAUAAUUUGUAAUUAAAAAAUUAAUAAAAAAUAUAUUUAGAAAAUAAAAUAAAUAUUUUAUUAUAUUUAUAAAUUAAUAAUAAUUACUAAUAUUCUUAAUUAUGUAAAUCAUAAUUUUUUUAUUAAUUUAAAUUUAAAUUAUGUGAAUAAAAAUUAUUAAUAAUAGCAACACAAAUGAAAUAUUAUUAUUGAUAAUAUAGUACAAAAUUAAUAUUUUUUUAGAAUAAAAUAUUUAUUAUUAUUAAUUAAAUAAAUAAUUAAUAUUUAUUAAAAUUAAUUUUUAAUAUUAUUAAUUUAAAUAUAAUAUUUAUUUAUUUUUAUUUUAUUAAAUUUAAUAAAAUAAAUAUGAUAUAAUUAUUAUUUUUAAUAAAUAUGAUAUUAUUUAUUUUAUUAAAUAUGAUAUUAUUUAUUUUAUUAAAUAUGAUAUUAUUUAUUUAUUUAUUUUUAUAAGGAUAAAAUGGGAAGAGGGGGGAGUGGGUUCCCACUCCCACCUCCCCCCAUGGGAGUGGGAAUCCCACUCCCCACUCCAAAAUUGGGUGGGACCCACGGAUUCCCACUCCCACUCCCCCCCUUUUUAAGGUAAGUAAAUACUGGAGUGGAAGGAAUCCACACUCCACACUCCCACUCCAGAAAGUAAACACUACCUAAAUCAUAAAACAUAAAUUUACCGAAUUAGGUAACCCGAAUUAUGAUGUCUUAAUAAAGUUGUAAUUGCAAAACAAGCCAAAACUUAAAUCCAAGUCUAAAGAAAAAACCAAAGAUCUGAAAAGAAUUUUAAAAAUUAGAAAUGAAAACUUCAAAUAAUGAAAUGAUACCCAGAGCAAAUGAAAUUGGAGAUGAUAACCAUAGCGUUAGUAACGCGUCGUUAAAUUGUCAUAACUCGAAACCACGUUAUUCGUUCAUGCACGAUACCUCUGGACUGAAGACCCAAAAUAAUAUAUUUUUUUUAAAAGUAAUGAAAACCGAAAUUACAAGUAUUCUACUAUUUUUUUUAAUUUAAAGGGACCAAUGAAAACCGAAUGAUCAAAACUGCGUUAUUUGUUCAUACACGAUACCUUCAGGAUUAUAACUCAUAUCACAUGAGACUAUUUACUAAUAUAUUUAUAAUCAGAUAAUUAUUAGAACAAUAGACCAUAUUUUUUAGGUUUUCAAAUAUUUAAAAAAUGUCUACUCCACUCUCAUUUCGAAAGAGAAAAAAUUACUUUUACAUAAUUAUUUUUAUAAUUGAGAAGAAAAUUUUAGCUUCCACAAAAUGGAUGGAGGGCAGCAGCUCAAGGCAAGUAUUCUCUAUUGUUAAAUUGUCAUUAAUUGGAAAGCGAGUUAUUCGUUUAUACGCGAUACUUUUGGACUCAAGACCCAAAAUGGAUAAUAAAAAAUUGAAAAAAAUUCAAAGAAAGAAGUAAAAAGUAAUAAAACCGAUAUUACGGGUAGUCUACUAUUCUUCUUGUCAUGAGUCGACUUUUUCCAAAAAAAAACCAACAGUAAAGUAAAAAAAAAGAAAAAAUAGUUAAUGGAUAUUUCUACGUAAAUGGUGUCAAAUAACAAGUUUAUUUAUUUAUUUUUUGGGGAUGAAAUAACAAGUUUAAUUAAAUAAUAUGCAUAUGUCUUAUACACAUUUUUGCUUCUUUACCCUCUGUGUUGAAUGAGAAUGAAAUUGACCCGGACAAGGACAGUAUGGCGUAACUCUUAUUUACUACUUGAAUUCCUCUCUCUUUAUUCUUUCCCAAUAACCCCAUUUAUAACACUAUUUCUUUGAUAUUUUUGUAAUAUUUUAUCACAAUAUAUAUUUAUUGCAGUGCACAAUUAAGAUUUAACAAUAGGGUUAUAAAUUUGAUAAGCAUAAUAUUGUUAACUGUUAAGCAUCCCACUUAUAUAUAUAUAUAUAUAUAUAUAUAUAUAUAUGAUAAUUACAACACCUUUAAGUAGCAUAGUUCUACUUACAAAUUUAAAUACAGUGUUAAGUUGAGCUGUGUUAAUUGAUAAAUCUUGAUUUUAAAAAAAAAAUUAGAGAAGAAAAGAGUAAAGAAGGAACUAAGAAGAAAUAACUUUAAUAUAUUAAAAAUUAUAUAAACUUAAAAGGGGGCUUUUAGGACAAUAAAUGAUAUAUACAUUUUUUAACAAAAGAAAUUUAAAUUUAUUUUUAAAGUCACCAGGAGCUUCAAUUCUUAGUGGGCACCAUAUGGCAUGUGGAAUCAUUCAAGGGUCUUAUAGUAAGUAAAUCGCUUUCCUUUUUAUAUGUGAAUAGAGAUAGUAUGAAUGAGCAUAUGAUUUUUUUUUUCAAAUAUUGAAAAAGAAAUAAAUAUAUUUUAUAAAAAAAAUAAAAUAAAUAUGUCAUUCCGAAAUUUACAUUAAAAACUGCAUACUUAAGAUUUUAAUUAAAUCAUGCUUAUUCAAAUUUCAAACAAAAAUAAAAAUAAACAUCACCAUUGACCUUUAAUUAAAAAGUGUAGGGGGUAAUAGUGAAGACGAACUUUUUUAUAAUAGCGAUUAAAACAUGACCCUAACUCUAAUUGUAGGGUCAAAUUUAUAAAAAGUAGUAACUUUUUUUAACGCAGGACGGACUGAUUUUAUUGUUGUAGGUAAUCUCGUGUCAUACGCAAAGUGAAAAAGAGUGUGAAACGACGAUAUUAUUCCAAGCACAUGCUUGGGCGCGGCGGGCCCUCGCAAACCCAUUUUAACACCGCGUUAGCCUUGUUUGGCUAAAUAAUAUGCAUAUGUCUUAUGAACGUCUUUACUUCUGACCCCAUGCGUUGAAUGAGAAUGAAACUGACACAAAAAAAGACAGUAUGGCUUAUCUUUUAUUUAUGACUUUGAAUUCCCCUUUCUUUAUUCUCUCUUAAUGACCCCAUUAACAACGCUAUUUCUUUGAUAUUUUUAUAAUCUAACUCGCUUGGUUCACUUAGUGAGGUGAGCUUCAAAAUAUUGGUCUUGUACCCUUCAGGAUUUAAAAUCUCUGUUAACUAUGUGACACGUCCAUCUUGUUUCCUCCUAAUUUGCUCCCCUAUGGCAUUAAGGUGAAUCUUCUUCAUUCACAGAGAUGUUAAGUAACUCAGCAUUAUCAGCAAGACCUAUUCAAAUUGUGUUUGUGUAUGUAUGUUGUAGCUUUCUCUCCUACGCCUAGCCUUUAUGCCUCUUAUGCCUCAGUUUGACAAGGCCAUUGGUAACAAUCAGCAAUAGCAAUACUGCCUUUCUUCAAUCAUAGCAGUGUUUAUCGGGUACAUAAGAUCAAUUAUCUUCUUAUUAAUUAAAAAAAUAAUAAAAUAAUAUAUAUUUAUAAAUGUAUAAAUUAAUUUUAUUUGAUAUUUAUAUUCUUACAAUAGUUUAACAGUAAGAUUUACCGAACAUAUACGAUUGCUUUUAAAACGCACAAUACUUUUAAAAAUAAAUUUUAGUAAACGUUUAACUGAUUCUCUUUACAAUGAUUAUUUCUAUAGCAUAGCUAACAUCAAUUAUUUUUUAAAAGUCCUAAUAGCAAUUCAUUACCAACUUUUUUUUUGCCACAACAGCUAUAGCUUAAAAGUCGUAUCAUCUUAAUACCAAAUAGGGCUAUAGUAAUUUAGUGCCCAUUUUUUUUCUUUUUUCUUUUUCUUUAGCAACUUAAAAAAAAUCUAAAACAAAAAAGGAAAAUUGAGUAUGAAAUCAAGCAUUAGUCAAGUAUAAAGUUGAGUAAGUCGAGUAUAAAAUUAGGUACUUUUUAUAUGAUUUUAAAUAAAGGGGAUUUUAGUUUUUUUCUUUGUGAUUUUGGAUAUAUUUCUAUAAUACCAGUAGAGUAAACUAUGUAAUAAGCAUAUAUUUUUCAUUUUGCUGUGAAUGGGACAUAUCCAACGCUAUUUGCUCCCGUGACCGAUCUUUAUAACAAAUCCAAUCGCCCUCGUUAUAGUCACUAGAUAGAAAGUUACCAUAGUACAGUUCUUAUAUGUAAUGUGAGUGAUGGCAGUGUUACGAACCUUUGUAUAAGUUUAUUUUGUAUAAAUUAAUUAGUAUAAACUUAUUGAUUGUAUGAAAAUAUAAAAUAAAAAAUAUAAAUAAUGUAGACUAAUGUGUAUUUAAUAUAACUAAUAAAAUUUUGCUACAUCAGUUUAUAUAAGAAUUUAUAGUUUUAUUAUUACUCAUAUUAAGUAAACAGUGCGUGAUUGGUCAGACGGCGGCAUAAGUGGCAAUGACCAAAUUGUUGAGUCGCUGACGUGGGUUCUCAAAAUGAGUCGAUAGUCAAGAAAUAAGCUAUCAAGUUAUGACAAUAUAUUGUAAACAUGUCUUUAAGAUGAUACAUUAUCAUCAUCAAUAUCAUAUCCUAAUUGAAAAAGGUUUGCAAGGGUCCGCCGUGUCCGAGCAUGUGCUUUCAUUUUCACUUGAAAUAAAGCGCGAUGGAAAGAUCUUAUUUUAUCACAUGCCGUCCAUGUUGGGGAAAAAUCAGAUUUUUAAAUUUUUAUAAAACCUUUCGAAGAUUGCUCUCAUAUAAUAUAUAAGAAUACGUAAUCUAGAAAUCAUACCUUGAAAAUCUGAUUGGACUUUUUCUGUUGAAGUGAUUUAGGCUCCUAGAUCACGAUCCGCCACCACCACUCCUGUUAGAUCACGAUCUGUCACCACCACGCUUGUUAGAUCACGAACUGUCACCAAUGAUCUUCCAGGUUAUGACUCAGGUUCGAUUUGCACUUGACGUGUGAACGCCUUUAUCACUACCAAAACAACUAGCACGAGAAAAUUUUUCUCUCAACAACAGAGAGAAAAUUUUUUUUCUCUGAUCUGUAUAAAGUGGCUUCUCCUUUUUCUUUUUAGAAAAUAAGCCUUAUAUAUCUCCCUUUAGUGAAAAUCCUAGGCUCCAAAUAAUACCCCAAAAUAAAACUCACCGUUACUUUUUAUUUUAUAAGGGACCCACCAUGUAAAAUAACAUAAGGCCCCUUACACAUAAGCUAAUUAAAUGGAGCCUCCCACUAAAUGAUAUAUUUAGGCUUUUGACCCAAAUAGAUAGUUAUCUUACUUAUUAGUCCAGUAGUGGUGCAGUCAAUUAAAUGAGCUAACCCGGGGAUCAUUUGGGAACAUACAAUAGUGGCUACAAUAAUUAGGCCUAUAAUUAAACUAGCCCAAUUAUUUAAUUCCAAAUCUACUCCACUAAAAGAUUGGAACUGACUUCCAUAAUUGUAUGCUCGAAUAAUAAUUCGUCCCAAGCCACAUUGAUUUCUUUACUGCACAAUCCUUUGUACCACAUCGUUAAUUAAAUUGAUAUCUCAACUGUCCAAUCAAUUUAAUAACAUCUUAUUCCUUGAUCCUUACUGGUUUUCUCUAAUGAUCAUUUUCAACAUACUAAAUAUGUUGACACACUCUGGCCAGAGAAUUCUAUGAUCAAGUGCCGAAAACCCAUCAAGAGAUGUGUUGUACAAAUUCUAUAUUGUUAAUCUAUAACUCCAAUACUCAUAAAUGCUCCCACCAAGAUACCGGGUAAUCUAGACUACAUGUAUGUGUCAUGCCCAUUGGUAACUCAAAUGAAAUAACAAUUACAAUCAUGAAAUCAUAAUUAACUCAAGAUUAAGAUUACAGUAAAAUCAAUGCCUAUGAGAUUUAAUAAGUCUGACAGUUAUUACAAAGUUAAUUAAAUCUCAUAUGUGAUCCUGUUCAAUGUAGUCGUACUACAUCAAUAAAUCCAUACAUGAUUAAGACAAAUCAUUCAAUGAAUUUAUUACAGUCUAUACCUAAAUAAAGUGCCCCACUUUAUUUAUCAACUGCGAACUAAAUUUAUUUAAUCAUAAGAUAACUUGUAUUUAUGUCUUCUGUGAAUCCACAUGGUGAUCACAUAAAUAUAAUAUGAUUAAAUGGACUUUAAUAAAAAUAUUAAUGCAAUUAAGAUAUUUGCAUAAAAUACCUCAUUAUUUUUAUUAAUCAGAAAAAAUAUUUAUUACAAUUAAAUAAACACAUAUGUUUUUAAAGAGCAUAUUUUCCCAACAGUCCAUUCGACGCAUAUUUCCACCCCCAUUACCCUUACAUAAGAAAAGAUUUCUGGUGCUUGGAACAUUACUCCAUAUCUUUUCAAGUCUAUUCAAGUCUGUUAAUAAUUAAGCUAAACCUAUGAGUCUCCAAUAUUGGGCGAAUUAAAUUUUGAAAGCAGGCCAACCUAUUGUCAGAUCUGCCUUUCAAAUUAUUGACUUAAUUUUGCCAAAGGUGAAACAUUUGAAGAAGAAUCCUUCUAAACAGGUAGUGUUGGUCGUUGUUGUCCUCCUGAGAAAGUGUCAUUAGCUUGAAACCUAUUGCAAAUGUUGAUCCAAAAUGGCUUCAAGGUUUCGUUGUAGAGCUGACGACAAGCUUUUGUAAAGGACUUCCAAUUUUGAUGCACAACAAUGAUAAUAGGAGCGCAAAUCCAUGUAGUGUACAAAAUGAUAUGACGAAUGUCCGAGCGUGGAACAAAUGUGGAGACCAAAAAGAUUGCAGAAAUAGAUCCGGAGACAACUGCUACAAGGGCCCAAGAUUGGGAAGAAUUUUCUGAAUGAAGUCGAGACUUGAGGUCAGCUGAAUGUGCAUAACAAUAUAUGGCUGUGGCUAUUAAGAAAGACCAUAUGUUUAUUGAGUGUGUUUCAAGCAAGGACUUUGUUUGGCCUUGAACAUUCGCACCCACAAUGCCUAUGAGAGCCGCAGUAAGAUACCCAAAAAUGUGGGGAUAGGACAUUGAGGAGAAGUGAUUUCGCCCGCUGCAACAUUGUCAAAACGAUUCAUCAAUCUUCUGUAUAUUCCAUUUCCUUUGAAAAAAAAUAAAAUUAAAAAGACCAUGUAUUAAUUUCCUCUCAAUUUGUGUGUCAAUGAUUUGCUUUUGACCAAACCAAUUCUCCUUUAAAAAUUUGAGGGGGCAUCUUUUCAUUUGCACGAAAAUUUCACCCAAAUGUUUCAUCAAAAUUUUGGUGUAUACACAUUGUUUUAACAGCUUUCAUGACUCACCCCCUUUUCUGUUAAAUAUUGUUUCAUCAAAAUUUUAUUAUAUACAUACUUUUUUGAAUAGUUAAAUAUUGUUUUUGCCGUUAUUUUUGACAUCUUUGACAUUAAAAGACAAUUUUGCCCUUAUUUAAAAUUUUUAAGUGUAAAAUUACUAGAAAACCACAACACUAGUCUCAAAUUUCAGUUGACCUAUGUGGAUAUUAAAAUUUGUUAAAGGUUAAAAAAAAAAGUAAAAAUGUUUGGUUAUGGGAAUCGAAAUAUCCCCUACACCAUCAUCCAUAAUCAUCUAUUCACGAUAGCAAUUUAAUAAACUUGAAAAAGCAAGAAAUCCAAUCCCAGUCAAUCAAACAGCCAAUUUUCUUCAUAGAGUUCAGCUUUCGCCUAUAAAAACUCUAACCCUUGAGACCCUAAAUAAACCCAUAUUCAAAGUUACAUGUUUCUAUAACGAAAACCUUCAAUUUACCCCUUUAAAAUUUUGAAAGCAUUAAUUUACUUCUAUUUAUCAGUCAAAAGAUUAGAAUACAUGGAGACACGCUAAUAACAAACUUUUUUACUCCUUAAUGAAAUUUGAUAAAUAUAAAUAAAUUAAAGAUUAUAAUUUUAAGUGGGGGUAAAUUAAAGAUCGUACUCUUUUUUUUAUUGUGUCUUAAUAAGAGAAAGAAAGAAAACAGAAAACAAAUCACUUCUAUAGGAGGCGUAACAAAAUUUUCAGCUAGGACUUCACCAAUUUUUUCACGGAAAUUAAAUUAGGAGGAAAAAAAAAACACUUUGAAGAGGACUGCAUAUAUAUAUAUAUAUAUAUAUAUAUAUAUAAUAAAUACAACUUGAGUCAAUAAUGGUAAAGAAAAUGACCAUACACUGAAGGGUUUGGAUUUGGAUGAUGCAGAAUGCAGUGGCAGCUUUGCAUUUGCAUAUAUGUAUCUCAGCAAACCCUGGAUUGAGUUUUCUUUUUCUCGGCAAAUAAGGUAGGGAACAGCAAAUGUGAUCGAUUUGAAAAAAAAAACAAAAACAAAAGCUUAGCUUGAAACUUGGAAGGAAAAAGGGGGGAAAAAUCUCACUUUAAGAACAUCUAAAUUAUCUCUGCUGAACUAAAUUAUCUCGUGGCUUGAGCUUUCAUAGCUUAUAAUUUAUAGAUGUCAAAUGUGUGGACUAAGGGAGGCCCAUGCGCCAUGCGGGGGUUUCCUAGAAGGCUAGAAAGUAAAGAGUGUUCCGAAGAAAUAUCUCUGCUUAACAUGUUAAGUAAUUAAAUCAGAGCCUCUCACAAGGUUGUGCGCCCAAAUAGAAUCCACAACAGGCUGUGGCUUACGUGAAUAGAGUGAUGCAAUUGUAAACCAGAUAGUGGCAUUUUUUUAAAGGUUCGGUCAAAGGCGGUUAAAUAUAAUAAUAAAAUAUUAUAAGAUACAUAUUUUCUUUGUAAUAAAUUGAAUAAACGUAUGACCUUAAAACUAAUUAUUAAUGCUUUAUUGGAAAAUUAUAUAGUUUAUAUGUAGAUAAUAUAUAUUAUACUUAAUUGUUGGGGUUUGAAAAGGAUUCGGGGGCAUAAAGAGGGGCGAAGUCAGAAAACAAAAUUUUGGGUGGGCUAAAAUUUUUUCCCAGUCCAUAUGUGAUCUCAAUUAAAAAUAUAAAUUUUAAAAGAAAGUUUCAUUAACACAUAAGAAAAUACAUCAUAUCCAAGAAGCAAUCAAAUUACAAGUAAACACUAUUUAAGUUGUGCCUUACCAUUCUUUAAAAAAUUAAAGUUAUGUUUUAUUAUGCUUUCGAGAAUUAAACUCAUCCAUUAUCGGUUUUGAAUUUAUGGUGUCUACAAAUUCUUUUUCAAUGUAGAUAAUAAAGGCAAUGCAACUGUCAAUCCAUCAUUAUGACACAUUGAUAAUAUUCAGAAGUCAGACAAUAAGUUUAAUUAACAAAUUAACAUUAUACAUAAUAUACUGGAUCAAAUCUAUGAUCUAUCUCUAUCAAAAAUCAAUUUAAAAAAUUGAAUGCUAGAAUUCAAUGGCUAAAUUAUCUUCAUUUGAUCUUUACAAUGAAAUUGGAACAAGAAUUAAAGAGCAUGAUUUUUAGUCUUUAUUACCCUAUAAUCAAUAAAUAUUUUGUAAAUGAUUGAAUAAAAAAUAAAUCUAUUAUUUGUUCUUACCAAGAAGAAGGCGAAGAACUGAAGAAGCAAAGAAAAAAAAAUCAUGUUUGAAAUCUCGAAUGAAGUAAAUGCUGCUCACUUUUUAAAUUUAUUUAUAUGAAUGACAAAGUUGUAGAUUAACAUAGUGGUGCAAUUGUAAAUAAGAUAGUGGCGUCUUUGUAAACUUUGCAUAAUGGCAAUUUUGUAAAAUUCAGACAGGCGGUAGCCCGUCUCAAUCCACGCGGAGCCUUGCCACCGAGUGUAAACAUAGAGAAUAAUUUAUAAAUCCAAUAAGCUUAGUUAAAGUAAAAUACUUGACUUUAAGAAAUUUCUAAUAAUCUUCUUCAUCUUAACCAAAUUUUUGAAGUGAAAAAGAUUCAUGGCACCUUGUGUUGUACUUUAGCAAGAGAAAGGAGAAAAAAGAAAACAAAUCGCUUUCAUAAUCAUAGGGGCUUCACCAGUUUUUUCACAACGCAAAAUUGACGGCCGUUAUGACCGUAAAUGCCUAUGUUAGAUUUGACGGAGAAGUCACGGGAUUACGCGAUGAUCAUCAGCGUCUCCAAAUUUUAAUGCCUCUGUUCAAAAAGAAUUGAGAAAUGCUAAAGGUCGGGAACGCUGAGAGAACACUGAGAGAAACGGCAGGUUGUGCUGUCGUUUCGUGUUCUCUCAGCUCCACCCCCCCCCCCCCCCCCAACAUGACUAAGAAAGCGAACCCUCACAUGAAAAAAUACUUCAGCUCAAGUCACUUUUACCAAAAGCUGCCGUUUGGCCCCACACUCAAGUCACUUUUGCCAAGUGAAUUCUGCCCCCCACGUGAAAGUUUGAGUUCUCUCCUUGCUCAUGACCAAGCAAAGCUAAGUUUGAAUUCUCUCCUUACUCCUUCACUCGUUCACUUCUUCUUCGUUUCUCGUUCACGCUCAUCACAAACCAAGAUAACUUGCUCCCAUUAAUUUCAAAUAUUAAACUGCUUUGUUGAGUUCUACAACCUGAAAGUACAAUUCUUUCAACAUUCUAACAGCAUCCUAGUUCACAGUUAGAUAUCAGAAACAAAUGUUAACAUAUUUAAUGCCAAUCUUUAUUCCAUGAGAACUUUUUUUUUUUUAAUACUGAUUAAUCAUCAUAUUACUGCAUUACACAGAUAUUUACAACUGCUAUUAUAGCAGAUAUAUUACACUGAUAUUUACAAUCAGAAAUAUAUGAUUGGGACUUAUAUUAUUACAUUGAAUUCUGUGAAGUACAUGCCCAGACAAAUAAUCCCUUACAGAAGAGGGAUGUCCAUACUCCACUCGUAUUGCACGAGGGAGAGGAAAUUUUUGAAAUAUUAAACAAAUAAGCACGUUAGCCCCACAAAUGCUUUUAUGGGGGCUUGAACCGCUGUCCUCACAAGCAUUGUGAGGGCAGCAGCCCAGCACUCCGACCAAGGCCGAAGUGUAUUCCAUGAGAACUUAAAAUAUCCAAAAAGAGAUGCAUCUACCCUACAUAUCUAUUUACACAACAAGUGUCCCUUCAAUUCCAACAGAAUAUACAUGCCUCCAUCUUAAGAUUUCAUAUGGCAUGGAAAUUAAAAAUUUCGUCAACUGAUAGAAGCCACCACACAAUGGCAAAAUAUAUAUGUUUAUUAUCAAAGAACAGAAGGCAUCAUUUGAGCAAAUUAAAGAGACAACUAUUCUCAGCCAUUCUUCUCAAUAUGGGAUAGACUUCUUGUAUCGUCAUAUCCACUCUCAGCACCAUAGGCUGGUUGUUCCUUAUGCAAUCGGCGCCCUUUACAAUCACCCACUUGAGGGACUUUUGCUCGACACUUUGGGUGGAGCCCUCUCUUUUCUUGUCUCGGGAAUGACUGCACGAACAGCCGUGAUAUUUUUCUACUUUGCUGUGAUUAAAACUGUUGAUGAUCACUCUGGGCUUUGGUUGCCUGGCAAUAUCUUCCACUUGUUCUUCCAGAACAACACCGCUUAUCACGAUGUCCACCAUCAACUUCAGGGCUUGAAGUACAACUAUUCUCAGCCAUUCUUCUCAAUAUGGGAUAGACUUCUUGGAACUCACAUGCCUUACCAUCUAGUCAAGCUACCUGAAGGAGGUUUUGAGGCUCGGCUAAAGAAAGACUAGAUGCUAUUAAGACAAUUUGACUGUAUCAUAAAUUAAUUAUUAAAAUAAUUAUCAACAAUACAAUUACCAAAAUAAUUGUGGGAGUUGGAGUUCAUGUGGGAGUGCUGGAGAAGGAAUUGAAAAUAGAAAGGAAAAGGAGUUGAGAGGGAGUGAAGGAGUGCUGGAACAGAUCUGUUGAAAGCGAAGAAGGAAGAAGGAGUGCUGGAACGGAUCUGUUGAAAGCAAAGAAGGAAGAAGGAGUGCUGGAACGGAUCUGUUGAAAGCAAAGAAGGAAGUGGAAGAAGGAAAAUGAUUUGAAAGUCACAUGGGGGACAGAUAUCUGUUACUCACGUGGGGGGAGGGGGGGGAGGUGAGAGAACGAAACGGCAGCACAAGCUGCCGUUUCUCUCAGCGUUCUCUCAGGGUUCCCGAUGUUUAGCAGCACUCGAAAGAAUUAACCUCCGCUUCAGAUCGAACGACUCACGAAGUAACUUCGAAAAUGUAUAUAAGACACAUGCAUGUUGUUUAAUUGUUAAAUUGUUCCCUUUGUAGGUGCUUGUGGACUCCAAAUUAAUUGUACGCCUUUUAAAUAGAAAUAAGUGCAUUAAAUAUUUUUUCCUUUUUACUUUAUUUUCGGAAUUUUUGGGAAAAAGCGAUGACUCAUGAGAAGAAGAAGAAGAAGAAGGAUAGUAGAAUACAUAUAAUAUCGGGUUUUUUUUUUUCACUUUUUACUUCUUUCUUUGAUUUUUUUUUUUUAAUUUUUUAUUAUCCCUUUUGUGUCAUUGGAGUCCAAAAAUAUUGUGUAUAAAAAAAUAACCCGCCUUCUGAGUUUAUGACAAUUUACCAUGCGUUAAUAACGCUUGAUGAAAAUGUUGCAAUCAGGUAGUGUAGAAUCAAUAAUUAAUGAAAUAUAAAAUAAGAAGAGUAAAUCUUAAUAACGCACCAAUAUUACAAAUCAAUAGCUAAGGAUCAAGCGAAAUUUCACCAGCAAAUUAGGACAGCAGAGGCAGCAUCCAUAAGCGUAAGAGUAAUUAUGUCACUCUGAAAUUUCAUAAGAGUAAAUUAGGACAGCAGGGAAAGGAAUAAACAAAGCAAUUUGCAAAGGACAGAGGCAUAAACAUAAUAGUAAUUAUAAAAUGUCAGACUGUAAGAAACAAGUAAAAAAUGUAUAAUAUUUUUCACAGUAGUCCGACGAUUCGUCAAUGUCUUUGUAAAAAGCGAAUAUUUUCAAAGGUAAAUAACACUCACACAAAUGUUUAAUCAAUAAUACAGUUGUUUUUUUGAAGUGAUAACUACUGAUUAUAUAUUGAUUCUUCAAAAUAAUUACACAUUUAUCAUAAUAUUAUUUAUUUAUUUUAUAAUUAAUAUAAUACUUUAAAGAUAUUUAAAAAAUUUUCAACUUGACAAUGUUCAAUAAAGGGUAAAGUUUAAAUUAUGUUACAAAAAGUCUUUGAACAAUAUAGAGCAAAGCUUUUACUUGUAUAACAAAAGAAAGCAUAUGAGGGGAUAAAAAGACUGAAGGUAUGAGUUUGAUUAUUAUCACAAUAAUUAUUUCUAUUUCAAAGAUUGAAAUCUGAACAUUAUUAUAUUUUGUGGAAUUUUCUCCAUUACUUUUUCAAAGUACUACAUGUACAUGGAUGAUUGUUUGUUACUGCGAACGGCAAAACAUUUAAUUUGGAGAAAAUUCCUUCUAGACUGGUAGUGUUGGUCGUAGGUUCCCUGUCGAGGAAGUGUUAUUAGCUCGAAACCUAUUGCAAAUGUCAAUCCAAAAUGGCUUCAAGGUUUCGUUGGAGAGCUGACGACAAGCUUCUGAAAACAACGUGCCAUAUUGAAACACAACAACAAUAAUGACAGUGCCAACCCACGCAGUGUACAAAAUGAUAUGGCCAAUAUUAGAACGUGGAAUAAAGGUGGAGAUCAAAGAUAUUGCAGAAGUAGAUCCUGAGACAACAGCAAUAAGGGCCCAGAAUUGGGAAGGAUUUUCGCGAUGAAGUCGAGACUUGAGGUCUUCUGAAUGUGCAUAACAAUAUAUGGCUGUGGCAAUGAGAAAAGACCAUAUAUUUAUUGAGUGUGUUUCAAGUAAGGGCUUAGUUUUACCUUGCACAUUUGCACCCACAAUACCUAUGAGAGUCGGAAUUAGAUAUCUAAAAAUGUUGGGAUAUGACAUUGAGAAGAAGAGAUUCCGCCCACUGUAAAAUUGUUAAAAUGAUUAAUCAUCUUAUGUAUAUUCCAUUUCCUUCAAAAAAAAAUUAAAAUUAAAAAACACUGUGUUAAUUUCCUCUGAAAUUGUCUAUCAAUUAUUUGCUUUGACCAACGCAAUUCUCCUCAAAAAAUUUGAGGGAGCACUUUCAUUUGCACCCAAAUGUUUCAUUAAAAUUUUAUUGUAUACACACUUGUUUCAACAGUUACUAUGGCUCAGGCUGCUCACCCUGUUAUGUUAAGUAUUGUUUUUACUGUUAAUUUUGACAUCUUUGAGAUUAAAAGACAAUUUUGACCCUCCUUAAAAUUUGUAAGUGUAAAAUUAUCAGAAAACCACAACACUAAUUUCAAAUUUCAAUUGACCUGUGUGGAUAUUAAAAUUUCUUAAAGGUUAAAAAAAACAGUUAAAAUAUCUCCUAUACUAUCAUCCACGAUCGUCUAUUCAUGAUAACAAUUUAAUAAACUCGAAAAAGCAAGAAAUCCAAUCCCAGUCAAUCAAACAGCCAAUUUUCUUCAUAAAGUUUAGCUUUUGCUAUUAAAAAUUCUAACUCUUGAGACCCUAAAUAAACCCAUAUUCAAAGUUAUGUGUUUCUAUUACGAAAAUAUUCAAUUUACCCCUUUAAAAUUUUGAAAACAUUAAUUUACUUCUAUUUAUCAGUCAAAAGAUAAAAAUAAAUGAAGACACCUUGACCAUAAACUUUUUAACUUUUUAGUGGCAUUUGAUAAAUAUAAAUAAGUUGAAAAUUAUCAUUUUAAGUGGGGAUAAGUUAAAAAUUUUACUCUAUAUUUAUUGUGCUUUGAUAAGAGAAAGAAAGAAAACAGAAAACAAAUCUCUUCCAUAGCAGUCUUAACAAAAUUUUCAGCAGGGACUUAACCAAUUUUUUCACGGAAAUUAAAUUCCAAUUUUUUUCACGGAAAUUAAAUUAGGAGAACAAAAACACUUUGAAGUGGACUGCAUAUAAAAACUCAAAAAUAACAUACAACUUGAGUCAAUAAUGGUAAAGAAAAUGAACGUACACAGAAGGGUUUGGAUUUGGAUGAUGAUCGAGAAUGCACUAAAAGCUUUGCAUUUGCAUAUACAUAUCUAUAUAUAUAUAUAUAUAUAUCUCUCAUAUACAUACACACACACACACAUAUAUAUAUAUAUCUCAGCAAACCCUGGAUUGAGUUCUCUUUUUCAGGGUAAAUAAGGUAGGGAACAGCAAAGCCGAUCAAUUUGAAAAGAAAAAAAAAAAAAACUAAAACUAAAAUGUAAACUCAGAUGGAAACUUGGCAGAGAAAACGUGAAAAAGAAAAAAAAAAUCUGUCACUUUAAGAACAUCUCAAUUAUCACUUUAAGAACACCUCAAUUUAUAUGUUCAAGUGCGGUGAUGCUGGUAGAGGGUUUAGUAGAAAGUUAACGGUUUCGUAGAACAGAGUCCUUUGUUGCAACUUGCAAGAGAGGACUCUGUUAACUUUGCGAAAAUCUGACUCGGCAAAAUCCACUCAUACAUCUUGUAAUGUUGAUGUAGUUUCUUUAUUUUUGUUUUUUUUUUUUUUUUUUGAGCUCCCAGACAAAAAACUUGUGUUGAAAAUUAAAAAUGAUCGAUUAAUGGGCUCCCCUCUCAAUUUCAAGGCCGAAAGGGCCGCUGUGCCCCAUGUGAAAAUUUCUUACAAUUAGAAUCAAAUCCACGUCAUACAUAUGAUGACAUGAUGUAUAUUUAGUAUGGUUUAUUCAAUGAUUAUAAGUAUUUAUUUAAUUUUUUAAAUUCUUGAUCAAACAAACGCCAAGAGAGACAUCUGUAAUUACGUUUAACGAGCAUUUUCGAGGAAUUGUUUCUAAAAAUAACUAAAACGGGAAAAGCCAAAUGGGAAAAUUUGGGUUGGAUGGAACUUGGAAAAGGACAAACAUGAAAGUUCAAAGUUUGCUUGGUUGGGCUAUUUUCUGCAAGUGGGAGAGACAGAGUGAUACAGCAUUACCAAUCUCUUUGGAGUGGCCCAAUCCAUAUCUUGGGGAAUCAUUUGAAGAACGGGCUGAACCACACCAGGAGGAAGAUACAACUAGGCCCAACACAGAACCAGUUGCAGGCCCCUCACGAAUGAGAAAACCACCCAGCUGGCUGAAGGAUUAUGUUGUUUGAGAGCAAGGAAGUUGUGGAUUCCUUUCUAGAAUCUUUUAUUCGUUUGAUAUUUUCUUUUGGCUUGACCAUUGCUAUUUUUUGUAACCACCUUCUGUUAGAGGUUGCUAGAGGAAAAAGCAUAUAAGUAUUGUAAUGUUUAAAAAGGCAAUGGAAUAUUUGGUUCUCUUUCUUCUAUGGAAUUUCCUUUCUUCUUAAUCAUUGUUCUGUUCUUAAUUCUUUUUCUUGGAGCUGGCACUCGCUCGAAGAGUGUUUUGUUGAGUGGAUUUGCUUGUGUUGCAGGACAAGCGUAUCAUUGGUGCUUUCAUCGACUUUUCCAUGGCUGAUUCAGAGGUGUUGGCAGCAGUGAAGGCACUCCAAACACAAUUUGAAGGCCAAACAAUUGCGAUUCAUCAAACCUUGCAGCAGUACAUGUCUACAGUGGAUUCUCGUCUUGAGGAUCUACAUUCUCAGAUCCAAGGGUCUUCAAGUGUUUUGGCUGCAUCAUCCGGUUCCGCACAUCGCUCUUCUCUAGUUGCGGAGGGGCAUUCCAGACACAUCGAUCUCUCGCCGGUAUUACGAUCAAUGAAAAUGGAGGUUCCCAAGUUUGAUGGCUCUGACCCGAAUGGGUGGGUGUUUCGUAUUGAAGAGUUUUUCGAUUUCCAUGAAACUCCAGAGCACUUGCGCUUUCGCAUCGUCGCGUUUCACAUGGAGGGGAGAGCGGCAGCCUGGUACCAAUGGAUGAAGGCGAACAAACUGAUAACAACAUGGAAAGCUUUUUUAAUUAGUCUGAAGCAUCGGUUUGGCGCUUCAAUGUAUGACGAUCCUCAAGGUACACUUUCCAAACUCACACAAACCACCACAGUCGCAGAGUUUCAGUCCGCCUUUGAAGAUUUGAUGAAUAAGGUCACUGGGAUUUCUGAACCUUUGUGGAUCAGUUUCUUUAUCACUGGUUUGAGAACGGAUAUUCGCAGGGAGUUGAUGUUUUCCCGCCCCACAUCUCUGAUGGAAACAUUUGCUCUCGCAAAAGCUUAUGAAGCUCGUUCAGAGAAGGCCAAAAUGAGUAGUCGCCCUUGGACUAAAUGGCCCCCACCGUCAGCCCCAACUAUGACUAUUCCAUCCGUCAACAAAAUUCCUCCACCCUCACAUGUGCCUGUUCCCCACCACACCACAAACAGUUUCCAUGCAGGUCCCACAACACACCAACAUCCUAAACAAACAAACCUUCCAGCCCUCUUACCUACACCAAAUUUACCAGUUCGCCGCCUCACUCCAGCUGAAUUACGAGACAAACGAGAAAAAGGAUUGUGUUAUAACUGUGACCAAAAGUACACCGCUAUUAUGUUAGCUCCCACUCCUCCUUGAAGUCAAUCUUGCUCCACGAAUUUCAUGCUACCCAUGGGCUGGACAUACGGGCAUAAAACGGACCUUGGUUCGCUUGGCUUCGACAUUUUAUUGGUAUAAAAUGAGAACUGAUGUUGAAAACUUUAUAACUGCUUGCCUAACCUGCCAACAAGUCAAGCAUUCAACUCAAGCCCCAGCAGGGUUGUUACAGCCGCUACCUAUUCCAUCAUUAGUAUGGGAUGAGGUCACUAUGGAUUUCAUUACGGGCUUGCCACCAUCACGAGGGCUCACUAUUAUCCUUGUCGUUGUGGACCGUUUGACUAAAUCAGCACAUUUUGGAGCUCUACCUUCUCAAUUUUCAGCUGUGACAGCAGCGGACUUAUUUGCUAACAUGGUCGUUAAACUCCAUGGUUUUCCUAGUUCCAUUGUGUCAGAUCGCGAUCCAAUUUUUAUGAGCAAGUUUUGGAAGAAGCUUUUUGAACUAAGUGGCACUUCCCUACGGCAUAGCACAGCCUAUCAUCCGCAGACAGAUGGGCAAUCCGAAGUUGUGAACCGCGGGCUUGAACAAUAUUUACGAGCUUUCACUCAAGAAAAACCACAAUCGUGGGUCUCUUUACUUUGCUGGGCAGAGUUCAGUUACAACUCCAGCUAUCACAGUGGUCUCAAGAUGACACCAUUUCAAGCAUUGUAUGGGCGUAUUCCACCUACUAUCCCAGCUUACUCUAAGGGCUCUACUUCAAUCCAAGCUCUCGAUGAUGCGCUGAUAGAGCGCGAUGCUAUCUUGCGCUCCUUGAAGGAAAAUUUGCGCCAAGCUCAGCAUCGAAUGACACAAAAGGCUAAUGCCCAUCGGCGUGAACUCCAGCUCAAUAUAGGAGAUCGCGUGCUUUUCCGCCUUCAACCAUACCGACAGACAUCUUUAGCUCAACGAGCAUCCCAUAAGUUAGCAAAGAGGUAUUACGGGCCAUUUACAAUAUUAGAACGUGUGGGACCAGUGGCAUACAAGCUGAACCUACCGUUAGAUUGCAAAAUUCAUCUUGUCUUCCAUAUUUCAAUGCUCAAACCCUUUAGCGGUUCCAGCCCCAUCACUGGGUUACCCUUACCUCAUGACAGCAUCAACAAUCGACCAUUCUCAUACCCGGCUGGCUGAAGGAUUAUGUUGUUUGAGAGCAAGGAAGUUGUGGAUUCCUUUCUAGAAUCUUUUAUUCGUUUGAUAUUUUCUUUUGGCUUGACCAUUGCUAUUUUUUGUAACCACCUUCUGUUAGAGGUUGCUAGAGGAAAAAGCAUAUAAGUAUUGUAAUGUUUAAAAAGGCAAUGGAAUAUUUGGUUCUCUUUCUUCUCUGGAAUUUCCUUUCUUCUUAAUCUUUGUUCUGUUCUUAAUUCUUUUUCUUGGAGCUGGCACUCGCUCGAAGAGUGUUUUGUUGAGUGGAUUUGCUUGUGUUGCAGGACAAGCGUAUCACAGAGUCUGGAAAGGGUUUCUUUUCUUUUUCUUUUUCUUUUUUUCAAAUACACAUAUAGCCACGUGUUGUCCCAUAUAAAAAAAUAAUACUUUAUAUAAGUCCGAGGUCAAUUGGGCUGGAAAACAUUUAAAAUCGAACAUAUCAGGCAUGUUGUAAGUUCGCAUUUGGAGAAUCAUGUUGUCAGCCCCACAACCCCCAAAUGGGAACUUUAGAUAGAAAUAUAUAGCAUCCCAACAAUAAUAUUUAUUAAUAAUAAAUUUACUUAUUACAAUUGUUUUUGUCAAAGACUCCUUGAUGGUAUUUCAUGUGUUGAAAAAAAUGUAAAAUAAUUUUAUUAUCGAUACAAUUAAAAACAUAUUUUUCAAUAUAUAUAAUUAAAUUAUCACUUGAUUUGUUCUUAAAAUGUUUUAAUAAUAGCAAAAAUAUGGAUAUAAUGAAACAUGAAGAAAAAAUAUGAUUACAGACACAUUAGGGAACGGCAAUGAGGAGGGUAGGGGAGGGGACUGACAUCUCCAUAUCCAUCCUCGAUAUUCUACAUAUGUUCUCAUCCCCUUCCCAUCCCCGUCAGAAUUACUUGAGAAAAUAUUCAUCCCCUCCCUAAAUAAUAACAGGGGAUCUCUAAGAGUCUCCGAUCCCCACGUAAUUGAUACAUUUUUUAUUUUAAUUUUAAUUAAUUAUAUUAAAAUAAUUUUUUUAAUAAAAGUACAGUUAAGGCGGCAGCUAGCUGCCAUAGAAAAUUAGAAAUUAGGUUUUAUGAUUUUGCCUUAACUUUUGUUUUAUUGGAUAAACGUUUAAAAUAUUUAAUGAAUAUUAUAAAUUAAAAAAAAAAAUUGGGCCAACAAGAUCCUGUCUGGCUUUUUUUAUGUCCUAAAUAGAUAUUUAAGAUUAUAAAUAGUUAAGUAGGCUCAUUAAAGCAUCUGACAAAUUGUUACAUAAAACCAGGAUAAUUAGAGUGCUAAUCAAAUAACCCAAAUUAUAGAUUCCCUAAUCAAACAAACAUAACAAAAAAAUUUUGAAAUACAAUUUUUUUUUCAGAAAUGCGAAUUGGCACCAAAUAAAAUUGAGCAAAAGCUAAUGCUGUCCUACAAGUUGACAUGGUCCUCCUUUAGCAAGGUUCAAAUAGGGAAGACCAUAGUAAAAAUAAGAGGAAAUAAUUUAACUUUAUCUAUAAAUCCUACAAUUUAGAUGCUAGUAAAAUAACUCCAAUCUGAAGCAUCAAAUGUACAAGAUUCAUAAGCAAAAACAGGUUACACGAUUAGUUAUUACCUGGAUUACGUUGUACAUAUUACAUGGUAUACCUAAUCAGACAAAUAACAGGUUACAAUCCAAGUUUUGUUGAUCAUGAAAGGUUUGAGCGUGAUAGUCCAUUUAGGUCAUUAGGUCAGCCAAAUGGGAGACCAGUGGAUUUGGAGGGUUUGUAUACAGUGCAAACUGAGCUAAUAAUGCAUGUUCAUGGUUUUAUACGUGCCAGGUAUUUUUAUCCUGUAAUUGUGAAAUUGAUGACAGAAAAUUUUAUAUCGUAAUUUCUUGGAAUUCUGACUGCAUGCUUUUCUUCUAAUUGUUAUGUUUCUGUUAAUGAUGGGAUGACCAUCUUUCAGUGCAAUAAAGGUUGGAAUCAUAUGGUAUACCUAAAAUAAAUUGUCACGCUAGAUUGAUAUACUCAUUCUCUAAUCAACUGAGAGUAUCUUCUAGUUCAGCUAUUUCUUUUCUGGGUAUAAAAGAUAAAUGUUCUUUGAACUUGCCUCGUACGUUAACCUGCUACCAAUACGGUCUACCGUAUGUAUGUCUAGCAGUCAAGUGAAGAUAAAUUUGAAAUGUAACUAUUACGUUCGUUUGCAAUGUGGAAUAGUUACCUAGGAUGAUCAUGAGUAGAUACUUUCUGGAUGUCAUAAUUUGGGAUGUAGGUGUCCGUUUUUGGUGCAUAAUACAUUGUUUUGAAGGUUACGAUGAGAUGAAUCAAACCUAGAAUGCUCACACUAUUCUGCCCAAUCAUUUUGCAGUUUUAUGUUGUUUUCCUAUGUUUCUGUUAAUGAUGGGAUGACCAUCUUUUAGCAUAGUAAAGGUUGGAAUCAUAUGGUAUGCCUAAAAUAAAUUGUCACACUAGAUUUAUAUACUCAUUCUCUAAUCCACUGAGAGUAUCUUCUAGUUCAGCUAUUUCUUUUUGCGGUACAAAAGAGAAAUGUUGUUUGAACUUGCCUCGUAUGUUAACCUUGUACCAAUAAGUAUGAUUUAACUAAAGUCUUGAGCACACGAGCAGUUUUGCUUUUAAAAGAAAAACAACUAUUUACCCUGGCUGCUCUCUAUCUCUCCUCACCAACUGAGUCACCGGUUGGUUGCAUUUUACUAACGAUGCCGACUGAGAGAUCACAAUCCCUGUACGCGUCCACCCUAACUGAUUUUUACGGCAAUUAAUGAUAUAAAAUUAUUUAAAUGAAAGUAAUUUAAAUUUAUUUUUCAAGUCACCAGGAGCUUCAAUUCCUACUGGGCACCAUAUGGCACUGCCUAUGGAAUCAUUCAAUGGUCUUAUAGUACAUAAAUCACUUUCUUUUUCAUGUGUGGAUAGAGAUAAUAUGAAUAAACAUACGACUCUUUUCAAAUAUUAAAAGAAAAUAAAUACAUCAUUAUGAUAUUUACAAUAAAAAUCACACACUCAAGAUUUUAGUUAAAUCAUACUUAUUCAAAUUUCAGACAAAAAGAAAAAGAAAUGUCACCUUUAGCCUUUAAUUAAAAAGUGUAUGGGGUAAAUAUAUUAGUAAAUGAGAACUAGUAGUGGUCAAAACAUAAUAACUCUAAUUGUAGGGUCAAUUUUGUAAACAUAGUAAACUUUUUGAAUGUACGAUGGACUGGUUUUAUUGUUGUAGUUAAUUUUGUGUGAUACAAAAAGUGAGAGAGUGUGAAACGACGAUGAUGAGUCACAAAAUAGAGGAAUCUUUAUAUUUUCAACCCACUUAAACUGUCACAGAGAGAAAACGACAUGGAAUCUUUAAACUGUCACAGACAGAAAACGACAUGGAAUCGCGUUAUAAUUGCAAAAUCCACAAACUUUCUGCGAAACCGACUUACCAGCAAGUCGCGGACUCGCGGCCUCAGUUUCAACUCCCGGCAUCAGCGCACUUGAAAAUAUAAAUACCCCAGCGACGAGAUAAUUCUUUUAAGCAGAGAUAAUUGAGAUGUUCUUAAAGUGACAGUUUUUUUUCUUUUUCACCUUUUCCCUUCCAAGUUUCCAGCUGAGUUUACAUUUUUAAGCAGAGUCCUCUCUUUCUCUUCUAUAAAGGGAACUUGAUUUAUAGAAGAGAUAAGGCCGUGUCCCUUUGCUCAUUUGCUGCUGCAGCUCUCCUCUUCUUCCUUUUUCCUCUCUUAUCUCUUCUACUCUUCGAUUGCUCUGGUCGACACGGCCUUUGAUUGCUCUGUCAAUCUAUACAAGACAUAUACAACACGACUUCAGAUCUUUUAGGAUCGGGCUUCUCUCUUCGUACUUGCGGCUUUCUCUCUUAUAAAGGUUUCAUUUCGAUUUUGAUUUGGAGUAAUAGUCCUUCAGGAUCGUGCUUGUCUCUUCAUACUUGCGGCUGUCUCUCUGAUAAGGUUUCGUUUCGAUUUUGAUUUGGAGUUGCUUUUUCUUUUAUUUUCAAGUAGAUUUGUUUCAAUUGAAAUGUUGGUUGUUAAUUUGGUGUUGUGUUAAGUUUUGCAGGUAAUGAUUGCUCUGAUCAAGCUAUUACAAAAUGGCUGACGGGAAAAGAAAGUCAACCCAGCAAUCUUGACCGUCUCCCUUCUCUCUCUGACCUGAGCCACAACGUGUAUUUAAAAAUAAAACUUUACCCUAUAUAUAUACAGACAAUGUUCAAAAGAAAACAAAAAAAAAUCCCAAAUUUCUUUUUUAAAUUCUUACCAAUCAAUAAAAGUAUUUGAUAAUUUUUUUUUUCACAAUAACUAUGACUUGAAAAAAUUAAACUAAUAUUAAAUGAGACUAAAUACAUAAUGAUCUCUUAAAUUCCUGUUUUUCUAAAGGAAUGGAUCUAAUACUUUCCUUAAUAUAGUAUUUUAAUGGGUCUGCAGGAACAAAUUUUAUUUGUCCGCGAUGUCAAACGCAUACCAUAACGUGUUUGGAUACCUCAUUCCAAUUCUCAUCGGCAUCGUGGGAGCAAAUAUGCAAGGCACAACUGAGCGCUUGCUUGAAACACACACAACAAAUAUAUGGUCUUUUCUCAUAACCACAGCCAUUUAUUGUUAUGCAUAUUUAGCUCAUCAAGAGAAUUUUUCCCAAUCUUGGGCCCUUGUAGCACGAGUCUCCGGAUCUGUUUCUGCAGUCUCCCUAGCCUCCACAUUUGUUCCACGCUCUGAUAUUGGUCAUAUCAUAUUGUGCACUGCAUGGCUUUGCUCGUCCAUUAUCAUUGUUGUGCAUCAAUAUGGGGCGCUGUUUGCAGAAGCUUGUCGUCGGCUCUACAACGAAACCUUGAAACCAUUUUGCAGUCAGCUCUAUAACGAAACCUUGAAGCCAUUUUGUAUCAAUAUUUGCAGUAGGUUUCAAUCUAAUGACACUUCCUCGGCAGGACAACAACGACCAACACUACCAGUUUAGAAGGGGGCUUCUUCAAAUGUUUCACCUUACACAGUACUACAGUAGCAAGCAAUCAUCUCAUGUACACGCAGUAAUUUUGAAAAGUAACAGAGAAAACAUAUUAGUGUCCAGAUUUCUUUGCUUGAAAUAGUGCUAAUUACUGUCGUCAAAUUUCAUCUUAUUCUUUUUAUUCCCUCACAUGCAUUGUUUUAUUGAUAUUAUACAAGAAAAUGCGUUGUUCAAUAUUAUGCAAAUAUUUUUUUUUUCUCAAAUAAUUUAAAUUUCAAAGAUUGCAAUGAAAUUUAAUUUAAGGAUUGCCCUUGAGCACUGUCAGCUACGACUCCAGUUUCCUGCAACAAUGAAAAAUUCUGUAAUAGUAAAAAGUCUCUCUUUUUUCGCAAUAUUAAGUCAAUAAUUUGAAAGGCAGAUUUAACAACAGGUUGGCCUAAUUUCAAAAUUUAAUCCAUGUAAUAUAGAAAGAAGACUAGUUCAAUGUAUAUGAGUCCACCAAAAAGUUAUUAAAAAUUUAGGAUUAAACACUUGGAAAUGGCAAUUAGGUACUACCUCAAGAGAUUUUACUGCUUGAACCAACCAAGGGGGUAUGUUUGCAAUUGUUGUGACUAAGUAUAAAUAGAUGGUUGGUCAGUGGUAAGAACCAGCCUUCUAGCAUCUUUGGGCACAAAGAACUCAAGAAAAAAGCCCACAUGAGACACAAGACCCAAUGCUCAGCAUGCAGCAAGCUUAUCUAGAUUCAGGUGCUUUAUGGAUCAAAUUCACAUUACAUGAAAAGUUCACUAUUCAGAAUGGCACUCUGUAUGACAGCAAAGAGAUAAGUGGAAGAAAAAAAUCUGAAAAUCAACAUACCUUUUUCUUUGUGAUUAGGUAGUCGAACCCCACUAGCUCGCUUAUUUCAAGCAGCCAGGUCAGCUCAACACGGUCGUCUUGUAUCCUUCAAGAUGCACAACCCCUGUGAAAUUUCCAUCCUGGUUCCUACUAAUUUGCUCCACAAUUGCAUUCCCAAUCUAUUUAUGUGAAUCUUAUUUCCAGAGAUCAACUCGGCAUUGGCAAGGUCCAUCCAUAUUGUUUUUGCACAUGUUGUAGCUUUCACUCCUACACCUUUACGCGUCUUAUGCCUCAGUUUGAUGCGAACUCAUGGUUUGUCAAGGCCAUUGGUAAGAGUCAGUCAGUCAGCAAUAGUAAUAUCUGCCUUUCUUCAAUCACAGCAGCGAGUAUAGGGCACGCAGGAUUAAUAAUCUUCUUAUUAAUAUAGUAGUUCAAAGUUUGUCACGUUCCAAAUGGUUGAGACUGUUUGAAGCCGCCAGAAAAAGUAGAGAUACAAAAGUUAUUCUUCCACUUAAGUGAUAACAAAUACUAUAUGAACUAUGACAAAUUACUUCAGCUACAUUGUCUUAGCAGUUCAAGGAUAAACUGCAUCAGAGACUCAAUUUUCAGUCCCCUACGAAUAAUUCUUUGAAUGGCAAAAAAAAAAAAGAGGAUUAUCUAAUCCAUUCUGUACAAACCACAAAAGUUUGCUAAGAGGCAUGUUACAGCAUUUUCAACCGGCUAAACUCAAAAAUUUGAACCUUUAUAUUCCAUAUCCUCUUGAACCAAAUGGUAUCAAGCAUUACGAGCAUUGUACUCACUAGAUCUCAAACUAAAAGACGUGAGAAUUAGUCCAUAAGUUAGGUAUAUCUUGUAAUUUGACCUGAUUUGAUGGUGGGUCUGGGUUGCAACGACUGGACGGGAUCUCAGACGGACUUGCUGGAAUGUUGCAUGUCAACUUCCUGCUACGACAACACUCCUAACAAUUAACAUCCCAAUUUUGCUUAUGAAAAAACAGGGAGAUAUUAGAAUGAUAUCUCAAUACUUCAAGCCAUUCACAAACAUUUUCCAUGUAAUUGGUUGCAAUACCAGACGAGCUUAAGCCUGCCACCAAUAAUCUGCUUCACCUUAAAUCACGAAUAAGGCAAAAAUGCUAUCCUCCGCUCAUCAUUCGGCCUCAACAGAUCACAGGUGGAAGGUUAAGUGUGUGAGUAGUUAAAGGGGAAAUACCCUUUUUGAUAAAUGUGCCAAGAUGAAAGUCACUAUAGUCAAAAGGGUAUAAAUAUCCCAACACAAGUCUAUAUGGUCAUUUCCGAAACCACGCAAAGACGUCGGUGUCGUUUCCCCACAACAAUAAAUAGAAAUCACCAUACUUCCACAAUUAUCCAAAGAGCGCGAACCCUGACACAUCAUAAAAACUAUUAUAAAUCUAUUUACAGAAUAAACUUGACUGAACGGAGGCAUCGUGUGAUAUUUGCAUCCCCACAAUUUCUUAUCAGAUUCAAUUCAUAAAACAAAUAGGAACACGUAUAAAAUUUAAAUAAAAUUCUUUCAAAUUUUUUUUUUGUUUGGUGCGCGCGCGCCAAAAAUUGAAAUUUUGCAGAUUAAAUUACUACCAGAUGAUGAAGUACAAAACAAAAAUCAUCAUAUUCUGACAAUGACACAUAAUAGAAAACAAAACAAAAAAAAAAUCGAGACUUACGUUGUCAUUCAAAGCUUUGAUCCAAUUUGAGCAUCCUGAAACAGGGUUUUUCUUAAUCAUUCUUAGCGUUUUCUUCGUGAAGUUUGACUUUAUAUGCAAAGGAAAGUAGGUCACUAAUUAUUAAAUUAUCAAAAUACCCUUGACAUUUAAGUGUACAGGAGCUGACGCUUAAGGGUAUCGUAGUCAUUGUAUGGGUUUAGGCACCCAUUUGGGACGAAUAGAAAACUACCGUCCUUAUUUGAGAAAUAAUGCUAUUUGACACAGAAGUAUAAAUAAAUUCUCAACUUCCUCCCGUUUCCGUGAAAAUUUUGUUUUCAGUGCAGUGGAAUUGAAUUAAUCUGAAGGAAAAAAAAAAUUGUUGGUAUGUGGAAAUUAUACUUGAAACGUUGUCGUUUUUGGCAUAAUUGCUGUGAUAUACUUAUUUGCUUUGUGUUUUUAUUUCUUUUUUCUGGGUUUUAGGGUCACAAUCGGAGAGAGAAGACAAUGUCUCGUUGGAACUCUCUGAAGAAGUUCUUCAGAGCAUGGAAGUGGGCAUUUCUUUUAGAGAUUAUGUAAGAGAAUCUUCUAAUAAGUUUCUGUUUGAGGAACAUACUUGAUUUGCGUUUUAAAUGUAUCUGUUUGUUAAUUCAGUGUCGUUUUGUAUUGAUUCGUGUUUUAACAGAAUGGGAGAAUUAGUUCCUUGGAUUUUCAUAAAUCAUCGAGUUAUUUGGUGACGGCUAGUGAUGAUGAAUCUAUACGGCUGUACGAUGUCUCUGCUGCCACUUAAGUUGAUCCUCUGUUUCUUAGGAUUUUAUGUUGUCUCUUGGGAAGUGCUUUUAACUAAGAAAUGGCUUUUGAAUAAGUAUAAAAAGCUGGUUUCAAUCUUGCAAUGUUUGUUUGAAAUUGCAGGAAUAAUAAAGUGUCUCUUUUGAAAUCAAAGGAACCCUUGAAGUGUUUUUCUGGGGAAGUGCUUGAUAUCUGCUUUCAUGGAUAGAACUUUUUGGAUUAGGAAACCACUUGUAGUGCUGUUUGAAGAAGUGCUUCAUAUAUGUUUCAAAGUGAUUUUACUCGAGGGUACUUUCCAUUAAAGCAUUGCUGAACGUAUCAUCUGCGUGUUUGAUGAGCUCAUGAAAGCUACUGUCUUUCUAAGAUGGAGAAAAAUGCUUUUUAGAUGAAACAGAAAAAAAAAAAAAAAAAUAGAACCUUGGAGUGGUUUUCGGGGAAGUGCUUAAGGGAAAUGUAAUUGAUAUAUUUUUCAAGAACUUUUGUAAAAAGGCCUUUUCUUUUCUUUCUUUUUUUUUGUUUGCAUAAGCUCUUUCUAUAAGAUCACUGCCAAAUGCACUUCAGUUGUCUUAGCUGAGCAUGAUAGUUGGUAUUGCAAUUGUUGCUGAGAGCCUUAAUUGAAAUUUCAGAUGUUUGAAGACAAUUAACAGCAAAAAAUAUGGGAAUAUUUGUAUUUUGUUUGUUGGUGGAUUGCUUUACUAGGCACUUAUUUGAUACGUUCAUUUAUUCAGAAUCUCUACGGCUUCUUUCCUCGCACGAUAACAAGUACUUGCGUUACUUCAAAGGUCAUCAUAACAGGUUUGUAAUUCACUUAUUCUUGUAAAUAUUUCGUAAUUAUUAUUAUCUGUAUAUAUGUUUUACUGCUUCUAGGGUUGUUUCACUUAGCCUGUGCUCCUCCAAAGAUUGCUUUAUCUCUGGUUCUCUUGGUCAAUCUGUUCUGCUCUGGGAUCAACGGGCUGAGAAAUGCUAGGUGGAUAUCAUGCCAUCCACCAUUUUCAAUUGUAUUUAUGAUCUCUGUUGGCAAAUACGGGUCUUUUGCAUGUUCAAGGAAGGCCUGCUACAGCAUAUGAUGAUCAAGGGCCUGUCUUUGCAGUUGCCUUUGGAGGAUACAUAAGAAUGUUUGAUGCUCGUAAGUAGGAGAAAGUUAAAAUUAAUAUUUAAAAACAUCUUGGAAGUUUAUAUGUCGUACUUUUAUCAUGCACUAAUUUGGUUAAAUUUGGAUACAUCUUCUCUGAUGGUGGAGAUGUAUCAGAUUCUGAUGCUGGAAAGUUCAGCAAUGAUGGGAGACUUAUGCUUCCGACCUCUAUGGAAGGACAUAUUCAUGUGCUUGACUCAUUCCAAGGCACACUUGUGAGUUGACUUUUUCUUUCUUCAUCUCCCAAAUGUAACAUAUCGUACGUAUAUACCCCUCUAUACACUGGAAUCUCUGUGAAUGAGCUUCUGUUUACUCUUGUUUUUAUUUAUCCACUUAUGAUGCCAAGCCAGUUUCUCGCAAUUCCACAUUGGAGGCAUCUUUCAGCCCGGUAGAGUUUCUCCUUUCAGUUCUUAGGGCACAGUGACUUGGAUAUUUUGUUAAUAUUUGCUUUUGGCUGUUUUGAUAAUUUAUAUUAAAGUUCUUGCACUUGUGCUGUAUAUAAUUCUCAAAUUUGUUACCACCUUGUUGGUAUAUUGAAAUACACGACUUGAAAUGCUGGGCAUCAAGCUUGUUUCCGCAGAAUUCUUUGAAAUAAAUUCAUUUUCUCUUCUUCAUUGACUUGGUUUGAAACCCACUCCCAUCCAUGCAAAUCCAAAUGCGUACGUAUUUUCAUCUGGUUGUGCUUAUUAAUAAAAAUAAAUCAAUGAAAUGCUCAAACAGCAAGUGCACCCACACAUGUGGAAGCAGCCUAGUGUGGCCAAGCACCUCUCAUUUGUUUUAUGUGAUACAAUUGGUUUGUUGCACUCUUUGUGCUAAUUUUACUUUCUCGGUUUGGAAGGUUCUGAUGAUGGUAGUGGAUAUGCUUGGAGUGUACGGAGCGGGAAAGGGGUAUGAUAAGCAAAAUUCCUGGAUUCUCAUGCCUUUUGAAUGCUUAGAAUUCAAAGGGAUGUUAUUUCCCUUACAUUGACCCCAGUCAUAGCAUUCAUUGUCUUCUAGCCAAACCAACAAUGCUUUUGAAUCUACAUUUGAGCUUUGUAUAAGAAGUUGCACCAAUUAUGUAAGGAGAUGUUCAAUUUCCUAUAGUAGUAUGUAAAUGCAUCUGACUUACCUGCUAGUAACCUUUCCUAACAAGUUCUGAAGAAACAACAGUAGAUCUGGUAUCAGUACUUUAUUCAGAAGAGCAUUUCUUCUUACAUGCACAGCUAAGAGUACAUGAAUUGAGCUACUGAAGCCCUUCCUGACCAACCUGGCUAAGGCUCCGUUCAGUUUGUCCUCUUCAUGGUUCUUUGGCAGGCAACAGCGUAAGCAAUUACCUGGACUAUGAGGCCUUUUGUAGCGGGGUGGGCACUGCCUAGGCAGUUUUUGAAAAAAUUAGGAGCUUUAUUUGUCAUUGACAUUUGUAGCACGAUUAGUUGUUACCUGGAUUAAGUUGUAUAUAUUACAUCGUAUACCUAAUCUGACAAAUAACAGGUUGCAAUCCAAGUUUUGUUGAUCAUGAAGGGUUUGAGCAUGAUAGUCCAUUUAGGUCAUUAGGUCUCCCUCGAAUUGCCACGUACACACUUCAAUCCUCUCAACGAGCGUCCCCGCAACGUCACACUCCACAAUAAUCUCAAAUAAUUUAGAACAAUUAUUUACUUCUGGCUGCUCUUAUCUCCCUUCUCACCAACCGAGUCACUGGUUGGUUACAUUUUACUAACACCGCCGAAUGAGAGAUCAUAAUCCCUAUUACGUGUCCACCCUAACUGACCACAACAUUGUCAUUUUUGAUCUAGCGUUAGUAACGCGUUGUUAAAUUGUCAUAGCUUCGAAACCGCUUUAUUUUUGGACUCAAGGCACAAAAAGGAUAAUAAACAAUUUUAAAAGAAAUUAAAGAAAGAAGUAAAAAGUAAUAAAAACUGGUAUUACAGGUAUUCUACUAUUCUUCUUCUCAUGAGCCGACUUUUUUCCCCAAAAAAUAAUAAAUAAAUAAAUAAAAUAAAGUAAAAAGGAAAGAAUAGUUAAUGCACUUCUCUACGUAAACGGUGUACAAUCAUUCUGGAGUCUGCAAGGGCCUUCAAGGGACCAAUUUAACGAGUUUCAAAUAACAAGUUUAUUUAUUUAUUUAUUUAUUUCUUUGGAUGAAAUAACAAUUUUAAUUAAAUAAUACAAAUAUAACUUAUGUACAUUUUUGCUUCUUGACCCUCUGUGUUGAAUGAGAACGAAACUGACAGAUAAGGACAGUAUGGCGUAUCUCUUGUUUAUUUCUUUGAAUUCCCCUCUCUUUAUUCUCUCUCAAUAGCCCUAUCUACAACCCUAUUCCUUUUUAUAAUCCUUUAUCACGCUACAUAUAUCGUAGCGUACUAUUAAAAUUUAACAGUGGGAUUACUUAGAAAUUUGAUAAGCACUCCGCUUCUCCCCCACCCCACCCAAAAAAAUAUUAUAGGUUAAGUGGAUGUAAAUUCUAAUGAUUAACAUGUUGGGAUUAUAUGCUCUUUUAAAGUAUAGUAAUUUAUUUUCUGAUUAAUAAAAUAUUUGAGAUAUUUUCAAUUGCAUAAAUAUAUAUUGAAUAAUGUCCGUUUAAUCAUAUUAUAUGUAUUUUUGUGAUUAUCAUAUAGAUUCACAGAAAACAUAAAUACAAGUUAUCUUAUUAUUAAAUAAAUUCAGUUCGCAGUUGAUAAAUAGAGUUGGACGCUCUAUUUAUGUUUAGACUGUAGUAAAUUUAUUGCAUGAUUUGUCUUAAUCAUAUAUGAAUUUAUUGAUGUAGUACGAUUACAUUGAACAUGAACACAUAUGAGAUUUAAUUAACCUUGAAAUGACUGUCAGACUUAUUAAAUCUCAUAGGCAUUGAUUUUACUGUAAUCUUAAUAUUGAGUUAAUUAUGAUUUCAUGAUUGUAAUUGUUAUUCCAUUUGAGUUACCAAUGGGCACAACACACAAUUGUGGUCAAGAUUACCUAGUAUCUUGGUGGGAGCAUUUAUGAGUAUUGGAGUUAUACAUUAACAAUAUAGAAUUUGUACAACACAUCCUUGAUGAGUUUUUGGCACUUGAUCAUAGAAUUCUCUGGCCAGAGUGUGUCAACAUAUUUAGUAUGUUGAAAAUGAUCAUUAGAGAAAACAAGUAAGCAUCAAGGAAUAAGAUGUAAUUAAAUUGAUUAGACAGUUGAGAUAUCGAUUUAAUUAAUGAUGUGGUACAAAGGAUUAUGCAGUAAAAAAAUUGAUGUGGCCUGCGACGAAUUAUUAUUCGAGCAUACAAUUAUGGAAGUUAGUUCCAAUCUUUUAAUGGAGUAUAUUUGGAAUUAAAUAAUUAGGCUAGUUUAAUUAUAGGCCUAAUUAUUAUAGCCACUAUUGUAUGUUCCCAAAUGAUUCCCGGGUUAGCUCAUUUAAUUGACUACGCCACUACUAGAUUAAUAAACAAGAUAACUAGUUAUUUGGGUUAAAAGCCUAAAUAUAUUAUUUAGUGGGAGGCUUCAAGUAAUGUACUUGUGUCUAAGGGGCAUUGUGUUAUUUUACAAAGUGGGCCCCUAUGACAAGAAAGAAGUAACGUUACUUUUAGUUUAUUAUUUUUAUUUAAAUCAAACUUGAUUUAAUAGAAUUAAAUAAUAUAAAAAAUGGAGUCUAGGGUUUCCACUAGAGAAAAAUAUAAAAGGGCUUAUUUUCUCCCAAAAGAAACAAGCAGCCACUUUAUACAGAUCAGAGAAAAAGAUUUUUCUCUCCGUUGUUGAGAGAAAAAUUUUCUCGUGCUAGUUACUUUGGUAGUGAUAAAGGCGUUCACACGUCAAAUGCAGAUCAAACCUGAGUCAUAACAUAGAAGAUCAUUGGUGACAGUUCGUGAUCUAACAAGUGUUGUGGUCACGGAUCGUGAUCUAACAAGCGUGGUGGUGACAGAUCGUGAUCUAGGAGCCUAAAUCACUUCAAUGGAAAAAGCCAAAUCGGAUUUUCAAUGUACGAUUUCUAGAUUACGUAUUCAUAUAUAUUGUAUGAAAUCAGUCCUAAAACAUUUUAUAAAAAUUUAAAAUAUAGAUUUUUCUCCAACAAUUGGUAUCAGAGCCAUCUUAUAUUAAUAUAUAAUAAUAUUGUAUGAAAUCAAUCUUGAUAUUUAUGUAUUAGAGUGGCACAACUUAUUCAGAUAUAUAUUAUUUAUUUAAUAUAUGAAUAAAAUAUGUUUUUGGUUUGUCUUAAUUCAUGAUUAGAUUCUUUACUGUUUUUUUUUUUUAUCUGUAACAAGAGGAGUGGUUUAUUAUCACCAUAUUUCCCUCUUAAUUUAGUUUAUUGUUAUAGAAAUUUUGUAAGCCUAAAUUGGUGUAGGAAAUUUGUAAGUCACUAGAGUAUAAUCAUGGAUGUCAGAUCAAAGCAACGAAUGCCGGAAAUUUCAGCGUCAGCCAGCGGUGCAUGAUGCACGCGCAGUGGCCAGCAGCACACGCUGCCAGCAGCUGCAGCGCGCGCAAGUUUAGUGCAUUUCCGACGACGCGGCAACGGGUGGCUCGGCGUCGGAGGUCGGCUGGUGUCUGAACAAUGGCAGAGGUUUUUGGAGAUGGCGGCUGGGGAGAAGGAAAAGAAAAAUAAGGAUUUUAGGGUUUCAUGGUUUCUAUCAUUGAGGUCCCUAUAGUUUAAUAAUUAUUUCUUUUGGGCAGUUAAGUUUUAAGCAUUUAAGUCUAAAAAUAGUUUUGGGCUUAAAGAAUCUUAGUUUUAGGCCCAAUUGAAAUUUGGGCUUAAUAGAUUAAAAUACAUAGAUAAAAUUGAACACAUUAAAUUUAUUUUUUGUCCAAAAAUUUUAUUUUAAUAAAAAAUUUAAUUAUUUAUUUAUUUCCUUCUAAAAAAUUAAAAUUGGACCAAUAAUAAAUUUAAAAGCUCAAUUUCCCCUAGUCCAUUAACAAAGAUAAGCCUAUGGAAGGUGGAUAUUGACAAAAAGCCCAAUGAAGAUUAAGCUUAUGGUUAAUGUAUUUUUUUAGGAAAGCCAUGAAUUAAGAUUAUUUAAUUGUAUUUCUAUAUGUUCUGUUUUGGAUGAUAAUAUGCCAUGAUAACAUGUCAUAUAGAAUAGGUAGUGUCACUCUAUGCAUAAUAUUACAUGUCAUUAAUUAAUUAUGAAUCUUAUUAUAUUGUUUGUAAUUUGCAAAUGCUUAAAUAAUAUUGGAUAUCAUAUAGAUAAUAUUAUAGGAAGCAUGAAACAAUAUGUAUGUUUUAAAAAAAGAAAAAACCAAUUUUAAAAUAUUGAGUGGGAGAGGGAAAAUUCAAAAUAAUUUUUCCCACGGGCUCCAUUGUUAGUUCAAUAAUAAAAUUAUAUAUAUACCUCGACUUCAUGAUACGGUGAUGCUCCUUAUGGAGGGUAUAUAUACUAGAUAUUUUAUUUGCUGAACUUUUUCAAAGAUAAAAUUGAAUAUUUUUCAAUCAAUUGUUCACUCCAACGGUGACUAUUGAUAUGAAAAAUACGUAGAUUGAAACAAUGGUUAUACCCUCAACUAAAAGUUGUUUUUAACCUUCCCAACAAAGCUCUGUUAACAACUUUAGGCCCAAAGGGAUAACGAUAAUUAUUUAUCAUGUCUUUACAUGAAAGUAAAUAAUUCAAUGGAUAAUUGGGUCUAGUAAGCAUAUAUUUGUUAUUUUGUUGUGAAUGGGACAUAUAUGGCACCAUUUGCUCCCGUGACCGAUCUUUAUAACAGAUCCAAUUACCCUCGUUAUAGUCACUAGAUAGAAAGCUAACAUAGCACAAUUAUAAUAUGUAAUGUAAGUGAUAGUAGAGUCACAAAUUAUUGUAUAAAUUUAUUUUAUAUAAAUUGAUGAUAAUAUAAAAUAAUAAAAAUAUAAAUCAUGUAGACCAAGAUGUAUUUAAUAUAACUAAUAAAAUUUUACUAGAUUAGUUUAUAUAAGAAUUUGUAAUUUUAUUAUUACUCAUGGUACUUGAACAGUGGCUGAUUGGUUAGCUAGUGGUAUAAGUGGCAACGACCAAAUUGUUGAGUCUCUGACGUGGGUUCUCAAAAUGAGUCAAGAGUCCAGAAAUUAGCUAUCAAGUUAUGACAAUAUUUGUAAACAUGUCUUUGAGAUGAUACAUUGUCAUCAUCAGCAUCAUAUCCUAAUUGAAAAAGAAGGAUUGCGAGGGAAACUAAGCAUGUGCCUUCAUUUUCACUUGAAAUAAAGCGCGAUGGAAAGAUCUCAUGUUAUCACAUAAUGCCGUGUGAUCACCUAAAAGCCCUUCCACACACAUUUCUUCUCAAAUUGUCUUAUUCUAAUUUCUUGGACCACCGCGGAACCACAAUGUCAAUGCGAGGAUGAGCGAGUGCUGUUCAGCUCGCAGCAUUUGGAGCCGGAGCUCGGCUUCCUUUAUUUUUUCGUCUUCUGCUGGUAGACAUUGCCAAAAGGCAAAGAGGAUCCUCUGGCGUUCGUGGAGUUGGUCCUCGAUGCGAUUGAUUUCUUCUCCAAGUUGAGCAAGCCUUUGUGCCAUAGCCAUAUAAUUAUUUGCUUUCGACCGACAUAAUUCUUCUCUAAAAAUUUCAGGGAGCACUUUUCAUCUACACCCAAAUAUUUCAUCAGAAUUUUGUUGUAUGCACACUUACUUCAACAACUAUCACGACUCACUCUUUUUGUUAAAUAUUGUUAUUGCCAUUAAUUUUGAUAUCUUUGACGUUAAAAGACAAUUUUGCCCUUAUUUAUAUUUUUUAAUGCAAAAUUACUAGAAAACCACAACACCAAUUUCAAAUUUCAAUUCACCUGUGUGGAUAUUAAAUUUAAUUUUGACAUCUUUGAUAUUAAAAGAUAAUUUUGCUCUUAUUUAUAAUUUGUUAAUACAAAAUUACCAGAAAACCCAACAUGAAUUUCGAAUUCCAAUUUACCUGUGUGGAUAUUAAAAUUUCGUAAAGGUUAGAAAAAAAGUAAAAAGUUUUUGUUAUGAAGAUCAAAAUAUCCCCUCUGCCAUCAUCCAUAAACGUCCAUUCUUCAUAACAAUCUAGUAAACUUGAAAAAGCAAGAAAUCCAAUCCCAGUCAAUCAAAAAGCCAAAAUUCUUCAUAAAGUUUAGCUUUUCUUGAAAAAUUUUAAUUCUUGAGACCCUAAAUUAACCGAUAUUCAACCCUAAAUUAACCGAUAUUCAAAGUCACAUGUUUCUAUAACGAAAAUCUUCAAAAAUAACACUCAAAUGAAAAUCUUCCAAGUAAAUAAAAAUCUAUAUUCAUAAUAUUUAUGAAUAAAUUGUAAAUAAUAUAAAAUGGUCUAAUUGAAUAUAGAGUGAUUUACAAUUUUAUAGUGCAUUCACUAAAUAGGAAUCAAAAUUAAUUGGAAACAUAAUGAGUUAGAAUCGAAAUAACUAGAAUCGAAAUAAGGAAUUAGAAUCAGAAUAAUUUAUUUACUUGAACUGCAUGAAUCGUAAUUAGAAUGAGCUAUUUAUAUGUUUAUUUUAUCUUAAAAUCAAAAUCGGAGUGAGUUAAAUUGUAUCAAAUUACUAUAAGACCCUUAAUUAUUUUUUAUCAUAAAAUAGUUAAUUAAUGUUUAUCAUAAUUAUUAAUUUUAAUUUUAAUUAUCUUGAUUAUUAUUAUUAUUAAAAAAUUAAUUAUUAUUGUUAAUUAUUAUUAUUAUUAACAAUUUAACUAAAAAAUUAUUAUUAAUUAUUGUUAAUAGAUUAAUUAAUUAUAAUACUUUUUAUCCUUGUUAUUAAUAAUAAUAAUAAUAAUAAUAAUAAUAAUAAUCCAUUUAAAAAUUAUAAUUAUAAUAAAAUCAUUAUUAUAAUUAUAAUCCAUUUAAUAAUAAUUAUAUUUUUAAUUAAAUGGAGGGUAUUUUAGAAAUUUAAAAAUUAUAGGGGCGAAUUGAUACUGUAAGGGUUUUAAUGCAAUAAAACAAAGUAUAAGGGGCUCAAUGAAAAUUUACAAUACAAAAAGUUUCACAAUAUUUAGGAAUAAAUUAUAAAUAAUAUAAAGUGUAAGGGCUACGUGAGCAGUAACUUAGGUGGCCCCUUUGCAAAUAACUAUUGUGAUUAGUGAGGCGCACCCAUCAAGUUCAUUGUAGCUGAAUGUAGAGGGCCUCGUGGAAGUUUAAGUUGUAGGGUCCCAAUCAAAAUGUGGCACUGACACAUUUAUCAAACAAUAUGAUUUUUUGAUAAGGACAUUAGUUUUGUAUUCAUAUCAAGCAGGUCCCUAACUUGUUGGGUUGGCAACGACACGGGAUUUGUCAAUCCCAGUCCCAUUCCGUAUAAAGUGCCGUAUAUGCAAAUGAGAUAAAAAAAAAAUCUUAUUCCUAUUCUUUUAUUUUCUUUUGCGACAAAAAUUUGUCAUGAUCUCGUCUCAUUAAAUAUCUUAUCCCAUCUCAUUAUCUUGAACAGUUUUAAAGGUAAAUAAAUAAAUAGACUUUUUUUUAAAGAUCAUCACAAUUCAAUAUAGCAAAAUUUUUUAAAUAAAUACAAAGUAAAAUAAUCAAAUAAUAGUUUUAUUUUGACUAAGUGCAUGUUCAAAUAUAAUUUUAUAUUAACAUUUUUAAUAGUCUAUUUGCUUCCAUUGCACAUUAAUAUUAAGACUUACACUUCAAAAACUAUAGAUUUAAAUAGUAAUCACUUCAACAAUGUUAAAAUAUCUAAUAAUUGAAUAAUAUAAUAAUAAACAAAACCAACAAGGUUGGUAAUGGAAUGGGAUGAGACGAGAUUUGUCCAUUCCAGUCUUAUUCCGUUUAUACAAGUGAGAUAAAAAAAAAUCUUUCAUUCCUAUCCUUUUAUUUUUUUGGGAUAAAAAUAUAUCUUAACUCUAUCCCAAAUGAAAUAGGAAAAAUUACCAUCCCUACUAACUUGGUGUAAUGACUAAAAGUUGAUUGAAAAAUAUAUAGUUUAAUUUUACAUUUAAUUUUUUUCAUUUUUUUAUUAAGAAUUAAUUGAAAAAUUAUUUUAUUCCCUUAAUUUUACCAGAAUCCCAUUGACUUAACCCCUAGUCUCUUGAUUAAGGCUCCGUUUGGUGCAGCUUUUCAAGCAAAACUUAUUUAAGUAGAGCUUUUGAUAAUAGAGCUUUAAGAAUUUAGUUGUUUGGUUGUCAAUAAGAACUUUUAUUAAAAAUCUAUGAAAUUGCUUUAAUAGAUAAGUUUUCUUAAGUUAUGUUAUGAAAAGAAUAAAAUAAGAUUGUUAAAUAAGUAAAGGAUAUUUUAGAUAUUUUAACAUUUAAAAAAAGUUUUUCAACCUCUACUCCCAAAAGCUCAAACUUUGAGUUUUUGUCAAUAGAGACGAACUAGCUUAUUUAAGCUCUAAAAGCUCUACAAAAAAAAAAAAAAAAAAAAAAAAACAACCAAGCAACAACAAAAAUUAUGAUAAGAGCUUAUGAGAUUAAAUAAAUACGUAUGACCAUUAGACAAGCCAUAUCAAAUAGGCAGUAAAGCGUUUUUAAGUUCAAAAGAUUCAGAUAACUCACUCGAUUACAGGGCGUCUACACCUUAUGCUCGCAUUUGUUGUGAUGCCAGUAGAUGUUGUGACUGUGGUUGUCGUUGUCGAUUGUACUUGAAUUUUGCAGGAGAGCUUAAUAUCCUCCUUAGUAAUUAAGCGUUGCAUCAGUUAUUUUUAAAAAAAAUUAUAUUAGAGUUAUUAUUAAAAAAUUGUAUUAUAAAAUAAAAAUUAAUAAUAUGUAAUAAAUAUGAUUUUUAAAAAUUCAUUUUAUUAAAAUUAAUUAUUUUUAUUUUUAUUAAAUAAAUAUAAAAUUAAAUCAACUUAAUUAUUAAAUUAUAGUGAUUAGUAUUUAUUAAACACUUUAAUAUAGUAACUUUUAAAAUUAUAAUCGACUAACCUUAAUCCAAGAGCCUGAAAUGAUUGUGCAGUUCGGGAUUUUCAAUUUCCUUUCUUUUUGGAACUGGCUUGGGAUUGUCCAAACACGUUAUUGACUGCCUUUGACAGGGAGUAUGGGGACAAAUCAAUUUUGUUUCCUGCAAAACCCUUGAAAUAUUAGUCAACUUACGUAUACCACUUUUGGACCCAUUUUGUCAGCAAAAAGAAAGAGUGGAGCAUUUGUACUCUAAAUUUAACUUUAGACAGUCGCAUUUUAACAAAUUUUUAUAUUACUAAAUUAACCUUAAUAUAAUUUACUAUAAAAGACAAUUUAGUAAUAUAAUAACUUUUAAAAUUAUUAAAUAAAUAUAAAAUUAAAUCAACUUAAUUAUUAAAUUAUAGUGAUUAGUAUUUAUUAAACACUUUAAUAUAGUAACUUUUAAAAUUAUAAUCGACUAACCUUAAUCCAAGAGCCUGAAAUGAUUGUGCAGUUCGGGAUUUUCAAUUUCCUUUCUUUUUGGAACUGGCUUGGGAUUGUCCAAACACGUUAUUGACUGCCUUUGACAGGGAGUAUGGGGACAAAUCAAUUUUGUUUCCUGCAAAACCCUUGAAAUAUUAGUCAACUUACGUAUACCACUUUUGGACCCAUUUUGUCAGCAAAAAGAAAGAGUGGAGCAUUUGUACUCUAAAUUUAACUUUAGACAGUCGCAUUUUAACAAAUUUUUAUAUUACUAAAUUAACCUUAAUAUAAUUUACUAUAAAAGACAAUUUAGUAAUAUAAUAACUUUUAAAAUUAUUAAAUAAAUAUAAAAUUAAAUCAACUUAAUUAUUAAAUUAUAGUGAUUAGUAUUUAUUAAACACUUUAAUAUAGUAACUUUUAAAAUUAUAAUCGACUAACCUUAAUCCAAGAGCCUGAAAUGAUUGUGCAGUUCGGGAUUUUCAAUUUCCUUUCUUUUUGGAACUGGCUUGGGAUUGUCCAAACACGUUAUUGACUGCCUUUGACAGGGAGUAUGGGGACAAAUCAAUUUUGUUUCCUGCAAAACCCUUGAAAUAUUAGUCAACUUACGUAUACCACUUUUGGACCCAUUUUGUCAGCAAAAAGAAAGAGUGGAGCAUUUGUACUCUAAAUUUAACUUUAGACAGUCGCAUUUUAACAAAUUUUUAUAUUACUAAAUUAACCUUAAUAUAAUUUACUAUAAAAGACAAUUUAAUAAAUUUUUAUCAUAUGAACUUUUAUCUACUAUAAACCACAUCAACAAUGAAAUAUUGAACCAAUGUUCACGUCGGAACUUUAUCUAUACUUAUAGACUAGAUUUUUUUUUUUUUUUGGUUAAUAGAAUGGCUAGAAAAACAUCAAGUUGCAUGUUCUAUCUCUUAUAACUGAAACAAAAGGAAUUACAAGCGGAGGUGCAGAACGAACAAUAAGUCUAUAAAUAUGAAAUAAAAUCGACAUAACUUCUAACAACUGCUAACUAUAAUCUUGAGCAAGACCUUAAUUUCCUCUCAGUUUUACAAUUAUUUGCUUUUGAGUGAGCUCUGAUUAUAAAUUUAUCCAUACAUGAAGUUACACUAGAUACGAAAUUACGUGGGCAUAAUUAUUCUUAGAGAAUUAUUUUUUCCUUUAGGAAUUCGUGCAAAUUAUCACUUUCUUUUUCCACUUUCCUUGAGAUAUUAUAUUUGACCUUUUUUAAAUAGUGCUCAUUUGUUUACGGAGUUUUUUUUUUAAUAACCAUUUCUAACCGUUUCAAACAAUUUGGUUCUAAAUAUAAAAUUUAGACCAUCUAUAAAUGCAGCCCUCUCACAUAAAUAGUAUCCAGUCCUAAGUCCACAGCCAGGUUUGUGAGAGAGCUCUCUACAUUAUAGAUGCUGUAAGGCAGUAGGGGUGUAAAAAAAACCCGCUCGGACCGGACCUGGCCCGGACCCGGCCAAUUCGGUCCGGGCAAAACCCGGACCACAUGCACUGAAAAUGCGGGUUCGGGUUUAAGAUUCCAAACCCUACCAUUUUCGAGCACGGGUUCGGGUUCAACACCAAAAAUCUGGAACCCGGAACCGGACCCGGUUUCUAAAUUAAAAAAAUAUAUAUAUAAAAACAAAAAUGUCAAAACCCAAAUCCCUAAUUGGCUAAUUCCCGAUUGAAAGAGGCAUAAGCAGCAAGCCAACAACGUUGUCACCGGCAUCAUCUCUUCUCGUCACCGUCGGCAUUCGGCAUUAACCACCACCCACUGUCACCGUCGCUCGUCGGCAUCAUCUCUUCUCGUUUGCUGACUCGGCUUGGCACGCGGCUUUACUCGGUUGCUCCAUCUCCAGUGGCAGUGUGGCUGUGACUCAGUGACAGUGAGUCGUUCGUGCAGGUGAGGCCUGCUUCUGGGAUAUUUUUCUGGAAUUUGGCCUCUUCGAGUUGCUUGUCCUGCUUCCUGACAUGUUCGGCAGCUGCGAUUGCAGAUUCCUUGGAGUCCUUAACAACUUUGAGCUUGGUGGUCAACUCGAGCAUGGUUCUUUUAGCCCUCUCAAGAUCGCCAAGUGCUCGAGCUCUUGUGCUUUCAGAGCUCUCUAACAGUUUCUUAGUUCUUUCGAUUUCUUUCCGGGCCAAGAGAAGCUGCGUCGUCAGCGCCAUCGUCUCCAACUCUCCAUUGCCACUUUCUCAACCACCAUCUCCAACUCUGCUUCUCAGCUUCUGCAAGAGAGAAUUGCAUGCCAUAUUGCCAUUAUUAUUAAGUUACUAUAUGCGGGUUUCUAAGCCCGGACCAAAAACCCGGACCCAGGUGGUGCCGGGUUUGCGCCUGGCCCGCACCCGGAAAAUCGGGUUUUAACCCGGGUCCGGAUUUUUUGUCCACUCAUCCGGUCCGGUCCCGGGCAACACCAAAACCCGGAUCGAACCCGGAUUUUGCCAAGCCUAUAAGGCAGCCCUCGCCAAACCUAAAUAUAAGAUUGAAUCAAACUCUUUUCGAAUUCGAAUUUCUUUCAAGCUCAAAUACGUCGCUUGGCUUUUCUUAUAUUUUAAGGUACAAUUGGGUUUGAUUUCUAUCCACUCUUAAGGUGCAGUAAAUCUCAACAUUCCAAAUAUAACCCUUUUGACACAAUUCACUUUCUAUUUGGGAAUGGCAAAAAACCCCAUGAGAUGGGGUUGGGGAUUUUUCCCAUUUAAGAAGGGAAAAAUAACAAUUUUAUGUUUAGGGUCUGAUAGGAAUGAUUUUUUGCCCAAUUUUUUUUGGGGAAGGUACAAAGAUGAGCUUGAAUCCUGAUUCUCUUCCCAAUUCGCCAUUUUCUCAAUUUAAUUUUUAAUUCUAAUUUUAUUUUUUAAAAAUAGUAAUGAAUCAAUAAUAAAAUCUAAAUUAUAAAAUAUUAAAUAUUAGUAUAAAUAACAAAUAUCAAUAUAUUUAUACAAAUAUAUUUUGAAAUUUUUGGGCCCAACUAAAUAGAAAUUCUAUUUUAACAUUCAUACAUUUUCAAAAUUAUUAAACUAAAAGAAUCCAGAAUCAAUUUUUCCUUGUGAACUUCUAUUAAAAUUUCACUGCGGUUUAAAAAAAAAUUAAAAAUUAAAAAUCCAUCCCAAAACCGAUUGCUACAAUACUGAGCCGCAAAAGUCAACGCCCGACACCCCACAUUUCAAUUUCAAAUCCAAACUUAAAUCCACCAACAGACACUACGCAAAACAAAUCUACUUGAAAUGAACAGCAAGUCUAAAUCGAAAUCGAAAUGAAAACCUUUAUGAGAGAGAAGUAAGAAGGCUUCGUUGUAUAAAGAGAAUAGCGAUUGAAGACAGUGUCUUCACGAUCGUCGUACGUAAAGCAUACGGAGAUCGGAGACUGUGUACUAACGAUCGAGGGCUGUGUCAAGACUGUCUUCACGAUCGUCGUAUGUGAAGCAUACGGAGAUCGGAGACUGUCUUAACGAUCGACGACAAACUGUCUUCACGAUCGUCCUAUGUUAAGCAUACGGAGAUCGGAGACUGUGUCUUAACGAUCGAGGGCAAACUAUCUUCACGCUCGUCGUAUGUGAAGCAUACGGAGAUCGGAGACUGUGUCUUAACGAUCGAGGGCAAACUGUGUUCACGAUCGUCGUAUGUGAAGUAUACGGAGAUCGUAGACUGUGUCUUAACGAUCGAGGGCUGUGUCGAAACUGUCUUUACGAUCGUCCCAUGUGAAGUAUACGGAGAUCGGAGACUGUGUCUUAACGAUCGAGGGCAAACUGUCUUCACGCUCGUUGUAUGUGAAGCAUACGGAGGUCGGAGACUGUGUCUUAACGAUCGAGGGCAAACUAUCUUCAAGAUCGUCGUAUGUGAAGCAUACGGAGAUCGGAGACUGUGUCUUAACGAUCGAGGGCUGUGUCGAAACUGUCUUCACGAUCGUGGUAUAGAGUGAAUAGAGAGAGAGGGGGCUGUGUUAAACAGAAAGAUUGAAUGCUGUGCCGUGUAGAGAGAUCGAGAAGAAGAGAGAAGAUGGCGGCGCCUGUAGCAGAGCACGGGCUCAUAUUUAUAGGAGAGGGAUUACGGCAACUUAACGGCCGUUAUGACCGCAAAUUGCCUCUGUUAGAAUUAACCGAGAAGUCACGGGAUUACCUGCUGAUCAUCAGCAUCUGGGAAUCUUAUGAGUUUGAACAUCAAACAUGCAUGCUAAACUAUCCACUAAUAUAUAUAUAUAUAAACCGAAAGCUCAGUCAUUUAAACGAUAGCAUUCAGCGAUGAACAACAAUAACUUAAACAUGGAUGUAACUCAAAAUUUAUCUUCACCUGACAGCCAGACAUACGUAUGGUAAAUCGUAGUGGUAGAAGGUUAACAUAUGAGGCAAGUUCAAAGAACAUUUCUCUUUUAUACCAAAAAAAGAAAUAGCUGAACCGGAAGGGACUCACAGUUGAUUAGAGAAUGAGUAUAUCAAUCUAUCUGUGACAAUUUAAUUUAGGUAUACCAUAUGAUUCCAACCUUUAUUACACUAAAAGAUGGUCAUCCCAUCAUUAAUAGAAAAGAAAAAUAAAAUAAAACGGCAAAGUAAUUAAGAAAGAAGUAGAAUUUCAGCUCAACCUUAGGUCAGAAUAGUGUGAGCAUUCUAGAUUUGAUUCAUCUCGUCAUAACCUUCGAACAAGGUAUUAUACACUAGAAACAGACACAUGCGUCCCAAAUUAUGAUAUCCAAAAAUUAUCCUACUCAUGAUUAUCUUAGGUAACUAUCCUACAUUGCAAAUGAAUGUAAUAGCUACGUUUCAAAUUAAAUUCAAAACCAUAAAUUCAAGAGUUAAGUGUUUCUGAAUCAAAAUACCCUCUACGAAUUUUAUAAAUUGGCUUCUAAUUUCAUUAGCAAAAUACACAAAAUCCAAGUGAAUUUCCUCUUCUCUCCCAAACAGUUUUAACAUUUGGCGAUAGAGCUGACGACAAGCAUGAGUAAACAAUGUACAAUAGUGAUACGCAACAAUGAUCAAAGAAAAACAAAUCCUUGAAGUGUAACACCAUGAAAUGAAAAAAUAGGGCGUGGAACAAAUAUUUCUAAUAAUCUUGUUCAUCUUAACCAUAUUUUUUUCAGUGAAAAAUAUUAAUGGCAUCUUAUGUUAUAUUGUUUCAGUAAGAGAAAGAAGAAAAAAGAAAACAAAUCUCUUUCAUAGGGGCUUGACCAAUUUUUUCACGAAAAAUUGACGGCCGUUAUGAGUUCUGUAAAUGCCUCUGUUAGAUUUGAUGGAAAAGUCACGGGGUUACGCGAUGAUCAUCAGCGUCUGAAAAUGUUAUGAGUUUAAUUAGCCAAGAAGAAUUAACCUCCGCUUCAGAUCGAACGACUCCCAAGUAACUACAAACAUAUCACCUUUAUCCUUUUGGUUCCAUCUGCCCACGAAGCUUCAUAUACCUACAAAAUGUUUCUUAAAAUUUUAAGGAAAAAGGAUAAAUACACCCCCAACGUUUAGAUAAAAGGACAAAAGUCCCCCUAACGUUUUAAAAAAUACAUUUACAUCCUCAUUCUCUAACGGAAACAGUAACUUUUAACAGAAAUUAUUGUUAUACCCUUCUAGCAUAUAAAAAAUAUAUAUACAAGUUUAACUUGUGGUAUUAUACCAUAAAAUUUUAUUUAAAUUUUAAACUUGUAUAUUUAACAAUUCUCCACAUGUUAUCAUUUAAACUUGUAUAUUUAUAACUAAUUUUUUAUGUUAUUUAUUAUGGUAUUAAUUGAAAUACAAGUUAACAUUAAUAACCAAUUUUAUUUAUUUUUAUUCUUGAGUAAUGAAUUAAAUUUAUUUGGCUUGAAGAGGGAAUUUGAUAAAAAUUUAAAUAGAGGAAUUGGGUAAUGAGGAUAUAUUUAUAAUUUUAUUAAUAAUAUAUGGACAAAUUGGAUAAUCAACAAUUUUUUUUUAUAUGCUAGAAGGGUAUAACGGUAAUUUCUAUUAAAAGUUAAUGUUUCUAUUAGUGAAUAAGGAUGUAAAUGUCUUUUUUAAAACGUUAGGGGGUUUUUGUCAUUUUGUCUAAAUGUUGGGGGUGUGUUUGUCCUUUUUCCUUUUUUUAAUAAAUUAUAAUCGGACAGCUGGAUCAAAAUUUUCGACUGGGCAAAACGCAAAAUCUACCACGAGUGCUUCAACAACUUCGUUUCAUUUAAAUAUUUAUCAUUUAAUCAGAGUUUGACGAGCAGCGUCGAUGGAAAAUUGAUAGAAAUGAUCCUUACUUUUUUUUUUAUUAUACGAAUAGCAAAUAAAAUUUUCCUUUUUUCAGUUACACAGGUAGGAAAUAAAUUUAUAAAGUCUAGUAUCUACUGUUCGUAAUAUAUAGCAAAUGAAAAUUUUCCAUUUUUCAAUUACACGAACACAUGUAACUGUUUUGUAUAUACCUUUUUCUAGCGGCUUCAAAAAGUUUCAACCUUAUGGAAUGGCACAAUCUUUGUACAUUAUUAUUUUAAUUAAUAACAAGAUUACUGAUCCUGUGCGCCCGGUAAACACUGCUGUGAUUGAGGAAAUGGCGGUUGCUAUUGCUGACUCUUAUCAAAGGCCUUGAUAAAUCGACCAUUUCUUCACAUCUAACUGAGGCAUAAAAGGUAAAAAGCCUAGGUGUAGGAGAGAAAGCUACAACAUAUAUGACACAAAAUCAAUUUGGAUAGGCCUUGCUGAUCAUGUCUGUGAAUGAAGAAGAUUCACCUUGAUGCCAUAGCGUAGCAAAUUAUUAGGAGGCAGGAUGUAUAUGUCGCAUAGUUAAAGGGGGAUUCUAAAUCCUGAAGGGUACAAAGACUUAUGCUUUGAAGCUCAUCUCCCUAUCUAAAACAAGCGAGUUAAGUUCUAUUUGGAAUUGAGAUUGAGAAACUAUAACUUAAAAACUACUGCAUUAAAAUAUUAGGUAAACACUAACUGCUAUAGUUUGGAAAUUAAAUUAAUUUGAUUUUACACUUGUAUAAUGAAAAAUCUAUUAUAUCUUUACUAAUUUUGUCAAAAUUAUUAUUUAAAAGUUAUAGUUGCUACAUAUUGUUAACUUUUAUUUCUUCGUUAUAAUUUUUUUUUUUUUACAGUAGUUGUAACUUAAAAGCCGCUGCACUUUAAUACCAAAUAAGACCGUUGUUAACCAUUUUGAUAGAGUUUGACCAUCUAAUUGACUAAUUCCCCAAAAAAAAAAAAAAGGUAUGGUGGUUACCCGAAUUUUACGUCCACUUAACAUAUAAUUUUUUAGGGGAAGAAAGGGCGGGGUGCUAAUCAAAUUUUUGGAAAAAAAGAAAAAAGAAAAAGCACAAUACUUGUCAAAUCUCUAAAUAACCCUAUUGUUAAACUUUAAUAAUACACUACAAUAAAUGUAAUGUAAAUUAAGUAAUAAAAGAUUAUAGAAAGAUCAAAGAAAUAGGGUUGUAAAUGGGAUUAUUGUGAAAGAAUAAAGAGAGGAAUUCAAGCAAUAAAUAAGAGACACGCCAUACAGCCCAUGCUGUCCUUAUCGGUGUCAAGUUCAUUCUCAUUCAACACAGAGGGUAAACAAGCAAAAAUGUAUAUAAAACACAUGCAUAUUAUUAUUACUAUUAUUAUUUGAGAAGCACAUGCAUAUUAUUUAAUUAAACGUGUUAUUUGGAACUUGUUAAAUUGUUACCUUUGUAGGUCCUUGUGGACUCCAAAUUAAUUGUACGCCUUUUCAACAGAAAAAAGUGCAUUACAUAAUUUUUUCUUUUUUUACUUUAUUUUUGGAAUUUUUUGGAAAAAGCGAUGACUCAUGAGAAGAAGAAGAAUAGUAGAACACGUGGAACAGUCCAAAAAUAUUGUGUAUAAAUAAAUAACGCGGCUUCUGAGUUUUUGACAAUUUACCAUACGUUAAUAACGCUUGAUGAAAAUGUUGCAAUCAGGUAGUGUAGAAUCACUAAUAAAUGAAAUAUGCAAUAAGAAGAGUAAAUAUUAAUAACGCACCAAUAUUACAAAUCAAUAGCUAAGGAUCAAGUGAAAUUUCACCUGCAAAUUAGGACAGCCGAGGAAGCAUCCAUAAACAUAAGAGUAAUUAUACCACUCUGAAAUUUCAUAAGAGAGAAUUAGGACAGCAGAGAAAGAAAUACACAAAGCAAUUUGCAAAGGACAGAGGCAUAAACAUAAUAGUAAUUAUAAAAUUUCAGACUGUAAGAAAAAAGUAAAAAAUGUAUAAUAUUUUUCACAUUAGUCCGACGGUUCGUCAAUGUCUUUGUAAAAAGCAAAUAUUUUCAAAGGUAAAUAACACUCUCCCAAAUGUUUAAUCAAUAAUACAAUUUUUUUUUGAAGAGAUAACUACUGAUUAUAUAUUGAUUCUUCAAAAUAAUUACACAUUUAUCAUAAUAUUAUUUAUUUAUUUUAUAAUUGAUAUAGUACUUUAAAGAUAUUUGAAAAAUUUUUAACUUGACAAUGCUCCUUAAUCAAGGGUGAAGUUUAAAUUAUGUCACAAAAAGUGCUUGAACAAUAUUGAGCAAAGCGUUUACUUGUAUAACUCGAACUGGGGAGCAAACCCUUAAGUGGCUUGACUGAGUUUGCUCCCCAGUUUAAGUCGCAGGGAAGUCGCUUUUGUUGGAAAAACUUGUGCCUCUCGAUUCGAGCGGAGACUUCUAUUCUUGGUUGUGGUACGGACUUAAAGGUGCCUCCCAUAGUUGGGACCCUCCCCAGGAUACCUCGUAGUCAAAAACCAAAAAGAAUGCAUAUGAGGGGAUAAGAAGACUGAAGGUAUGAGUUUGACUAUUAUCACAAUAAUUUCUAUUUCAUAGAUUGAAAUGUGAACAUUAGUGUAUUUUGUGGAAUUUUCUCCGUUACUUUAUAAAAUUACUACAUGUACAUGGAUGAUUGCUUGCUACUGUGAAAGGCGAAACAUUUAAUUUGGAGAAAAUUCCUUCUAGACUGGUAGCAUGGGUCAUAGUUGCCCUAUCGACGAAGUGUUAUUAGCUAAAACCUAUUGCACAUGUCAAUGCAAAAUGGCUUCAAGGUUUCGCUGUAGAACUGAUGACAAGCUUCUGAAAACAACGUGCCAUAUUGAAACACAACAACAAUAAUGGCAGCACCAAUCCAUGCAGUGUAAAAAAUGAAAUGGCCAAUAUUAGAACACGGAAGUAGAUCCAGAGACAACAGCAAGGCCCCAGAACUGGAAAGAAUUUUCUGGAUGAAGUCGAGACUUGAGGUUAGCUGAAUGUGCAUAACAAUACGUGGUUAUGGCUAUAAAAAAAGACCAUAUAUUUAUGGGCUUAGUUUUGCUUUGCACAUUGGCACCCACAAUGCCGAUGAGAGCCGGAAUCAGAUAUUCAAAAAUGUUGGGAUAUGACAUCGACUAGAGGAGAUUUCGCCCACUGCAAAAUCAUUUAAAAUGAUAAAAUCAUCUUCUGCAUAUCCCAUUUUCUUUUAAAAAAAAAUUAAAAUUAAAUAGAUCUUGUAUUAAUUCCUCUCAAUUUGUUUGUCAAUUAUUUGUUUUUGACCGACACAAUUCUUCUCUAAAAAUUUGAGGGAGCACUUUUUAUUUGCACCCAAAUGUUUCAUCAAAAUUUUAUUGUAUACACACUUGUUUCAACAGCUAUCAUAGCUCACCCUUUUCUGUUAAAUAUUGUUUUUACCAAUAAUUUUGAUAUCUUGACGUUAAAAGACAAUUGUACCGUUAGUUGAAAUUUUUAAGUAUAAAAUCACCAAAAAAACCACAACACUAGUUUCAAAUUCCAAUUGACCUGUGUGGAUAUUAAAAUUUCUUAAAGGUUAAGAAAAAAAAGGUAAAAAUGCUUUCUUAUGGGAAUCAAAAUAUCCCCUAUACCAUCAUCCAUAACCGUCUAUUCAUGAUAACAAUUUAAUAAACUUGAAAAGCAAAAAAUCCAAUCCCAGUCAAUCAAUACAGCCAAUUUUCUUCAUAAAGUUUAGCUUUUACUUUAAAAAAUGCUAACUCUUGAGACACUAAAUAAAUAUUUAAAGUUACGUGUUUCUAUAACGAAAAUCUUCAAUUUACCCCUUUAAAAGUUUGAAAACAUUAAUUUACUUCUAUUUUCCAGUCAAAAAAUUAGAAUAAAUGGAGACAAGCUGAUGACAAACUUUUUAACUUCUUAGUGGUAUUUGAUAAAUAUAAAUAAAUUGAAAAUUAUCAUUGUAAGUAGGAAUAAGUUAAAACUUUUACUCCAUAUUUAUUGUGCUUUAAGAAGAGAAAGAAAGAAAACAGAAAACAAACCUCUUUUAUAGGAGGGUUAACAAAAUUUUCAGCAAGGACUUAACCAACUUUUUUCGCGGAAAUUAAAUUAGCAGAACAAAAAUAACAUACGACUUGAGUCAAUAAUGGUAAAGAAAAUGAACGUACACAGAAAAUGAACGUACACAUAAGGGUUUGGAUUUGGUUGAUGAAGAAUGCACUGAAAGCUUUGCAUUUGCUUAUAUAUCACAGCAAACACUGGAUUGAGUUCUCUUUUCCAGGGUAAAUAAGGUAGGGAACAGCAAAGCCGAUCAAUUUGAUAAAAAAAAAAAAGGGAGGGAAGGGGGGGGGAGAGAACUGCCACAGUAAGAACAUCUCAAUCAUCUCUGCUAAAAAAAGUUAUCUCGUGGCUGGGGCAUUUAUAUUUUCAUGUGCGCUGAUGCCGGGAGUUGAAACUGAGGCGGCGAGUCCUCGAGGCCUCUGCUGCAAGAGAGGACUCUGUUAAUUUCGCAAAAAUCUGACUUGGCAAAAUCCACUCAUACAUCAUUUGUCCCUUUGUUGUGAUGUUGAUGCAGUUUCUUUAUUUUUAUUUUUGCUUUUUGUUUUGAGCUCCCAGACAAAAGAGUGUUGAAAAUGAUCGAUUAAUCGGUUCCCCAUUCAAUUUCAAGGUCGAAAGGGAUGACAAGAUGUAUAUUUAGUAUGGUUUAUUUAAUAAUUAUAAAUAUUUGUUUAAUUUUAUGAUCUCUUAUUAAAAUUUUUGUUAUUAUUUAGUUAUUUUUUACAAAAUUUUUAAAGAUUAAAUAAGAUAUUUUAUUUCUAUUAAAAAAAUUUAAAUUUUAAGAUUUUAGAUGUAGAGAUUGAAUUUUUUUUUACAUGGUAAAAUAUUUAAAAUAUUAUUUAUUUAUUUGACAAUCUUAUUUUAUUUUUUUAUAACAUAAAUUUUAAAAAAUAAUUUAUAAAAAUAAUUUCAUAAUUUUUAAUAAAUAAAUUAAUUGAUAAUUAAAUAAAUAAAUUUUUUUUAGUAAAAAUUUUAUUUAUAAGAAUCUUAUUAAUAAAAAAUUUAUUUAAAAAAAUCCUAUUUGAAAAGAUAUUCGGAUCGAAUUUAACAUCCACAUCAUACCGGUACGAGACGUAAGAGGGUUGAAAAUAACGUUAUACACUCGUCAAGGCGCACCAAUCAAGUUCGAGGGGGACAGCGCCCAAUAGCUGAACUUAAAGGGCCCCGUGGGGAACUUAGGUGGUACAGCCCCAAUCAAAAUGCGACAAAUUUAUCAAACAACAUGAUUUUUCCAACGAGGAUAUUAGUUUUGUGUUUGUCACAAAUAGGUCCCUAACUUGGUGUAAUGACUAAGAAUUAACUGAAACAAAAUAUCUUAAUUCUGUAUUUAAUUUUUAUUAAGAAUUAAUUGAAAAUUUAUGAUAUUUUCUUAAUUUUUGCCACAAUUUUUUAAUUAAUUAUAAUUUAAAAAUUUAUUAUAUUAAAUACAUAAUUAAAAGUAUUCAUAUUCCCAACAUCAAACAAUCACUAAGGGUAAAAUGGUAAGAUUAGUAAAAAAAAUUGAUACUCAAAGGGGUUUGGAUGUGUUUUUAAAAUACCAAGGGAGUUUCGGUUAGUUUUGUCAAACAAUAAGGGAGUUUUGCUCUUUUUGUUUCUUUUGUUUUUGUUGUUCAUAGUCGAUAAUGGAUUUGAAAUAGAAAAUAAUUAUAAUUUAUUUUUUCAUUCACUCUCUAAUUAAUUCAAUGGUGCUUAGCAACUUUUGUUUCAGUUUAUGAGCAAUUGGGUGAUAUUUUAUGCCAUGUUCUCUAUCGAGAUGAUGUAACUUAAAAGUUAGGAAAAAAAAGUUGUAAUUAUAAUAUUAAAUUAAUAGUUUGUAAUAAAUAUGACUUUUAAUUAAUAAUUUUGACAAAGAAGUAAUAGACUCUGACAGUAGCGGACCUACAACUGGGCAAGGCCGGGCGUUAGCCCAGUCUAGUUCCAAAAAAAAUCAUUUAUAUCGCUUAUGCUUUAAUUAAUUUUAUAUAUAAGUAUAGAUUUUUUAUUUUGUUUUCAUAUAUAUUCCUAAUUUAGUUAGCCUUAUAUUUUCAUCAAUUUCAUAUAAUAAUAGAGUUUUUAUUUUAUUUUCAAAUAUGUCCCUCAUUCAAUUAUAUAUAUUUUUUCAAUUGAAAUUAGUUACUUAUUUUAUAAAAUGAUUAAAUCAUAUGUUUAUUGAAUAGAUAGAAAACAGUAAGGGUCUAAAAUAUUAUUGGUGCUUAAAUUUAUUUUCAAAAAUUCUAAUUGAAAAAAAAAGUAUGUCAACGUAGUAAAACAUUGUCACUAGUAUUAAAAGUACUUAAAAAACAUAUAGUAACAACUAUCAACAUUUUCAUAAACUUUUUAUGUGAAUUUUGAGAUUUUAUUUAUUAUUUACAUUAUCUAAGAGGACAAGUUAGAAAAUAAAAUUUGAGUAUUUUUAGGAGUUUUUGAUAGAAAAAUCAUCAGCAUUUGGUUUUUUAGAGAGAGUCAGAGUGCUUGGCAAAGAAAUAACGACACCUAAAUACCUUUUUGCCGCUAGAUUGAGUUUAGUUUAUUAUUGAAACUUUUGACUAAUAAUAUUUUUAUAAUUUAAAAAGAUGAAUAAAUUUUAAUUUUUUAAAUUUAUUUAAGCCUAGUAAUUAAGUAUUUUUCAAAUAUAAAAGGUCUACUUAAAUUUUUUAAUUAAUUGCAAUUAUAGGUAUUGAUGAAUUUUAUCUUGAAAUUCUUAAUUGAUUUAUGUAAUUGCAUGUUAUUAUAGGUUCCACUGUUAGAUUCCAUAAACAAAAAGUAGUGCUUUAUACUAGAAUUGUCUUUUAAUUCUACCAUUUUUCUAUAAUUAUUUUUGUUUAGAGUACUGUGUUUAUAGGGUUUUUCGUUUCCCCUUUAUUUGAUGCACUUCUUUCUACCUAUGAAUAUUUAUGUCACUUCAAAAUAUAAAAUUUUUAAUUUAACCCGGAAUAACAUAAAGUCUUGGGUCCUCCCCUGGACCAUGAGCUGAAUGUGCAUAAUAAUAUACGGCUGUGGCUAUUAAAAAAAAAAAAAACCAUAUAUCUGAUGAGUGUGUUUCAAGCAAGGGCGCAGUUUGACUUGCAUAUUUGCACCAUCAAUGCCAAUUGGAGCCAAAAUGAGAUAUCCAAAUAUGUUGGAAUAUGACAUCGAGCAAAAGAGUUUUGGCCCACUGCAAAAUCAUUAAAAUGAUUAAUCUUCUUUUGUAAAUCUCAUUCACUUGGAAAAAUUUAAAUCAUUUGCUUUUGAUUGAGUUUUGUCCAUUAAUUUGAAAUUUUUGGCAAUUACUAGACUAAAAGAUAAUUUUGCCCCUCAUUUGAAUCUUUUAAGUGUUAAUAUCAUAAAACCAAUUGACUUGUGUGGAUAGAAAAUAAGAAAUAAAAGUUUUUCUAUUUUUUUCAGAAUAUCUCCAUCUACCUGACUCAAACUUGCGCCCGUCAAUUUAUAGGUGCACCCGUGCGGAUACGAAACCCGUUUGUUUUCUCAAAGGUUUAAAAAAAAAAAAAUUGAUUUGGGAUUACUUAGUCUUAUAUGAGUCGAUUACUCCAAUAACAGAUGAAUCCAAAAAUCUUCUCUACCUUUAUCUUGCUUUUUUAAAAAAUCUAAUUUUUGAGACCCCAAGGUGGCAUUUAUUUUUUAAUCUGAAAUAUAAAUAGUUCUGAAUUAGUCUAAAUUCUAAAUAAAAUUGAAUAUCUAAUUCUGAAUGAUUUAUUUUUUGUCUAAAUUGUUAAAAAUAAAUAUUAAUUUUUUUUGUAUUUUUAACUUAAAAAAUCUGAAAACUAAUAUUUUUACAUUUGUGCCUUUACGAAUUAUUAAUGUAAACAAAUAAUAAGCAUAUCAAAGAACUUAAAUAAAAUAAUAUAUUAUCAUGAGAUAAAUCAUGUUCAAUUGAAUACAACCCCUUAUAUCGUAAAUUAGUAUAUGUUAAUCAAUUUUAUUGUAGUUCAUGAUGUUUUAUAUGAAAAUAUUCAUAGGAAUAAUGAAGAUAAAUAAUGCUAAUUUGAAGAAAAUAAAAAAAUAAAAAUAAUAUUAGUCUACCACUAUGCUAUCACAAGUUAUAGAGAUUGGUAAUAAUGCUAAUUAUUAAAUUUUAUUUAAGUAAGGAUGAAAAUUAAUUAAUUAGAUAGGGAUAUUUUGGAGAAUAUCUUUUAAUGAUAUCAUUUAGAUUUUUAGAUAAAACAAAAAGUUGAAAAAAUUGGCUUAAUAACUUAAUGACUUAAUGACUAUAACUUUUAAUUAAGUUAAAGAAAACGGACUUAAUGACUUAUCUGAUUGAAAUUAAGUCAAUUAAAUCAUUAAGUCAAAAAGAAAAAAAAAAAAAAGAGCCCCUAAGUUAAGGUUGGUCAAAUGCUGCUAAAUAUAAUAACAAAAUAUUAUAAGAUACAUAUUUUCUUUUUAAUAAAUUGAAUAUAUGUAUAACCUUAAAACUAAUUCUUAGGGUUAUUUGGGAAUGUUGUAGCUUUUAAAAUAAUUAAUGUUAAUUGUGUUGUAGAAAUAAUCAGUUGUGAAGAGAAUCAGUUAAGUGUUUGAUAAAUUUUCUUUUCAGAAGUACUGUGAGUUUUAAAAGCAGUUAUGGAUGUUUGAUAAAUUUUACUAUUAAAUUGCUAUGAGAAAACAAACGACUAUAAUGUAUAUAAUGUAGAAUAAAAUUUAUUUAUACGUAUAAAAACAUGUACAUAUAAUAUUUUUAAUUGUGUAUUAUAAUAGUUUUUACUAAAAAUAAAAUUUAUAAUAUAUUGAUUUUAUUUUUAUCUUAAAACAAUUGAUAAUUAAAUUUAUAAUAUAGUGAAAUAAAUUUAAUAAUAAUUCGACUAACAAAUUGAUAUUAAUAAAUUGAUAUUGAUGAAUUAUAAUAAAAAUUUAUUAAAAUAUUAAUUCUGUUUCCAAUUUGAAUAAGGAUAAUUUUGGGUUUAGGUAAUAAUUUUAAGGAUAUUUAUGAAAUUGUAUUAAAGGAUUAAAUUGAUUCUCAAAAUCAGAAUCUAAAAGCUACUCAUUCCCUACUUUUCAAAAUCAGCUGUAAGAGGGACUGAUUUUGACAAAAGUGAUUUUAAUUUUCUGUUACACCAAACACUAAAAUUAGAUUUUAGAUUUUUAAAAUCACUUUUAAAUCCCCCAAAAGUAAAUCCAAACGGGCCCUUAAUGCUUUAUUGGAAAAAUAUGUAGUUUAUAUGUAGAUAAUAUAUAUUAUACUUAAUUGUUAGGGUUUGAAAAGGAUUGGGAAAAAAAAUGUAAAUUAAAAGGAUUGGGAAAAAAAAGUCAAUUAUGGAAGCCAUUUAUGUUUUGCAAUUGGCGAAGACAGAAAAUUUUUUUUGGGUGGGCUAAAAAUUUUUUCCAAGUCCAUAUGUGAUCUCAAUUAAAGAUAUAAAUCUUAAAAGGAAGUUUCAUUAAUACAUAAGAAAAUACAUCAUAUCUAAGAAGCAAUUAAAUUACAAUUAAACACUACUUAAGUUGUGCCUUACCAUACUUUCGGGAGUUAAACUCAUAUAUUAUCGAGUAUAGACAUCAUUACCUUUGUUAGUGAAUUUGUGAUUGAUUCUUUUAACUUCUUUUAUAGUUUUCUCUUGUUUCGAUUGCAACGAUUGAACGAGUAUAGACAUCAUUUCAAAAUCAUACUGUAUUGUUGUCCACAAAUUCUCUUUCAAUGUAGACAACAAUACAGUAUGAUUUUGAAAUGAUGUCUAUACUCGUUCAAUCGUUGCAAUCGAAACAAGAGAAAACUAUAAAAAGAAGUUAAAAGAAUCAAUCACAAAUUCACUAACAAAGGUAAUGCAACUGUCAGUCCAUCACUAUGACACAUUGAUAUUAUCCAGAAGUCAGGCAAUAAGUUUAAUUAACAAAUUAACAUUAUAUAAUAUACUGGAUCAAAUCUAUGAUCUACCUAUAUCAAUGAUCAAUUUAGCCAUUUAAAAAUUUGAAUGAUAGAAUUCAAUGGCUAAAUUAUCUUCAUUUGAUCUUACACAAUGAAAUUGGAACAACAAUUAAAGAGUAUGAUUUUUAGUCUUUAUUACCUUAUAAUUAAUAAAUAUAUUGUAAAUGAUUGAAUAAAAAUAAAUCUAUUAUCUAUUCUUACCAAGAAGAAGGCGAAGAAAAAAAAAAAUCGUGUUUGAAAUCUCGAAUGAAGUAAAUGCUCACUAUUUAAAUUUAUUUAUAUGAUGACAAAGUUGUAAAUUAAUAGAGUGGUACAAUUGUAAAUAAGAUAGUGGCAUAGUUUCAAUUUUGUAAAAUUUGGACAGGCUAUAGUCCAUCUCAGUCCACACGUAGCCUUGCCACUAGGGAUGGCAAUGGGGAGGGGAGGGGAGGGGACCAAUCUCCCCGUACCCAUCCCUGAUAUUUUGCGUAUGUCUCCGUCCCCUCCUCAUCCUUGUCAUAAUUGUUUGAGAGAAUCUUCAUCCCCUCUCCGAAUAAUAACAGGAGAUUCCCGAUGGUCCCCGAUCCCCGAAUAACUAAUACAUAUAUUUUUUUUGAGUUAAUUAUAUUAAAAUAAAAAAUUCAAACAAAAGUAAAGUUCGAAAUAUAUUUUACAUUAACAUUGAUCCAUUAUAAAAGUCACAUGCAAAAUACAAAUUAUCAAAAUAAUUAUCUUUGUCAAUCUUCAUAAUCCUACAAUAAAAAGAAAAAGAAUUUACUUUUAUAUCGACAAUAAAAUAAAUGAAAUAAAUGUAGAUACUUAAUUAAUAUUUUUAAUAAAACAAAAUUAAAAUUAAAACAAAAUUUUUGGGCUAAUAAAAUCUACCCGGCCUUUUUAAUGUCCUAAAUAAAAAUUUAAGACUUUAAUUAGUUAAUUAAGCCUAAAAGUUUAAUAAUAUGAAUAUUUUAAUAUUUGUUACUUUUACCAAUAUUUAUAAUUUUAUAAUAUAAUUCAAAUAUUAGUAUUUAUUUACUAGUAAUUUUAAAAAAUAAAAUUAAAAUUAAAAAUUAAAAAUUAAAAUAGGAAAAUAGGGAGGGGAUGGGGAUUCCACAUCAUCCCCGCCCCUUCCCUGAAUAAGAAACUGGGUAAGAAAAUUUCCUCAUCUCUUCCCUGAAUAAGAAAUUGGGUAUAGAAUUAUCUCCGUACUCUCCCCGAAUGGGAAAAAUCCCCGAGGGUACCCGUCUCCGUGGGGAUUUUUGCCAUCCCUACUUGCCACCGGUAUAAACAUGGAGAAUAGUUUAUAAAUCCACUAAGCUUAAUUAAAGUAAAAUACUUGACAUUAGGAAAUUUCCAAUAAUCUUGUUCAUCUUAACCAAAUUCUUAAAGUGAAAAGGAUUAAUGGUACCUUGUGUUAUUUUGCUUUAGUAAGAGAAAGAAGAAAAAAGAAAACAAAUCUCUUUCAUAGGGGCUUGACCAAUUUUUUGUUUCACGCAAAAAUUGACGGCCGUUAUGACCGUAAAUGCCUCUGUUAGACUUGACGGAGAAGUCUGGGGGUUUACGCGAUGGUCAUCAGCGCCUGGAAAUUUUAUGAGUUCAAUUAGUCAAAAAGGAUUGAUCUUCGCCUCAGAUGGAACGACUCACAAGUAAUUCUUUUGGCUCGUACCGUCCACGAAGCUUCAUAUUCCCACAAUGUGUUUCUUUUUUCUUUUUCUUUUUAAUAAAUUAUAAUCAGAGUUUUUGAUGGAAAAUUUUAGAAAUGACCCUUACUUUUUUCGGUUACCCGAAUAGCAAAUAAAAUAUUCCUUUUUCAAUUACACAGGUAAGGAAAUAAAUUUAUAGUCUAGUAUCUACUGUUUGUAACACAUAGCAAAUGAAAUUUUCCUUUUUUCAAUUGCACAAACAUGUAAUUGUUUUGUACAUACCUUUUCUAGCGGCUUCAAAAAGUUUCAAACCUUAUAGAAUCGGUGCCGAAGCUAAAAUCAUUUUUUUGGAUGGGUUAGAUUUUUUUUAAAAAUGAAACUUAUUUCUGAAAUUUUUUUUAUACAAACAAAAUUAAGCACACUAUAAGCAAAAAUCUAACCACAAAACUAAAAAAAAAAAAUACAAUGUAAAUAAGAAAAAUAUUAUCAAAUAUUAAAUUUAUUUUUAUUUUUUUAUAAAUAUUAAAAAGUAAAUUUAUAAAUUAUAAUUUUUUUUUCAAAAAACUGCCCGGGUUAGCCUACCUUUUAACUUUGCCUCUGUAUGGAAUGGGUCAAACUUUGGGUUAGUAUUUUAAUUAAUAAGAAGAUUACUGAUCUUGCGUGCGGUGUGCCCGAUAAACACUGUUGUAAUUGAAGAAAAAACGGUAUUGCUAUUGCUGACUCUUAUCAAAGGCCUCGAUAAAUCAACCAUUUCUUCACAUCAAACUGAGGCAUAAGAAGUAUGGAGCCUAGGUGUAGGAGAGAAAGCUAUAACAUAUAUGACACAAGAUCAAUUUGGAUAGACCUUGCUGAUCAUGUCUGUGAAUGAAGAAGAUUCACCUUGAUGCCAUAGCGGAGCAAAUUAUUAGGAGGCAAGAUGGACAUGUCACAUAGUUAAGGGGGAUUCUAAAUCCCGAAGGGUACAAAAGCCUAUGCUUUGAACCUCAAAGCAUUAGGAGGCAGGAUGGACAUGUCACAUAGUUAAGGGGGGUUCUAAAUCCUAAAGGAUACAAAAACUUAUGCUUUAGUGUCUAACACAAGCAAGUUAAAUUCUGUUUGAAAUUGAGGUUGAGAAACUGUAACUUAAAAACUAAAGCACUAAAGUGUUAGGUAAACACUAACGUUGUAGUUUGGAAGUUAAAUUAAUUUAAUUUUAUAUUUAUAUGAUGAAAAAUUUAUUAUAUCUUUAUUAAUUUAUCAAAAUUAUUAUUUAAAAGUUGUAGUUGUUACAUACUGUUAACUUUAAUUUCUUCAUUAUAGAUUUUUUUUUUUUUUUUUUUUACAACGGUUGUAUCUUAGAAGCCAUAGGACUUCAAUACCAAACAAGACUUUCAUUAACCACUUUAAUAGAGUUAGACUAUCUAAUUGACCAAUCCAAAAAAACAAAAAAGUUUGUUGGUUACCAGAAUUUUACGUUCUGUUAACAUAUAAUUUUUUAAGGUAAAAAAAGAAGGGGUGCUAAUCAAAUUUUUGGGAAAAAAAGAAAAAGAAAAAAGUGCCGUACUUAUCAAAUUUCUAAAUAACCAUGUUGUUAAAUUUAAAUCAUACACUACAAUAAAUGUGAUGUAAAUUAUGUAAUAAAAGAUUAUAGAAAGAUCAAAGAAAUAGGGUUAUAAAUGGGGACUCUACCAUGUUACAAUUGUGAUACCAUAUCACACAGUAUUUAUUUUUAUCCCAUAAAACCGUUGGAUUUAAAAGCAAGUGAUCUGACACGUGAGAGGUAGCCACGUUUGUCUCAAAACAUACCGGAAAAGUCGGUUAAGAAAAGGUAAAGUCACCGGUAGCAAAACUCACAGUUUUUGUCUUACCUCUCUCAAAAUGCACGGUGACUGUACGCAUCGCCAGCUCUCUCAAUACUCACGGUGACUGUACGCAUCGACACCUCAAAAUCUCUAAUGGAGCUUCUCUAUCCUGGCCGUCUCGUCCAACACCAAAAGACCAAGUAUCGCUGGCGCCGUCAUUUGGGUAUAAUGGGUUUCAAUUUUGAACCAAUAGAAGGAAAUUUUGUGAAAGAGAGAGGGGGAGGGGAAUUCUCAAAAAUUCGUCAGCCAUGGAAGGCUUGAUAUUCUUUUCUUAAAUCUUAAAGCAUUUCAGAUAUUUGGGUCGUUGUGAUUUUUAUUUUGUCAUGAUGAAUUUUUUUACUUUGGAUUUGUCUCAUUGAAAGGUUUAUUUUAUUUUUAUUUUUUGUGGAUCAUUGAAGUUGCUAUUUUUGGUAUUAUAAAGAUGGGUUGUUUGCAUGCAUUGCAAGAAUAUUGACCUGUUAUGCCAUGUUUGUCAAUUUCAAUGAAAUCUGAGGAAACCCAUUUGCCUGGUUUGUUCAAGGAGCCUUCAGAUUUGUGAGUCAUUGUGUAGUGGGUUUACAAAAUGGUUUGUUGUUGAAAAUGCUUUGGUUGUGACGGGUGAAAUGGUGCCGAAGAUAAGUUGGUUUGAGCACUGGAGUAAUCCUUUUUUUUUUUAAUGUAUGUAUAUAUAAAAAGGAAGAAAUAUCAAGUUUCAUAUACAGUGUUACUUGUUUUUUAUGGCUCAUACAUCGUUUACAUGCCCUCUUUUUCCUUUCAACCAGAAAAUAUCCACAGCGGCUGUAUAUUGUAUGUGGUUCUUUAGCCAACAACAAUAUGUUAGUUUGAUCAUGGAAGUAUAAAUUGAAAAGUGGCAUAAUAUUUUUGUUUUAACCUUUAAUUACCACUUUUCAGUGAGGUGUCUAUUUUGCUUGCUCGUUCAUUUUUUUAUGGGAUUUCGUGUUUGAUCUAGUUUGACAUGCAUUAUAUACAAUUAUCAAUUUUACCAUGAUUAGAGUUUCAUAAAUUUCUUGAAGUGUUUUGUGUUAGGAUCGGUUUAGAAGUGUUAAUUUGUGAUAGACAGCACAUGCAUGAGCCACGAAGAAUGCAUGAGCCACGAAGAAUGCAUGAGCCACGAAGAUCUGGAAGAAUGCCAAAGCCAAAUCCUAAGUUUGGUACGUGAGGGCAUGAGUCCCAUGCAAGCCAUGCAUGAAACAUGCAUGUGCUGAGAUCGUGAAGAUACGUGCUGGGGCUGGAGCCGUGAUCUAGGAAUACGCUUAUCAACGAUUGUGCAGCGAGUAAGGAGGGAAGAUAAGACACGGAAGUUGUUUUCGAUUAUCUUUCGGUUUCGAAUUCUUAGCUAAGUUGUUAUACUCGUUUAUUUAGCCGUAAUUGUAGGAUGGAAACCAAAGUCUUGUUAUUAUAAAUAAGCUCCAGAAUAUGAAUAAAAGUAUUGAGAAUUCUAAACAAUAAUUAUUUGGUCCUUUCUCGCCAUAAGCAGAAAAAUAUCACUUGUGUUACGCGUGAUCAUUGGCUGUCUCUGACUGGGACCUAUCAAUUGGUAUCAGAGCGGGUUAACAAUGAUGACCAACAAAGAAUGUAUUGAGCGAAUUGAAGUUGAUCUGAAAAGCAUGGAGAGCCGAAUGGAACGCAUGGAGAUUGGGAUCAAUGACAAGCUUCAGCGAUUAGAAGACACCAUCAGCAAAUUAGCAGAAGCUUUCAAUGCAUCCAAAGACACCACUAGCCACGGCACCAACGAAACCAUUGGUUCACCGCAGCCAAUUCGAGAAGAAAGUGAAGGAGUAGUGAAGCUGCACGGUAUGCCCAAGUCAAUCAUCAGCGAUCGUGACCCCAUAUUCAUCAGCAAAUUUUGGCAAGAGUUCUUUAAUUUAUCAGGCACCAAACUCAAAAUGAGCUCGGCGUACCACCCACAAACCGACGGCCAAACGGAGGUAAUUAAUCGAUGCUUGGAACAGUACUUGAGAUGUUUUGUUCACCAGUGGCCGCGAAAGUGGCACUCUUUUUUACCGUGGGCAGAAUUUUGGUACAACACCACAUUCCACGUCUCCACCGGAAUGACUCCAUUCCAAGCUUUGUAUGGAAGACCACCUCCAGCCGUGCCCAUGUAUCAACUUGGUUCCUCGCCGGUGCAUGAGGUUGAUCAAGCCUUACAUUCGCGUGAUGAACUGCUCUUACAAUUAAAGAAAAACUUAGCCACAACAGCUAACAGGAUGAAGCAAACAGCUGACAAGGGUCGCCGCGACGUUGAGUUCACAUAGGGAGAUAUGGUGUUAUUAAAGUUGCAGCCCUAUCGGCAGACUUCAGUGUUCAGAAGGGCACAUCAGAAAUUAGUUUGCAGGUACUUUGGGCCGUAUUUAGUUCUUCGCAAAGUUGGAGCCGUUGCCUACGAACUACAAUUACCAGAGAAUGCUCGAAUUCACCCGGUGUUUCACGUCUCUUUGCUUAAGAAAGCCGUGGGCGAUUUCCUUAGCAACAGCGUCGAUUUACCACCUGUGGAUGAUGAAGGCUCGGUGAUCAUGGACCCUGAAGCUAUCCUUGACACACGUUGGGUGAAGAGAGGAGGUAAAGUGAUUGAGCAGAAUCUAGUCCGUUGGAAAAAAAUGCCGGCUGAAGAAGCAACAUGAGAGGACACCACAAUGUUGCACCAACAGUUUCCCAAUCUGACCCUUGAGGACAAGGGUAUUCUUCGAGGGUGGGGCAAUGAUAGACAGCACGUGCAUGAGCCACGAAGAUCUGGAAGAAUGCCAAAGCCAAAUCCUAAGUUUGGUACGUGAGGGCAUGAGUCCCAUGCAAGCCAUGCAUGAAACAUGCAUGUGCUGAGAUCGUGAAGAUACGUGCUAGGGAUGGAGCCGUGAUCUAGGAAUACGCUUAUCAACGAUUGUGCAGCGAGUAAGGAGGGAAGAUAAGACACGGAAGUUGUUUUCGAUUAUCUUUCGGUUUCGAAUUCUUAGCUAAGUUGUUAUACUCGUUUAUUUAGCCGUAAUUGUAGGAUGGAAACCAAAGUCUUGUUAUUAUAAAUAAGCUCCAGAAUAUGAAUAAAAGUAUUGAGAAUUAUAAACAAUAAUUAUUUGGUCCUUUCUCACCAUAAGCAGAAAAAUAUCACUUGUGUUACGCGUGAUCAUUGGCUGUCUCUGACUGGGACCUAUCAAUUUGUGAAACUUAGAAAAUUUAUUUAUACAAUGCUCUAUAUUCUCUCUUUAUAAUUUGUGAAGAAACAGAAAAAAGAGGGAAGUCGUGUUUGUAUUCUCUGAAAAAGAAAACAACCUGAUCCCACCCUGACCUACCCCCAUCGGCAGCAGUAUGGACCUAUAAAGUUCAUCCAACUACUUCGAUAGAAUUGUUAUUGAACCCUUGAUUGACAUGUUUGACUUUCUGGGUAUUUGUAUUUUUCUAGUUUUUUUUUCUUCUUAUUUGUGCAUUUCUCAUUUAAUAGAAUGCAAGAAUGAUGAUUUUUUUUUCAGGGGCUUGAUAGUGAGCAUCAGCAAAAUCAAGUUACGUAGUUGAAUCAAAGAUAUCGCAGCUAUUGGUUAGCUGGGAGCUGUUUUUAUCUAACCGGCCUGGAAGCUCAUAAUCCAAAUCCAUUACGAUUCAUUGUUUUUAUCUACAUGUGGAUUAAUACAUCGGAGCAUCAGUUAGUUGCUGUAAAUUAGUUUAUGAAUUAUUUAUUGAUUGGUGGAACAAUAUCUAAAUGAAACUUUUGACAAAGACACUCUUCUCAGUAUCUAAAUGCAACUUUAUCUAAACAAUAUAAACAGACACGUUAGUAACUUCUCCAAUUAACUCCACUGCAUGUAUCUUGUCCAUCUUCAACCCUGAAUGCUUAAGUUCACAGAGAUCUUCGAACUUUUGACAGGCAAUGCCGCCCUCAAAACAAACCCCAACCUAUACGCAUGUAAAUAUAUUUGGAUUUAUCAUCUGUAUACAGCAAAACAGAUUUUGCACCAAAAUUGAUAAGUAAAUUUUAUAUAUACUAGCAUCAUGAAUCAAAAAGCAAAGGAAAAUAAGCCAAUAUCAUUUAUUUGUGGGUGUGUGUGUGUGUAAUAGUUUACCAAAUGAAAGCACCAUUAGUAAAUUUGAAAAAGAAAAAAAGGAAAAAGGAAUUUCAUGCAAGAAUUGGAAUCCAAAAUGUAAUGGCUCAGUCAGUCUGGAGUCAUUUUAUUGUCGGUGUUGUAUAGUGCCAUAUUAAAGAACAAAGCACUAGUAAGAGAAAAAAGCAUCCCUCACACAACAAACUCCAUUUGUCAUGUUCUAUAGUUCCCCACCCAUUUAAACAACACAUAAAUUGAUAUAAUAAACUUAAAACUUACCUUAAAGAGUAAAAUCUGCACUUAAACUCCACCUACCUGAAGUCCCUAUCAUCAUAGAGAGAUUUAACUGAUAUUGGUUCCAUUAUGUUUGCACAAAGAAUUGCUUUUGUACAUUUAACUUGCUUCUUCAGUUCAGCUGUAGCCUUGGCAAACUUCCUCAAGUCUCCCCAUUAUCAAUUUGUUUAUUGAGCUCAUCUGCAAAGUAUUCAAGCAACAAUAAUCCAUGUUCUGACUGCCAAGUUCUGCAUCUCAUCUAAUAUCCUUAACCUGCAAAAUUGUCAAAUAUCAACUAGCGUCUAAAAGUAAUUAGAUAUGUAAAACAUAACAAGUGGCACAUAAAGAUUGUAUAGAGCACAGAUGAAGUGAAGAAAAAAUAAUGCUACGGGAAUAAUGACCACUCAACUGAUAUUGCAUGCUUAUAUCGCAAAAUUAUUUAGUCACAGAGUACUACAAAUACUGACAAAUAGCUUAUGGAUCCAUCAUACUGGCUAUCAAAUACUAUUGUGCUAACUAUGUUAUCAUCGGCUUCCAAUGCAUGAUUGCAGCUCUUUAAAUCACUAGAUUUCCGCUUACGAGCCCCCGCUGGCCUCAUUCCUGUAAUGAAAUUACAAAAUCAUUUAUCGUUUCCAAUCUCACAUUCUCUGAAUCUAAUAAAUAAACAUACUGUUCUUGCAAGCUAAUUACAAGUUUUAAAUCUUUUAAAAUAAAUAAUAAUAAGUACGGGUUUUAAUAAGGAAUUAACUACUGCAUCGGUUGAUUCGAUCCGCACAAGAACAGAUCAAAGCGACCCGAAAUUUACUCUGAUUUGAUAUAUACCUUAACUUUCAGCACUGCUUAACUUUCGAUUGUACUUUGCAGCGACGAUUAUAAUUUCACCGUCAAUUGCCCAAAAGUGAAAGGUCAUAUUCGUGUUCUAAUCACCAGAAGUUUUUAAAUCCCACAAAAUUGCAAUCCUCCAAUUCUAAUUUUAUUUCUUAAUUAUUGUCUCGAGAUCAAUUUUGUGCUGAAAUCAGUGAAACUCUAAUCAGUUCUAAGAAAUUUCCGGAACCCGCGCUCACUGAGCUGUUAUUAUAUUAAUACUCAACCGGCUGCAACGGUUGCUAGUCACUGCAUCAAUUAUCCAAUAUUUAAUUUCAGCCGUUAUAUCGAACAAGGAAACAUCCAACGACUUUGUUGAAUGAGGGCAAAAACUGUGAUAUGGUACCACAAUUGUAACGUAGACAGACCCUAUAAAUGGGGUUAUUGUGAAAGAAUAUAGAGGGAGGAAUUCAAGCAAUAAAUAAGAGACACGCCAUACAGCCCAUACCGUCCUUUUCUGUCAAGUUCAUCAUUCUCAUUGGACACAGAGGGUAAAGAAGCAAAAAUGUAUGUAAGACACAUGCAUAUUAUUUAAUUAAACGUGUUAUUUGGCACUUGUUAAAUUGUUCCCUUUGUAGGUCAUUGUGGACUCCAAAUUAAUUGUACGCCUUUUAAACAGAAAUAAGUGCAUUACAUAUUUUUUUUAUCUUUUUUUACUUUAUUUUUGGAUUUUUUUUUUUGGAAAAAGCGAUGACUCAUGAGAAGAGGAAGAAGAAGAAUAGUAGAACACAUGUAAUAUCAGUUCUUUUUUUUUUUACUUUUUACUUCUUUCUUUGAAUUUUUUUUUUUAAAUUUUUAUCAUCCAUUUUGUGUCAUUGGAGUCCAAAAAUAUUGUGCAUAUAUAAAUAAUGCGGCUUCUGAGUUUAUGACAAUUUACCAUGCGUUAAUAACGCUUGAUGAAAAUGUUGCAAUCAGGAUUAUUCUUUUAUUUUGUCAAGUUACACUGUUCAAUGUUCUCACUGUAAGGUUGACUUCAAGGGAUGAAAUCGUUUAGAUUAAAAAUAAAAAUAAAGGAAAUUCAUUCUCUUCAAUUUUUUAUUUUAUUUGUACUAAUGUUACAAAUAAAAUAUCAAAUAAUUAUUGAAAUUAGUCUAUAUUAACUCAUAUACUAGGAAUGUCUAUCUACUUACAUUUUGUAAGGAAAAAGACUCUCCACUUAAUGUAUUUUUCGAGUGCCUGGCUACCUUAUUCCUAUGUGCUUCAGUGGGAUGCAAUAACUUUUGCUGAUAGCCUAAUAGGCCCUACAAAUCAUAAUUUAGCAUAGAGAAAUGUUGUUACAUGUUUGUUGGGAUGAUAAAAAAGUCCGGGCCAACUCUGUUCAUUUCUGUGGACUUUUGCUGGAAUUUCCCACGUGAGGGCUUGGACAAGGGUUAAAGGAAAAAAACUUAGACUAGGUCUAAUCCCUUUAUUUUAAAAAAUAUAUAAAAAUUAAAAUAAAAAUAAAAAAUGGAAAAAUGAAAAAAGAAGGCUUAAAUUCCAAAUUCAUUUAUUGAUAACGAUAAACAAAAAUUUAAAAUUAUAAUACUAAAUUUUUUUUAAGUGUUAAUUAAUUAAGAGAGUACUUGAAUUAGAAAAUUAAAUACUAGAAAAUUAAAUCUCUAAAUUUUUAUUUGCUUUAUUUAAUAUUUUAUUUUGAAAUAUUUAUUUUCUUUAAUUCAUUGUUGAUUAUAACAACUUGAUUAUUAUUAACUCAUUUUAAGUUUACAACAAUUUAAAAAAUUUUGAAAAAAAAAAGUGAAAGCCCAAGCCCGACCCAGCUCCGUAUGGGCUCGGCCCUUACAUUUCCACUCUAAUGGCCUUGGGCUUGGGCUUGAAAAAACCGAACAUGCUCACAUUUUGCUAUCCUUGCCUGCAUGUAAGUUCAAAGUUGCAAAUUGAUGAAGUGGAAAUAUAGAAGAUUGAUAGAUUAGAGAAACUAAGUUUCUUAAUAAUAAAAUUUUAUUAGAAAAGUCUAAAUGAAUAAAACGAUAGCCUACCCCUUUUAUACUAAUCCCAAACAUCGAGAAUUUAUCAAAAUAGUAAAAUUCAAAAUAUUGUUUUAUAAUAAAAUUCUCCUAAUCUAAAUAAGAAAAACAAAACAAACGACACCCAAUUUUAAUAUCUAAAAAAAUAAAAUUCUAAAAAUAAUAUAAAAUAACUUAAAACUGUAAAAAGACCAAAAAAAGAAAUAGAAUUUUUUACUUAAUUAUGGAGCAAGACAAGGCAAGCAUUCUAAGUUUGAUUAGUCUCGUCGUAACUUUUGAAAUGAUAUAUUAUAUGCCUAAAAUGAACAUAUAAAGCCCAAGUUAUAACUCCUAAAAGAUACCUCCUUCAUGAUGAUCCUACGCAACUAUCUCACGUCGAAAAUGAAUGCAAAAGUUACAUUUCAAAUUAAAUUCAAAACAAUCAAUUCAAGCAUUAAUGCCGUGUUUUUUUUAACCAAAAUACUCUCUAAGGAUUUUAUAAAUUGCUUUCUAAUUUUAUUUUGCAAAACACACCAAAUCAAAGUGAUUUUUCUCUUUUCUCUCAAACAAUUUCAACAUUUGGUAAUAGAGCUGAUGACAGGCAUUAGUAAACAAUGUGCAAUAGUAAUGCACAACAAUAUAGAAAAGCAAAUUGGUAAAGUGUAAACUAUGAAAUGAUAAAAUAGAGCCUUUUUUUUUUAAGAUCACAUGUUAAGUUAUUGGCGUAUUUUGUCGGGAUCAUAUACUUUUUUAGAUCUACGUGCUUUUGGUCAAAUUUAGCAUAAUUAAAAGUUCAAAACUGAAGUUCAUAUUCAAUAAUAAUAAACUAAUAAUAAUAGAUAAUGUAAUACUGACUAUUAAUUUAGAUCCUACGAUAUUAAAUUUUUUUUAAUACUUAAUAAAAAUAACAACAAUAAUAAUUUUUUUUAAGGGUUAACUUAAUUGUUAACUUAGACUUACAUUGAGUCAUAAAUCAUAGUUUAUAACAACAUUAAUGCAUAUAUUCAUAAAAAUCAUGAUAUUUAUAAUUUAUUUAUUAAAAUCAUGAUAUCACCUAUUCAUUUAACAAAUUAUAAACAUAAAACAAUUAGAUUUUUUUUAAGAUUAAGAAUUAAAUGAAUCUAAAAAACUUAAGCUAAUAAAAUGCAUUAAAGAUUCAAAUUCAAAUUAUUUGCAAAAUUAUAAUUAUUCGUAAAAUUAUAAAAUUUUAAGUUUACUUUCAUUAAAAAGCUUUUACCUUAAUAUACUUUGACUCGCAUGCUAUUGAUAACGCAUAAGCCACGUGCUAAUCGUCCAGUGAAACAUUUUUAUUGAUGUCCUUUUCACGUGCUGUGUUUUAGCCUAUUUUUAAGCAUAUCAUGCUUUUAAGAUCCACUUGCCUAAAAUUCUCAACUCAGCCCAGCACUCGUGCAUGCCAUGCCUUGUCGCUUACCCUACCAAAACGUCCUUGUGCCGUACCAUGCUGAACGGAUAUGUGUCGUGCAUGUGUCGUUCCACCUGUCACCUGGUCCAUUAGUCAUCUCUAGAAAACACCAUAUAUUUAUUGAGUGUGUUGCAAGCAUUGUGUCGCAAGUUGCUCAAAUUUCCCCUAAACGGAGGCUAAAUUAGCGCGCACGAGUACGGUCAGUAAAAGUCUGCCCAAUAAUGGGAUGCACUCAACAGUAAGGUGCGCUGAGCGAUGGGCUGCCUCAUAUAACUAGUGAGUUAUGGUGCACUUAGUAAGUGAAUAGCCCAUAAUCAACAAGCCUAACUCGAUUUUUAGAUUUCUCUACACCUUGUAAAUGGCUAGAUUUUUAGGCAAGUUGCAUGAACUCUCUAUAAAAUAGGGGUGAGCACCCACUAUUUGCUCACCACCACACCACACACACAGCACCUAGCAACUCAAAAACUCUCGUAAAAAUCUCUCUUAUAAUUUCUCUUUUGUGAGCAAUAAAAUAUUCUUUAGCCAUAUUGCUCUCUUCUCUCUAGCAGUAUUGCAAACAUCCUUACUUGGCUAGUUUGAGAAGCUCUUUAGGCUUACUUAACAACUUUUGUACUAGAAGUUAUGUAAGUACUGCACGGGAUUGUUGCGCAAAAUAGUCAUCUCGUGACAACCGGCUUAGUUUUGCUUUGCACAUUUACGCCCACAAUAAUAAAAGCCAAAAUAAGAUAUAAAAAAAUGUUGGGAUUUGACAUCAAGUAGAAGAGGUUUUGCCCACUCCAAAAUCAUCAAAAUGAUUAAUUAUCUUCUAUAUAACCUGAUGAUUUUUUUAACCUUUGAGAAAGCAACCACAGAGGUGGAACAAACUUCUACUCAUGGGGACUUGACAUACGGUUAAUGAAGAAGGGUAAUUUCGUAAAAUUCCAAUCAAAAUUAGAAAAAAGGCAAGCCAUAUUCAAAAGUCAAUCUUGAUCAAACAAACGGCAGGAGGGACAUCUGUAAUUACGGCAUUUUCGAGGAAUUGUUUCUAAAACUAACUAAAACGGGAAAAUGGAAAGGGACAAACACGAAAGCUCAUAGUUUGCUUGGUUGGGCUAUGUUCUGCUAGUAGGAGAGACAGACUGUAGAAAGGGUUUCUUUUCUCUUUUUUUUUUUUUUCUAAACUCUUUUUUUUUUCAAAUAGACAUAUAGCCACGUGUUGUCUCAUAUAAAAAAUAAUACUUUAUAUAAGUCCUAGGUCAGUUGGGCUGGAAAACAUUUAAAAUCGAACAUAUCAGGCACGUUGUAAGUUCGCAAUUGGAGAAUCAUGUUGUCAGCCCCGCAACCCCCAAAUGGGAACUUUAGAUAGAAAAAUAUAGCGUCGCAACGAUAAUAUUUAUUAAUAAUAAAUUUUCUUAUUACAAUUGUUCUUGUCAAAAACUCUUUGAUGGUAUUUCAUGUGUUGAAAAAAAUGUAAAAUAGUUUCAUUAUCAAUACAAUUAAAAACAUAUUUUUUUAAUAUAUACAACUAAAUUAUCACUUGAUUUGUUUUAAUAUAAUGCAACAUGAAGAACAAAUAUGAAUACACAUACAUUAGGGAAUGGCAAUGGGAAGAAUAGGGGAGGGGACCGAUAUCUCCAUACCCAUUUUCAAUAUUUUGUAUAUGUCCUCAUCUGCUCUCCAUCCCAUCAGAAUUACUUGAAAAAAUUUUCAUCCUCUCUCCAAAUAAUAAGAGGGGAUCCCUGAAAGUCUCCGAUCUCCAAGUAAUUAAUACAUUUUUAAUUUUUAAUUUUAAUUAAUUAUAUUAAAAUAAAAUUUUAAUAAAAGUAGAAUUAAGGCGGUAGCUAGCUACCAUAGAAAAUUAGAAAUUAGGUUUUAUGAUGUUGCCUUAACUUUUGUUUUAGUAGAUAAACGUUUAAAAUAUGUAACGAAUAUUAUAAAUAAAUAAAAUUGAGCCAACAAGAUCCUGUUUGGCUUUUUUUAUGUCCUGAAUAGAUGUUUAAGAUUAUAGCUAGUUAAGUAGGCUCAUUAAAGCAUCUGACAAAUUGUUACAUAAAACCAGGAUAAUUAGAGUGCGAAUCAAAUAACCCAAAUUAUAGAUUCCCUAAUCAAACAAACAUAACAAAAAAAAUUUUGAAAUACAAUUUUUUUUUUUUUAUCAGAAAUGCGCAUUGGCACCAAAUAAAAUUGAGCAAGAGCUAAUGGUGUCCUACAAGUUGACAUGGUCUACCUUUAGCAAGAUUCAAAUAAGAAGGACCACAGUAAACAUAAGAGGAAGUAAUUUAACUUUAUAUAUAAAUCCUACAAUUUAGUUGCAAGUAAAAUAACUCCAAUCUGAAACAUCAAAUGUAUAAGAUUCGUAAGUAAAAAUAGGUUACACGAUUAGUUAUUACCUGGAUUACGUUGUAUAUAUUACAUGGUAUACCUAAUCAGACAAAUAACGUGGACAUGAAGUGAAUAACUUAAUUUGAAUCUUGCUAUUUUAUUUUAUAAUUUUAAACUAAUUAAUUCAUGCACACACAUUAUGUAUGCAUUAAGUGGAUACAAUACAACAGAAGUAUUCUACAAUCUCUUAUAUGAAAGUUCUUAAUUCAUGUACUCUUUUUAGAAUUGACCUUUUCAUAAUAUUAUUUGUGAAGUAUAUUUUCAAACUAAUUUCAGAAUAAUUUUAAAUUAUUGUAUAAGUCUAUGUAUCUAAAGUUUCAAUAAACCCCGCGGAAUUAUAAUAUUUAAUUCAUUUUUUUUUCCUCUAUUGAUAACAUCAUUAUCACUUUCAUAGAGUUUCAAUAAGCCCAGCCGAAUAACCUUUUGUCAACGUCACUGCAUAUGCCCCACCUUCUCCCUCUCGACUCUCUCAAGACACUCCAAAAAAUACUCUAAAGUCCAACAACAUUUUACAAUCUCUCUCGAUUUUUCUCGCUUCAGUUUACCAUCCUCAAACACGAACACGAACACGAACAUGAAUUAAGUUAAUUAGUUUAUGGAACACAAACUCAUCGUCAGCAUCAUAUCCUAAUUGAAAAAGAAGGAUUGCGAGGGAAACUAAGCAUGUGCCUUCAUUUUCACUUGAAAUAAAGCGCGAUGGAAAGAUCUCAUGUUAUCACAUGAUCCCGUGUAAUCACCUAGAAGCCCUUCCACGCACAUUUCUUCUCAAAUUGUCUUCUUCUAAUUUCUUGGGCCAUCGCGGAACCACAAUGUCAAUGCGAGGAUGAGCGAGUGCUGUUCAGCUCGCAGCAUUUGGAGCCGGAGCUCGGCUUCCCUUAUUUGUUGGUCGUUUGGUAGGCGUCGCCAAAAGGCAAAGAGCAUCCUCUGGCGUUCGUGGAGUUGGUCCUCGAUGCGAUCGAUUUCUUCUCCAAGUUGAGCAAGCCUUUGUGCCAUAGCCAUACAAUUAUUUACUUUCGAUCGAGCACUUUUCGUCUGCACCCAAAUGUUUCAUUAAUAUUUUGAAGUAUACACACCUGUUUCAACAACUAUCCGGAUCACGUUAAAAGACAAUUUUACCCUCACUUGAAGUGUAAAAUAACUAACUUGAAGUGUAAAAUAACUAAAAAAGCCACAACACUAGUUUUAAAUUCUAAUUGACCUGGGUGAAUAUUAAAAUUUCUUAAAGGUUAAAAAAAAAAGUAAAAAUGUUUUGUUAUGGGAAUUGAAAUAUCCCCUAUAUCUUCAUCCAUAAUCAUCUAUCCAUGAUAACAAUUUAAUAAACUUGAAAAAGCAAGAUAUCCAAUCCCAAUGAAUCAAACAACCAAUUUUCUUCAUAAAGUUUAGCUUUUGCUUUUAAAAAUUCUAACUCUUGAGACCUUAAAUAAACUCAUAUUCAAAUUUACAUUUUCUAUAAUGAAAAUCUUCAAUUUACCCUUUUAAUAUUUUGAAAAACAGGUCCAACUACAAUAUAAUUGUGGUUUCAUACCUAUUUUUUUUUAUCUUUUUGUGAUCCAACCCAAGAGUUGCAAAGGCUAUUCCAACGGUUUGGAUGUUAUUAUUUGAUUAUUAACAAUAUGGUCUCUUAUGUUUACUAAAAGAAUAAAAAAAGAUUAAGUUUCAAAAUUUUGACCCAUUAGUCCGUUAAAUAUUUUAUUAUCAAAGGUAAUUUAGUAAAUGAACAUAUUUAUAUAUUAAAAAUAUGGAUGAAUUAUUUUAACUUGCUAAAAUACUCUCAAAUUCCAUUUACUUAAAAUAUGAAUUAGAUUUUUAUAAUACUAUUUUGUAUUUAGUGUAACACAAAAUUAGACAAGGUUUUAUAUAAAUUUUGACAAUAUUAAAAUGAAAAAUUAAUAAAUAUUAAAUAAAUGCUUGGAUAGUCAUUUAAAUUCAUUAUAGAGUUUAUAAAUAAUAUUUUCAAAAUAAUAAAUUUCUAUAUGUAAAUUUGAAAUUAUGUAAAAUUACUUAGACUUUAUCACACAUAUGAAGCUGAUCAAUUAUUUAUUUAAUAUGAAAACAAAUGAAUUGUAUAAUAUUUAUUCUAUUACUUAAAUUUAAAAUUUGUUGAGAAGGAGAUAGAGGGAAUAAUUUUUUUUAGAAUUUUAAAAUUAUUAUAUUUUAAUUGAGUUUAUUACAUAAAAUUAUUAAAACUUUAGUUUUUAUUAUUUGUAUAAAACAAUAGGAAUUGUUGAAGAAAAUCCCAAAUAAAUUUUUUAGAAUUUUGUAAUUAUUAUAUUUUAAUUGGGGCUUAUUGUAUAAAAUUUUUAAAACUUAUAAUUUUUUAUUAUUUACAAAAAAUUACAGGGACUGCUAAAGUAAAUACCAAAAUGGUGUUUGGUACAACGGGGUAAGAUAGUUUUACCCUUGAAAAACAUUAAUUUACUUCCAUUUAUCAGUCAAAAGACUAAAAUAAAUGGAGACAUGUGGACGAGAAACUUUUUAACUUUUUAGUGGUAUUUGAUAAAUAUAAAUAAAUUGAAAAUUCUCGUUUUUACUUUUUAUUGGGCAUAAGUUAAAAAUCUUACUCUCUAUUUAUUAUGCUUUAACAAGAGAAAGAAAGAAAACAGAAAACAAAUCUCUUCUAUAGCAGACUUAACAAAAAUUUCAGCUGAGACUUAAACCGACUUUUUCAAGGAAAUGAAAUUAGGAGAACAAAAACACUUUGAAGUGGACUGCAUAUAUAUACUCAAAAAUAACAUACAACUUGAGUCAGUAAUGGUAAAGAAAACGAACGUACACAGACGGGUUUGGAUUUAGAUGAUGAAGAAUGCACUGAAAGCUUUGCAUUUGAGUUCUCUUUUUCGGGUGAGUAAGUUAGGGAACUGCAAGGCCGAUCAAUUUGAAAAAAGAAAAAAGAAAAAAACUAAAAUGUAAACGCAGCUUGAACUUGAUUUCUUUUGGUUUUUGGGGAGGGGACGGGGGGAGGGGAGGGAAUGUAUACGCAGCUUCAAACUUGGUUUCUUUUCGUUUUUUUCCCCGGGGGUGUGGAGGCCUGGAGGGAAUGUAAACGAACUAACGAAGCCUCAAUCCUCAUGCAGCUGUAUUUAUAUGAAGUGGGUACUGCUGACUGAUCCACGAAGGAAGACUUUUGAUGUCAUUGGUGUUUCUUUAUUUUUGACCUUUUAGCUAGAUGACAGAAGAAUGCCGAGUGCUACGGACACUCGCGAGUGUCUCAAUCGCGGCUCUCUAUAUAGACACGUGUCUAUCAAAAUGAAACCUUAUCAGAGAGACAGCCGCAAGUAUGACGAGACAAGCGCGAUCGUAAGGAUGGAAGCCGCAAGUAUGAAGAGACAGGCCCAAUCCACAACGAUCCAAGAGCAAUCAUUACCUGCAAACUCAACACAACACCUAAUUAACUUCAAACCCCACCAUAAAUCCACCAACAGUCACUAUUCGAAACAAAUCUACCUCAAAUGCGACGUCAAAUAAAAGGAAUAAAAAGGUUUCCUUAAAAGAGAGAGAGCUGCGAGUAUGAAGAGACAAGCACGGUCCACAACGAUCGAAGGCUGUGUGGUAUGUGUCUUGUAUAGAUUGAACAGAGCAAUCAUUACCUGCAAAACUGAACCAAACACUCAAUUAACAAACAAAUUUCAAUUUGAAACCCGACCUUAAAUCCACCAUUGGGCACUAUUCGACACAAAUCUACUUGAAAUCCGACAACAAAUAAAAGGAAAAAAAAUUCUAAAUCAACAUCGAAAUGAAACCUUUAUAAGAGAGAAAGCCGCAAGUACGAAGAGAUCUGAAGUCCUGUUGGUAUAUGUCUUGUAUAGAUUGACAGAGCAAUCAAAGGCCGUGUCGACCAGAGCAAUCGCAGAAUAGAAGAGAUAAGAGAGGAAAAAAGAAGGAAGAGGAGAGCUGCAGCAGCAAAUGAUCAGAGCAAUCAUUACCUGCAAAACUCAACACAACACCAAAUUAACAACCAACAUUUCAAUUUCAAACUUAACCUUAAAUUGAAACAAAUCUACUUGAAAAUAAAAGAAUAAGCAACUCCGAAUCAAAAUCGAAAUGAAACCUUUUAUAACAGAGACAGCCGCGAGUAUGAAGAGACAGGCACAAUCUGCAGCGAUCGAAGAGAAAUCACCACUACCUGCAAAACUCAACACAACGCCUGAUUAACAACAAACAUGCCAAUUUCAAACCCACCUUAAAUCCACCAACAGACACUAUAACUUGAAAUGCAAUAUCAAAUAAAAGGAACAAGUAGUCUAAAUCAAAAUCAAAACGAAACCUUAUAAAAGAGACAGCCGCAAGUCUGAAGAGACCAGCACGAUCCUAAAGGAUCAAAGCCGCAAGUAUGAACAGACCUGAUUAACAACAAACACCUGAUUACCUGCAAAACUCAACACAACACCUGAUUAUCAACAAACAUUUCAAUUUCAAACCCAAAACAAAUCUACUUGAAAAAAAAAAAAAAACAACUCCAAAUCAAAAUCGAAAUGAAACCUUAUUAGAAAGACAGCCGCAAGUAUGACGAGACAAGCACGAUCGUAAAGGAUGGGAGCCGCAAGUAUGAAGAGACAGGCCCAAUCCACAACGAUCCAAGAGCAAUCAUUACCUGCAAACUCAACACAACACCUAAUUAACUUCAAACCCCACCAUAAAUCCACCAACAGUCACUAUUUGAAACAAAUCUACCUCAAAUGCGACAUCAAAUAAAAGGAAUAAAAAGGUUUCCUUAAAAAAGAGUCCACAACGAUCGAAGGCUGUGUUGUAUGUGUCUUGUAUAGAUUGAACAGAGCAAUCAUUACCUGCAAAACUGAACCAAACACUCAAUUAACAAACAAAUUUCAAUUUGAAACCCGACCUUAAAUCCACCAUCGGGAACUAUUCGACACAAAUCUACUUGAAAUCCGACAACAAAUAAAAGGAAAAACAAGUCUAAAUCAACAUCGAAAUGAAACCUUUGUAAGAGAGAAAGCCGCAAGUAUGAAGAGAUCUGAAGUCCUGUUGGUAUAUGUCUUGUAUAGAUUGACAGAGCAAUCAAAGGCCGUGUCGACCAGAGCAAUCGAAGAGUAGAAGAGAUAAGAGAGGAAAAAAGAAGAAGAGGAGAGCUUCAGCAGCAAAUGAUCAGAGCAAUCAUUACCUGCAAAACUCAACACAACACCAAAUUAACAACCAACAUUUCAAUUUCAAACCCAACCUUAAAUUGAAACAAAUCUACUUGAAAAAUAAAGGAAAAAGCAACUCCAAAUCAAAAUCGAAAUGAAACCUUUUAAAACAGAGACAGCCGCGAGUAUGAAGAGACAGGCACAAUCCGCAGCGAUCGAAGAGAAAUCAUCACUACCUGCAAAACUCAACACAACGCCUGAUUAACAACAAACAUGCCAAUUUCAAACCCAACCUUAAAUCCACCAACAGACAGACACUAUAACUUGAAAUGCAAUAUCAAAUAAAAGGAAAAACAAGUCUAAGUCAACAUCGAAAUGAAACCUUUAUAAGAUAGAAAGCCGCAAGUACGAAGAGAGAAGCGCGAUCCUAAAAGAUCUGAAGUCGUGUUGUAUAUAUGUCUUGUAUAGAUUGACAGAGCAAUCAAAGCCCGUGUCGACCAGAGCGAUCGAAGAGGAGAAGAGAGAAGAGAGAAAAAGAGAAGAGGAGGAGAACUGCAGCAGCAAAUGAGCAAAGGGAGCUCAAUUUAUAAACGACUAAACGAGGGAUUCCGUUUGCUCAUUUGCUGCUGCAGCUCUGGACCGUUGAGGGGGGACACGUGGAGGGAUCGUGGGGAGUGGUGGAAGUAACUGUGGUUGAGUUAAGGUUGACUAGAGUUAUGUGAGGGAUCCAAGGCUGGGUGUUUUCCUUUUGGAUAUGCGUUUUGUCAGUGGGAACGGCAUCGUUUGUUUGGGUUUAAAAUUGAGCACAUUUAUUAUACGUAGCGGAAUCGUACAAAAAUUGCUGCUGCAGUAUAAAUCUGAAGGAAAAAAAAAAAAAUGGUUGGUAUGUGGAAAUUAUACUUGAAACGUUGUCGUUUUUGGCAUAAUUGCUGUGAUAUAUUUAUUUGUUUGUGUUUUUAUUUCUUUUUUCUGGGUUUUAGGGUCACAAUCGGAGAGCGAAGACAAGGUCUCGUUGGAACUCUCUGAAGAAGUUCUUCAGAGCAUGGAAGUGGGCAUUUCUUUUAGAGAUUAUGUAAGAGAAUCUUCUAUUAAGUUUCUGUUUGAGGAACAUACUUGAUUUGCAUUUUAAAUGUAUCUGUUUGUUAAUUCAUUGUCGUUUUGUGUUGAUUCGUGUUUUAACAGAAUGGGAGAAUUAGUUCCUUGGAUUUUCAUAAAUCAUCGAGUUAUUUGAUGAUGGCUAGUGAUGAUGAAUCUAUACGGCUGUACGAUGUCUCUGCUGCCACGUAAGUUGAUCCUCUGUUUCUUAGGAUUUUAUGUUGUCUAUUGGGAAGUGCUUUUAACUAAGAAAUGGCUUUUGAAUAAGUAUAAAAAGCUGGUUUCAAUCUUGCAAUGUUUGUUUGAAAUUGCUGGAAUAAUAAAGUGUCUUUUGAAAUCAAAGGAACCCUUGAAGUGUUUUUCUAGGGAAGUGCUUGAUAUCUGCUUUCAUGGAUAGAACUUUUUGGAUUAGGAAACCACUUGUAGUGCUGUUUGAAGUAGUGCUUCAUAUAUGUUUGAAAGUGAUUUUACUCGAGGGUACUUUCCAUUAAAGCACUGCUGAACGUAUCCUCUGCGUGUUUGAUGAGCUCAUGAAAGCUACUGUCUUUCUAAGAUGGGGAAAAAUGCUUUUUUGAUGAAACAGAAAAAAAAAAAAAAAAAAAAAAAGGAGAACCUUGGAGUGGUUUUCGGGGCAGUGCUUAAGGGAAAUGUAAUUGAUAUAUUUUUCAAGAACUUUUGUAAAAAGGCCUUUUCUUUUUCUUUUUUGUUUUGUUUGCAUAAGCUCUUUCUAUAAGAGCACUGCCAAAUGCACUCCAGUUGUCUUAGCUGAGCUCAUGAUAGUUGGUAUUGCAAUUGUUGCUGAGAGCCUUAAUUGAAAUUUCAGAUGUUUGAAGACAAUUAACAGCAAAAAAUAUGGAAUAUUUGUGUUUUGUAUGUUGGUGAAUUACUUUACUAGGCACUUAUUUGGUACGUUCAUUUAUUCAGAAUCUCUACGGCUUCUUUCCUCGCACUAUAACAAGUACUUGCGUUACUUCAACGGUCAUCAUAACAGGUUUGUAAUUCACUUAUUCUUGUAAAUAUUUCGUAAUUAUUAUUAUCUGUAUAUAUGUUUUACUGCUUCUAGGGUUGUUUCACUUAGUCUGUGCUCCUCCAAAGAUUGCUUUAUCUCUGGUUCUCUUGGUCAAUCUGUUCUGCUCUGGGAUCAACGGGCUGAGAAAUGCUAGGUGGAUAUCAUGCCAUCCACCAUUUUCAAUUGUAUAUAUGAUCUCUGUUGGCAAAUACGGGCCUUUUGCAUGUUCAAGGAAGGCCUGCUACAGCAUAUGAUGAUCAAGGGCUUGUCUUUGCAGUUGCCUUUGGAGGAUACAUAAGAAUGUUUGAUGCUCGUAAGUAGGAGAAGGUUAAAAUUAAUAUUUAAGAACAUCUUGGAAGUUUAUAUGUCGUACUUUUAUCAUGCACUAAUUUGGUUAAAUUUGGAUACAUCUUCUCUGAUGGUGUAGAUGUAUCAGAUUCUGAUGCUGUAAAGUUCAGCAAUGAUAGGAGACUUAUGCUUCCGACCUCUAUGGAAGGACAUAUUCAUGUGCUUGACUCAUUCCAAGGCACACUUGUGAGUUGACUUUUUCUUUCUUCAUCUCCCAAAUGUAACAUAUCGUACAUAUAUACCCCUCUAUACACUGGAAUCUCUGUUAAUGAGCUUUUGUUUACUCUUGUUUUUAUUUAUCCACUUAUGAUGCCAAGCCAGUUUCUCGCAAUUCCACAUUGGAGGCAUCUUUCAGCCCGGUAGAGUUUCUCCUUUGAGUUCUUAGGGCACAGUGACUUGGAUAUUUUGUUAAUAUUUGCUUUUGGCUGUUUUGAUAUUUUAUAUUAAAGUUCUUGCACUUGUGCUGUAUAUAAUUCUCAAAUUUGUUACCACCUUGUUGGUAUAUUGAAAUACACGACUUGAAAUGUUGGGCAUCAAGCUUGUUUCCGCAGAAUUCUUUGAAAUAAAUUCAUUUUCUCUUCUUCAUUGACUUGGUUUGAAACCCACUCCCAUCCAUGCAAAUCCAAAUGCAUACGUAUUUUCAUCUGGUUGUGCUUAUUAAUAAAAAUAAAUCAAUGAAAUGCUCAAAUAGCAAGUGCACCCACACAUGUGGAAGCAGCCUGGUGCGGCCAAGCACCUCUCAUUCGUUUUAUGUGAUACAAUUGGUUUGUUGCACUCUUUGUGCUAAUUUUACUUUCUCGAUUUUGGAAGGUUCUGAUGAUGGUAGUGGAUAUGCUUGGAGUGUAGGGAGCGGGAAAGGGGUAUGAUAAGCAAAAUUCCUUGAUUCUCAUGCCUUUUGAAUGCUUAGAAUUCAAAGGGAUGUUAUUUCCCUUACACUGACCCCAGUCAUAGCAUUCAUUGUCUUCUAGCCAAACCAACAAUGCUUUUGAAUCUACAUUUGAGCAUUUACCUUAAGCACCAGUUUGCAUAAUGAGUUCUGUAUCCAAAGACUAUAUUCUUUGGAUGUUGGUAUUGUUAUUAUAUAAACAUUGUUUGGUUUUGUUUAUUUUUCUUGUCAGGGUUGUUAGUUGGAUGAGUUUUCAUACAGAGCCUCCUGUCAUAAAAUGGGCCCCUGGAAGUCUCAUGUUUGUUACGGGGUAAUCUGAGCUAUCAUUUUGGAAUCCUAAUGUGUCUAAACUAGGAGCUUACGAUGGGAGGAAGUAAAGUUUCUAACACUCAGCACCCUUAAGUAUCUGAAUAUUGAUGUCUAUCUAUUGCUGGGAGGGGAACUUGUUUGUAAGGAGAUGUUCAAUUUCCUAUAGUAGUAUGUAAAUGCAUCUGACUUACCUGCUAGUAACCUUUCCUAACAAGUUCUGAAGAAACAACAGUAGAUCUGGUAUCAGUACUUUAUUCAGAAGAGCAUUUCUUCUUACAUGCACAGCUAAGAGUACAUGAAUUGAGCUACUGAAGCCCUUCCUGACCAACCUGGCUAAGGCUCCUUUCAGUUUGUCCUCUUCAUGGUUCUUUGGCAGGCAACAGCGUAAGCAAUUACCUGGACUAUGAGGCCUUUUGUAGCGGGGUGGGCACUGCCUAGGCAGUUUUUGAAAAAACUAGGAGCUUUAUUUGUCAUUGACAUUUGUAGCACGAUUAGUUAUUACCUGGAUUAAGUUGUAUAUAUUACAUCGUAUACCUAAUCUGACAAAUAACAGGUUGCAAUCCAAGUUUUGUUGAUC
This 93267-nucleotide long non-coding RNA is filed under the name Citrus maxima (pomelo). Its description in RNAcentral is "long non-coding RNA (CMAX_LNC001185)". The record is from RNAcentral. Lineage: Eukaryota; Viridiplantae; Streptophyta; Magnoliopsida; Sapindales; Rutaceae.